This 100758-nucleotide long non-coding RNA is filed under the name Malus domestica (apple). Its description in RNAcentral is "long non-coding RNA (MDOM_LNC003071)". Lineage: Eukaryota; Viridiplantae; Streptophyta; Magnoliopsida; Rosales; Rosaceae. The record is from RNAcentral.
AUGAAUCAAUUGAAGAGGUACGAAGGUGAGGGACCGGGAGUUGACCUGACCACCGACGGCGAUGGCGACGAUGGCGACGACGGCGACGACGAAUGCGCUACCUUCGCCAUAGUCCCCUAGAGCAGUACAAGCUCCCUGUCUGUUCUUUCUGCGGUGGUGAACGAAGGGCAGUGCAGCAGAUCGAACUAAUUUGAGCUUCACACUAACACGGAGAGAGAGAUCCGAGACUUACCUAACCGGAAAAUCAAAGAAGACUCGCCGAAGAGUUAUGGGCUCCGCCAUUCUCGCAGAGGCGGGAGAGAGAAGACUGAUGUGUGAUGAUGGUGGUGUCCUCGAUCUGCUCGAGUCGAGCAGAUGGUGUUGCUGCGUGUGUGUGUGUCGUCACGGCAAGAGAGGGAGAGAGGUAAGAGGGUUUCGAACUUUCGAGAGAGAGAGACAGUGCAGAGAAGAGAGUGAGAGAAGGAAAUGGGGUCUCGGGGUAGGGGAGAGACCCACGUAGUGGGUUGGGUUCUUUGUAUUUUAAAAAGUUGUGGUCAUGUUUUAAUUAUGAAAACCCACGUAGUGGGUUCUUUGUAUUUUAAAAAGUUGUCCAAGUUUGAGAUCCACCCACACUACGUGCGUGUUUUAUAAUUUUAAAAGUUUGAGAUAUAUUUUAUAUAUAUAUAAAGGUUAUAUAAAUUUAAAUUAUGAAUUAUUUAGUUGAAAGGUAGGAGAAAACAAAAGAAGAAAAGGAAAAGGAAAAGAAAAUAAGAAAGAAAAAAAAAAAAAAAAAACACCAAGGGGAUUCAAACCCCUCCCUUUGUCAACCACACACCUAGACCUUAUCCAACUCGCUAUAGAUGUGUUUGUAAUUACAUAUUCAGCCUGUAAUAUUUAUAUGGUUGUUAAGAUGUCUGCAAGGCUUGCAAGCUAAUAUUUAUUAUCUAGGAUAAAUUUCUAUAUUUAAAAAAACACCAAGGGGAUUCGAACCACUCCCAUUUUACUCCUUCAACACCUUGACCACCAUAUCACUUAUGUUUUUGUGAAAAUAUGCUAAAAUACACUUACUCUACACAUAGAGAUGAUGAAGAUAGUGAAAAUUUUGAACCUCACAGGAACUCUAUGUGGUACUAAGUCACUCAUGUAUCUUACCAUGCAAUGUAUAAAGUGUAAAAUAUUGUACUAAUUCAUUAUAUAUAAAUGAUUAUGGUGUGUUUAAACUUCUUUCAUUAAUUACUACAUAUUUUUUACACUCACAAUGUUUGCCAGCUCGCUAUAUAAUCAACUUAAAUUAGUUAAAUCCAUCAUGCAAUGCAUUUCCUUCCAAUUUUUUGUGAUAAACUAAUAGAUAAUUGACUAAAUAAACAUCCUGCAAAGUUUCAUUAAAAAUUUCCAAGUUUUUCUUACAAUUUCCGUGGUUUCCAUGUAAUUUUUAUCGAUAUCGAUAUUAUCCCAAUAUUUCUAUCGAUAUUUCCGUGUUUUCAGACUACCGAUAUAUUUCCAAUAUUACCGAUAUUUUCUUCCUUGAGUCUAGCUACUAAAAUAUGCAUAGCAUUGAAACCACAUUUGGGAAAAAGAGUAAAACAAUAUAUUAAUCUUAAUUAACAUCCAAAACUUCUGAGUCACAAAGAAAUUUACCGCACAUAACAAGAAAGAGAUACGUAUGCCAUACCAUACAUUUAACUACCGGAUAAUGCUAUGUAGACUAAAUUUGUAGACGAAAUGAUAUGUUACUAAUAAAAAAUAAACACAUUACAAAAUUUGAUUUACAAAUUUAAUUUCUCUAGCAUUACCGUUAAUUAUAUAAUACUAAAAUUGUUUUAACCAAUUUACCUCAACAGAAGAAAGAUGACAAGAAACAAAAAAAAAACUAGGAUAACGCUAGAAAAACUAAAAUUUCACACCAAAUUUACAAAUCAAAUUAUGUAUCAUAAAUAAAAAUUAAUUAAGCUACACAACACUUCGAAGAUAACUCAAUCAUCUACACCCACUUCGUUUGGUUUAUAAAAUUUAGUUUAAAUUUUUGUCUUCCUAAUUUUAAUAAGGGUGUGCUUUCCACAUACCAUUUUACUUCCCACACACCUUUUUAUAAUUUUUAUCUGAUAAUCUUCUUCAAUUCAUCUAAUCCGAUGGUCGAAAAUUAAAAAGAUAUGUAAAAAGUAAAAUGAGAUAUAUGAAUAUCACGUCAUUUUUAAUAGGGAACUUUAACGAAAAGCUCCCGAUACUGUUUACUUUAAUGAAAAACCAUAUUUUUACACUAAAAAGUCAAUCCUAGUACUAUUCACUUUACUCUUUAUUUUGUCCUUAUCGUUAAAACUCAAAGUUUUCAAACCCUUUUCAUUAGUUUUCCUUUUUUAAUAUUGUUCCUACUUGCAAAUAUUUCCUCAAUUUUCUUGUUCAAUAAAUAGUAUCACUUGUUACUAAGAGCAGUUCCACCGGAGGGCUUUUUGCCCAGCACCCAGCUGAAAAAAUAGGCUAGCACCCAGUGAAUCCCCUCCAGCCGACGCAAUUGACUGGCGCCCAGCCCAAGCCGGUCUCUAGCCCAGUCCAAAAUUGACUGAGGCGUGGCCCGGUCCAUCUGACGCCAGCGUGGCGUCCGACGCCUGGAACCCCGUCCCGAUGCUUCGAACUCCGUCUCCGGCGAGGAAGACAGCUGGACGACGCUACCUUCGAGGACGAGGCUGCCGACCCGGAACUUCCUGUUGAGGACGAGCUGGUCUUGGAAGCUGUUGAGGACGAUGACAUCAAAUCCGGUGAUGCAGCUGAAGGUCAGGGCGUAGGUCCAGAGGCAGCGGGUUUGGAGCUGGCGAGCCCAGGCGCCGAUGUCGACUAGUUUGGGGCGGGUCAAACCGCAGAGGGCGGUGGAGAGGAAGCAGAGGGUGAAGGGGAGGUGGAGAUUUGAUGGAGGGUAGAGAUGGGGAGGGUGAGAGAGAUGGCUCACGGUGAUGGUGAAGGAGAGAGAGGGAGAGAGCUCACUGCCAAAUUAUUAUUUUUUAUUAUUUUAUAAUAAAAAAAAUAAUAUUUUAAUAAAAUGGACUAGGCUAUUUUUUGUUAGGAGUGGAGAUGCUUUGGCCUAUUACUGUUUAUAUGGGUUUAUUACUGUUCACUAGAGUGGAUAAAUGCGCUGAGUGCUAGCACAAAGUCCUUCGGAGUGGACUUGCUCUAAGGAGCGCGAUAGAAAUUAACAAUAAAAUAAAGCCUAGUUCGCUAUUUUAGCUUAGGAACUCAAAUUACAUCAAGGUCUUUAAUUUUUAGGUUUCAUCAAUAACUAAAACUACCUAUAGAGAGAGAGAGAGAGAGAGAGAGAGAGAGAGAGAGAGAGAGAGAGAGAGAGAAGACAAUUCUGCUAAAUAAUAUGUUGCUGCCAAAAUAUCACAAAAGAAAUUACUAGGCAGCUGCUACGACUAACUAAAGAUGGCAUCAUGAGUUAAUUCCAACUUGAAAAUAUUUGAUAUUUCAAUUGUUUUUCUCAGUAAGGAGUGCGAGAUGGAGGACCCCAAGCCAUGACUUGAUGAUAAUGAUCAGGAGGGCUAGUGUUCAUCUGGCACGUUGGACUCGCAACACCACUGCUCCGGCCACCGCCGCCGCCACCGUAAGUGUGACAACUUUGUUCAUUAAUGCAAGGCUUAGUAUCCUCCUCACCUUCAUAUUCACCGCCACCCUCAACCGGCAAAGGCAACCUCUGAAGGGUCGGAUCCAAAAACGUGGCGGCCACAACCAUCACAGUACUCGCCGCCACAACCUUGCCCCCAACAAUCCCUCCAAACACGUGCCCUUGCGCCCCCGCAAGACAUAUCGUGAACGACGAACAAGCCAGAAGAGAAUAAGUCCCGGACAUCGGUACUACGGCCGAACCACCACCACCACCAGCGGCGGAAGGAGAAGAAGAGCAAGCGAUGACGGCCGGGAAGGAGUCUAUGUAAGAGCCGGAGAGAGAGAGGAGGUUGAAUGGACCCUGAAGAGACAGUGACGGUUCGUGGGGCCCGGCUGGGUGUCUCAGCUUUACGUUCAACACCGCCCCUGAACCGCUCAACACACUGAUGCCAACCUGGCGCCUUCGGGCGUACUGUACAAUCGUCUCCACCACAUCGGACCCGGCGGAGAUCUCGAGGACCACCGCCUUCAUCGCUGACCCCGAGUCCUUGGUGAUGACGAUCGGGGGUUUGGGCUUGUUCUUGGACCCCGGCGGUCUCCCUCUCGGUUUCUUUGAGUUUGAGAUGAUAAUAUCACCCAACGGUGAUACCAUGUUCUUGUGUCCGGACGACGAACACCCUCCUCCUCCACCACCACUUGCGCCUCCAGAGAGUGUGGGGACGCUCCGGGGGCUGUGCAUGGAGUCAUCGUCGGAGGCUUGUUGAAGAGAAAUUGCUGCCGCGCCACCAGCACCAGUGUCUGCCAUUUUGAGAAACAAGAACAACACAGACACGAGAGAAGAAAUAAUUUGUUUGAAGGGCAAACAGUUUUUGGGGUUGUUUUAUAUAGAGCCAGUUUCAGGUACUCUAUCUGGGAUUGUCUGUGCUCAUUGAUGGACAAGUACUGAAGAAAGGAAGGAGGAGGGCCCACAGAAAAGUGGAUCCGAAAGAGAAACAAGAAAUUUUUAAUUGUAACGAUAAAAUAAGUGGUACAUUACGUAUUUUAAUAGAAUGAGUGGAAAAUUUUAUUUUUAAAAUUUUUAACUUUUUAACACAUGUAUCUCAUAAUUAAUUUAAUGACACGUAAUGUAUCAUUCUGUGUUCUAAUUACAUUGAAAAAUCUCUCAAAACAGAGAACAGAGAGCUUCUGGUUGGACAGAGAAACGGUGAUGGACGUAUGAUCCUCUGUUUACUGGUUGCAAGCUAGGGCUCCAAGUACAUUGUGGCAUUGUCCAUUUCCACGUACUGGACCCGCAAAUACGCCGAGGCCUACACCUGUCAAAUUUCUUGCACAACUGAACACGAAGCAAAAAUAAUAAGUUUCAUGUCAAUAUUAGGUCGCCGGUUUAAGAGUUCUUAACAAGUUUAUCUGUGAGUAAUCCAUUUCAACCCAUUAAAAAACAUUAAUUUGAUAAUUUUAAACUACUAAAAAAAUCUUACUAGCAACCGUAAUAGGCACAAAAUUUAAUCUUACAUAAGUGAGAUUCAAAUAUUCCAAAGUACAUUAAAAAUACAAAAACAAUUAAAAAUUCAUAAUAAUUAAUUUACAACUGUGCAAAAUGUGAAAAAAAAAAUUAUGCAAACAUUUGUGAUUGCAUCUUUUAGGCUUUAACGAUGGAUACAUUGUCAUUUGGAUUUUUAAAACCUUAAUAAACCCUCUUUAUUGAAACCAAAUUCGCGUACUGCUAUGAGCAGUGGAGAUGAACAAAUCUGAGAAACAUGUAAAAAGGAAAAAAACCGUGAGCAAGCCUAAGAUCCGGGGGGGGGGGGGAGGAGAGUGAGGGUCUGCUGGCCAAAGGCUCUCCGACAAUCAAGUGAGUAAGCAAAUAUAAGACUUAAGCAAUGAGCAAGAAAAUUAGAAUGCAUAGAUUGUGUUACCAGAGACGAAACCUAAAUACAUGUAUAUAUAUAUGUAUCAAUAUGGAGAGAAACCUUUUUAGGAUAGAAUCCUUGUUCUAAGCUGGGAGAAUCCUAGAGGAUAUCUAGAAGUAGAUAUUGCAUCAUCUUUCGGAGUGUGAUGUGGUGCACGCCAAUUCUUAGAUUGUAGGAACACCAAGAUUUAUCGAGAUACGGCUAAUUCCAUUCUAGAUCGAUCAAAAAUCCUAUGUCUUGUGGAACAAGCAUGGUCAUUCUAGCUAAGUUACUCAGACUUUGCCCAUUGCCCCAGAGCAUAGUGAUGGUGGCACUGCUGCUCUGUUUGAUCCAGCUCCAUUUAUAGCUAGUGAGUCCAUGACCGAACUUUUGAGGUAGCUAUAUCUCGAUCAGCCUUAUUUCGGCCCCACAACUACCCCUAACUAUGUAUCUGAAAACAACUUUUUUCCUUUAGGAUGGAUACUUAUCCAAAGACCAUGUUUUUCGGAGUAAGCUGGAAUACGUACCAUUUAAUCUUAUGUUUUCAUAUGGUGAUCCGACUCCUUGUGAAGUAAUGGAGACGUUUCGGAUUGAGACAUGCAGUCUUGAGUACCGUACUAUAAAUGGUGUAAAGAUGAUGUCUACUUUUGUUGCGUGUGCACCAAAAUAAGAAAUUACCUCUAAUACUCUUCAUUGAUUUUAACCGUCAGAUUUGUUGAUCCCAAGAAAAGCCAGUUCAUAUUCAAUAGCUAGAUGGCUUCAUUAAAUGCUAUCUAUUAACCUCGAACCAUUUUCUUCCUCUUUUAAAAAAUCCCUAAAUUGUUUAAGGAAAAAAGGCUCCAACUUUCUUCCCUUACUCAUUAAAAAAUUUCCUAAUCUUUUCAACCCUUUUCCAUGGUAUUUGCUAGCAAGACUUCAAAAUUACACAAGGUCUCACCUUACAAUCUUCCGCUAACGAGAGUCUAUAGUAGAGAAGAGGGCCAAGCCUUUGUUGAAAGUCAUCUAGAUAUCUUAAAUCAAUGUAAAGUUUGGUGGGAACCUAGCCAAGAUGUUAAUGUUAAUCUUCUUGUGCCAUUUGAUCCCUCUGUGUCCCUGCACCAAAAUUCAUCCAUGGUUCUUAGACCUAAGUCUAAGGUUUCCUCUACCUGACCUUCUAAGCGGCAUCUUGAUUAGCUACAACAUGGCUAUCUGCAACCAAACCCUAACCGCUUUCAUACUCAACACGUGCUUCAAGAUUCUAAAUCAAUGGUAUGGGGCUAAACUUGGCCUUCAAAAAUUUAGAGUGUUAUUCAAUGCAUGUAAAAACUUUGAUGGCCACAAUUACUUCAUGCUCAGACCCAGCCUCAUCUGGGAGCUAUACAUCUUGGAUGUCCCUUCACACGACAAUGAUUGGUUCAAAGACAUUCUUGCUGUUGACGGUGAUUAGGAGUGAGAUGUCACGGGAGUUAGAGUUAGGACUAUUCUUUCUCCCAAUUUUAAUUCAAUAAUGAAUUGGAAGACAUAGGGGUGUGUCGGCCAGAGUUGAUUAACCAAGCAAUGCAAAUUCCUGCCAAGUACCAUAACUAGAAAUGGUUGUUUUUCCCAAUUUGAUUUUCUGAUCAUGGGAAGAGUCGUACUAUCAAUAUUGCUCAAAGUUCUCCCAUCCUGAAUCCAGAAUGGAUUGGAGCAAAAAAUGCCCAUAAGGGGAUCCAUUUCUUUAAGUCCAAAAUAUCUCCAACUUCUGAGAAGAAAACCCGAAAAAGAUCUGACUCUGCGUUUUCAACACUAUUAGUUGCUCCUUACCAAACAUAUAUGUCGAUAACAGAUAUGGCACCCGAGAAUACGAAAACAGAGGAAGAGACUCCAUUGUUAAGGAAAAAUAUACCAACUUCCUCCAUCUUUCUCACAAAGACCAUUGCAAACUUCAAACCUGAUGCCCCACCGUCACAGUAGCAAAAGAUUUCACUGGCACAUGCUAGUGAAGUCCAGUCCCAGAAACUUCCUUUUACUCCAAUUCAGAAUCUUUUAGUGGCAAAAGGGAUUACCCAAACCUAUGGGGGCAUUCACAUGGUUGAUACUUCUUUACCUAUUGCUUUGCAUAUACUUGAAGAGAUGAUGUAACCUCUACUUGUGCUCAGACCGUGAUAAACCACAUUGUUUUCCCGAUGAAUGCCAGCGGUCUUCGAAACGCGGAUUACACUUGAGCUUUACUUGGUUUUGCGAUUGCUCUUGCAAAUUAAAAGAAGGUUCGCAUAACCUUCAAAAAUGUCAUGAUGCGAUGUCAUGAAAGCUGUUAUACGGUAAUUCAUCAUUCCUUUUUUUGCAAAAUGAUUUCAGUAAUUUUCGUCUUUUCCUUCUAACUCAUAUUGGUCAGGAUCACGUAUAGACGAAAGAGUCAUUCUUUCGACAAGUGGAGUAGAUUCGCCAUCUUAAUUGGUUUUCCUUACAAGAAUCAGAGGCUACAUUGAAGCUUGAGUAGCAAGUACAAGCUCAGUUGGCGAAGCUCAAAAUAAUGGAGAAGUACAUCGAUGAGGCUACCCUUGAGGAAAUGAAGAUGAGUAACAACAAAGCUGAUCUCAUUAAUGCGCAAGAUGAGCUAGAGCAAAAGCUUAAGGUCAAAGUUGAAUCGAAACGGGUACUAUCUUCAAAACGGAGUGCUGAGGAAGCAUACAUGAUGGCCUGUAGUCAGAGGUGGAGAAACUUCGUAACAAGGUUCAGCAAAAAGACAACGUUCAUUGUAUGAUCUUCAACAACUUAAGGAUUUGCAUGAGUUAGAGUUUGAGGCUUUUUGUGUUGCUCAUAGGAAGCCAAUUAAAGAAGAAUAUACCGAAUGGUACAACCUCGAGUAUCUUUUAGGCUACACGCGACGAGACCAUCUUGGUGGCUGGGACAUCCAUAAGAUCUACGAAGAAAUCGAAAAUACUAACUUCCUUAUGCUAGAAGACUUACUAAACGAGAUCUUGGAUCUAGAAGCAAAGCGAGAGGGAAAGUGUAGCUCUAGUGAUGAUCUAGUAUCCAAUGUGCCUACUGAUCCUUCGACUUCUGCUAGAGAAAAGGGUGUUGGUAAAAGAGAUUGACUUAAUGUUUUGCCAGGAUAGGAGCAUAUGUCUCUUCUAAGACUCAGAUUUAUUUGCCUCUGUAUUAAAAAGUUUUAUUCUUUCAUUAAUUGCUUCUUUGUGUGUGUAUAUGUUUGUCUUUUUAAAUGAACAUCGAUCAAGUUUUAGGAACUUCUCGUCAUUUGCUUCUAUAUUCGAGAAUAUAGUUUAAUCUGACAAUCGUUGACAAUCUUUUCGAAGUAAGCUAACUUCGAAGUAAUGAGUGACAGAGCGGAACACGAGUAAGUUUGUGAGCCAAGGAUAGAGCUCGAAUGCCUCCUUAGUAAUGCUGAUUCGAACAACAUUACCUAUCCUCAUCAUGAUUGCCAAAGUACCACCUUACUUUGGUACCGAAAUUAAACCCAUGAAAAAUAUUUACUCUACAAUUGCCUCAGUUUAUUGAUCAGAUUAAGGAUGGGAAAGUAACGUCCUGACUUUUGGAAUGGCUUCCAAUCUUUGUUUUGCUUGCCCCUGAUUCAUGGUUGAAGGUCUUCGUAUAUGUAAUGUGUAACUUAAGGAAGGUUUCUUCCUUAGUGAUAGGAGCAUAUUUAUGCGACUUAGUUAGCUUGUUUUCUUGCACUUUUAUAGUUAGUUUGUGGUUAUUAAAGUGUUUUAAGCUAUUUUUGUGUGUUUGUAGGUCUAAAUGACAAAGUUGGCAAGAAAGUGAAUUUUGGAGCAUUUUGGAGCAGUUUUGGGCACUAAAUGGAUAGCACAUGUAUGGGCCAAGAUGGAUGGACGAAUUUGGAGUUCAAAAGGCUAGGAAUCUGAUAAGAAGAGGAAGAAAUUAAAUUCAAGACAAAAAAAGAUAAGGAAUAAGCUCAAAAGAGGAAACAUUAUCCACAACCUUAUCCAACCUUAUCUUAUCCAAACCAACCUUAUCUUAUCUUAUCCUAUCCUAAUCUUAUCAUGUCUUAAUCCUAGCUGCAAGGGGACCUAAAUAUAUAUUUCUAGAACCUAUUUCUAGAAGAUUUCCCUUCUAGAAGUCCCAAAUCAGCCACAAAACACAUUGUUUCUAGAAAUCCUACAAAAGUGGCACCUAUUUCCUUUCUAGAAUGCUUUUGCCUUGCCUUGCAAGCUAUUCUCUUUUCCCUCCAAUGUGUGCCGCACCCUCUAUCCCUUUUCCUUGGUGGAUUCUGAUUUAUUAGGCCUUAUUCCUUGUGGAUUUGGGUUACAAGGAUUUGGGUUAUACAAAUCCUUUUCUGAAAUUAAGUGGGCUAGACCUUUUCCUUAGUGGAUUUAACUCCUUGUGCCGCACCCUAGGGCCUUAAUUCUCCUAAUGUGCUGAUUUCUAACCUUAAUUUGAUUUACCCUAGGGUUUUGUGGAGCCUAUAUAUACAUAUUUUUAGCACAAAUUCGUCACCACCUUCAUACAACUCAAAAAACACCUUUGCCGUAACCCUAACCACCAUUCUACAUCACAAAACACCAUCCUACAUCCAUAUACAUCUUUGCCACACCUUUUGGAGAAGAAGGAGAGCCUUGUCGUGCAUUCCAUUGAUGAAUGAGGGCCUUGUGCGCAAGCCAUCUGCAUCCUUGGGAGUUUUAAGCGUUCUUUCUUUCCUCGUUUCAAUUUCGAUGUUUAUUUUAAUUUGCGUUUCAAUUGCUAUGAACAUGUGGAAUUAAACUCUUAUUAGUUAGUGGUGAAUUUGAAGCCAUGGACAUAUGUUAAUAUGAAUUGAUUCCUUUCAGUUAUUGUUUCGUAAAACAUGAAUGCGAUUUACUUAUCUAUUUGAUUGAUAACUUAUUCUUGUGUGUUGAUUAAGGAGGCCUACUUAGUUUGCAUGCUUGAAUCUGAUGUUAAAUUAUAAGGGACUUUCACCUAAUCGUUAUAAACUUAUGAUUACAAGUAGUGGAGAUUGUUAGUCACAAUCGUAUUAAGUAGAUUCUUGGCAAAAGUAUCAUGCAGUUCAUAGUUAUAAUUGUCUUGUCAAUGCUUAUGAUUUCCAUGGAAUUUAAUGAUCUUUGAAUGUAUCUCUAUCAUGCUGUUCAUAUAGGGAGAUUGAGAAGAAUAAUUUGGGUUGUUGCAUGCAUUCAUCCAAUUCAAUGAAUUUAGGGAAAUCUGAUAGUUAAUUUGUGCAUUCACGAUUAAUUUGGGGCAUUUGUCGUUCAUGGUUUAAAGAAACAAUACUGGAAAUUGACUUAUGUUGCAUAUGUUCAUGUGUGGAGAAGGAUCCUCUAACUAGCUUUUCACCCUUGAAUUCAUCUUAAUUUCAUUUUAGUUUACUUUGAUUUGCAAUUUGUUUAGUUUUAAUUCAAUUUCGUCAGAAAUCAAACCCCAUUUUCUGUUUUAUGUUAUUAGGUCAGAAUCUGUCCUAAUUAGGUUCUCUAGAGUGUUUUGAGUCAAUAUAGGUUAGAAUUAGUCCAUAAACAUUGUUUGAGUCUUAAUUUAGUCUUAAAUUCGUCCAAUUUCAUCCCUAGAAUCUGUUUUGAGUCUAAUUGUUAGUAUUGUACUGUUUUGAGUCUUUUAAGUACAUUCUGAGUUAGUUAAGGUACAACCUGUUUUCUUUUAAUCUUUUGAGUCAAAGUAAGUGUUAAUUUCGUCCAAAGUACUUGUUAGGUCUAGAAUUGAGUCAAUUUCAUUUAGUUUGGCAGAUUUGAAUGUUUUAGGUCAGUUUAGAGUCUAGAGAGUCUAUUCUUGUGUUUUUAAGUCUAGUUUAGUGUUUUAGAGUUUGAUUUGAGUAGAUUAGCAGCCCUAGUUAAUCCUCGGUUUAGAACAAUCCCUACUUACAUCUUUGCUACAAUUGUCAUCAAUAGGGUUUAAUUUGUGUGUCAAGUAAUUUUCACAUCAAAUUUUGGCGCCGUUGCCGGGGAUUAGCAAACUUGCUCACUUCGAGAGUCAUUCUCUUGAGGAAGAAUAUUAAUGGCAUUCAACAAAGCCAAGGAGAGUCCUUUCCAGCAUACUAUGAGCGUUUUAAGGCUUUUGUUGCCUCAUGUCCUCAGCACCAAAUGAAAGAAGAACUUCUACUUCAAUACUAUUACGAAGGACUUCUUCCAAUUGAGCGACAAAUGCUAGAUGCUUCAGCGGGAGGUGCAUUGGUUGACAAAACACCAAUGGCUGCAAAAACCUUAAUUGCCAACCGAGCGCUAAAUGCACAACAAUACGAAGGGCUUGGACAAAGAGACCCCCUCUAACAGCAAGUUAAUGAGGUAAGUUCUAUGUCUGACAUUCAAUCACAAUUAACUAACCUCACUUCUAUUAUAUCUCAGAUGGCCGAAGGGAUGAAGAUACAAGGACCAAGUGUUUGUGGCGUGUGUUCUAUGCAAGGACAUCUUAAUGACCAAUGCCCUCAAUUGAUUGAGAAUGGAGGGUGGGAAUCUGCCAAUGCCGUGGGUUUUUAGAGCCAAAGUCAGCCACGAAACGAUCCAUACUCCAACACUUACAAUCUGGGAUGGAGAGAUCAUCCCAAUUUCAAGUGGAGAGAGCCACAACAACCUGCCCAACAAGGGGGAUUUCGGAAAACACCACCUGGAGUGUUUCAAAGGCUGUAUGCACCACCACAAUCUGCCCAACAAAAUUCAGGUUCGAAAUUAGAUGAUGAUACACUUCUUCAAUUACUAAGUUCACUUACGCAGGGCCAACAAAAUCAAGCUAAGGAGAUGAGUGAAGUGAAGAAACAAAUAGGGCAUAUUUCUGAGUUUAUGGGGCAGUUUCGUGAAGAAGGAAAACUCCCUAGUUCAACCAUUGUGAAUCCGAAUGGAGGUUUCGAAUCCGCUAAAGCUAUUACGUUGAGAAGCGGAAAAGAGGUGGGAAUCAAGCAAAAUACAUCCAAACAAAGUCAAAACAAGGAUGAAAAGUUGCUGAGUGAAGAUGAGGAAUUAGACAAAGCCACGACAAGGAAAGAAGUUCCAUUGCCGCAGCCAUCUAGUGCACCUAAACCGUCCAAUUCAGGUAAGGGUGAUGUAAUUGUGAACCAUUUUAACCCUAUUCCACCCAAUGCACCUUUCCUACAUAGAUUUAUGCAAUCAAAGAAGGAGGAGAAUGAGAAGGACAUUCUUGAGACAUUUAGAAAGGUGCAAGUGAAUAUCCCACUCCUUGAUGCAAUUAAACAAGUUCCAAGGUAUGCCAAGUUUUUUAAGGAACUUUGUGCAACAAGAAAGAGGAUUUCAAACAAAGAAGUUGUAAAGGUAAGUGAGAAUGUGUUAGCCGUUUUGCAAAGAAAACUACCACCAAAAUGCAAAGAUCCUGGUAGUUUUACAAUUCCUUGUGUUAUUGGAAAUACCAAGUUUGAGCAUGCUAUGUUAGAUCUAGGUGCAUCCAUUAAUGUCAUGCCAUACUCCAUUUAUGCAUCUAUGAACCUAGGAGAGCUUAAAAACGAUGGUGUUAUCAUUCAAUUAGCCGAUCAUUCUAAUGCAUACCCAAAAUGGGUUUUGGAAGAUGUUUUGGUGCAGGUUAAUGACUUAGUAUUUCCAGCGGAUUUCUAUGUGCUUGAGAUGGAAGAUUCGGGCCAUUCCACAUCCUUGCCGAUCCUCCUUGGAAGACCCUUCAUGAAAACAGCCCGCACCAAGAUAGAUGUGUUUAAAGGAACACUCACAAUGGAAUUUGAUGGGGAUGUUAUUGAUUUCAAUAUUUCUGAAUCUAUUAAAUAUCCUAAGGAUGAUCAUUCUUGCUUCUCUAUUGAUGUAUUUGAUGCUUUGGCACAGGACUACCUUGACUCAUUGGAGAGGGACCCUCUUGAAACCACCAUAGUACACGGAGUGGGACUUAACAAACCAAAGGCAGCAAUUGAGCACACUCACGGCAAGAAUGAUGAUGCCUAUGCCGUGCCUCCUAGUGCAGAAAUAUAGUGCAGAAAUAAAAGAGAUGGUUGCUGCCCUUGAGUCAUUGCCACAACAUCUUGGUAAGCCUCCUAACCCAAUUCCAAUUCCCGUUUCUACUAACAAGUUGUUACCUUCUGUGAUUCAGGCACCCGUCCUUGAGCUUAAACCGUUGCCGGACCAUUUGAAGUAUGUAUUUUUGGGAGAUGAUGAGACAUUGCCCGUCAUUGUUUCUUCAUCACUCACGGCAUUGGAGGAGGAGAAGUUGAUUCGGGUGUUGAAAAAGCACAAAACGGCAAUUGGAUGGACAUUGGCCGACAUUAAGGGAAUUAGCCCUACAACUUGCAUACAUCGCAUACUUCUAAAGGAAGGGGCUAAACCAACUCGAGAGGCUCAACGUUGACUUAACCCUCCAAUGAUGGAAGUUGUGAAGAAGGAGAUUAUCAAGCUUCUUGAUUGUGGAGUCAUUUACCCCAUCUCAGAUAGUCGUUGGGUUUCCGGUUCAAGUUGUACAAUCAGGAGUCACCGUGGUGAAGAAUGCAAAGAAUGAGCUUGUGCCUACACGUAUCCAAACCGGUUGGCGAGUGUGCAUUGACUAUAGGAAGUUAAACGCCACCAUAAGGAAUGACCACUUCCCUUUGCCGUUCAUUGAUGAAAUGCUUGAAAGGUUAGCUGGUCAUUCUUUUUAUUGCUUUCUAGAUGGUUAUUCGGGAUAUAAUCAAAUUGUUAUAGCUCUAGAUGAUCAAGAAAAGACUACUUUUACUUGUCCAUUUGGCACUUUUGCUUAUCGUUGAAUGCCAUUCGGGUUGUGUAAUGCACCAGCCACAUUCCAACGAUGCAUGAUAAGUAUAUUCUCAGAUUUUGUGGAAAAGAUUAUUGAGGUUUUCAUGGAUGAUUUUAGUGUCUUUGGUGAUUCGUUUGAUGGUUGUUUAGAUAAUCUCACUUUAAUCUUAAACCGGUGCAUUGAAACUAAACUUGUUUUGAAUUGGGAAAAAUGUCACUUUAUGGUUAAACAAGGCAUAGUUUUAGGUCACAUAGUUUCUGCAAAGGGAAUAGAGGUUGAUAAAUCAAAAAUAGAUCUUGUGCGUUACUUACCUUCUCCCACUACGGUGAGAGAGGUUCGUUCUUUUCUUGUACAUGCAGGAUUCUAUAGGCGAUUCAUCAAAGAUUUUUCCAAGAUUUCCCAAUCCCUUUGCCGACUUCUUCAAAAGGAUGUGACAUUCAAGUUCGAUGAUGAGUGUGAGAAGGCAUUCAAUCACCUCAAGGAGAAGCUAACUUCGGCCCCCAUCAUAGUCCCACCAGAUUGGAGCCUUCCCUUUGAGCUUAUGUGUGAUGCUUCAGAUUAUGCAUUAGGGGCUAUUUUGGGACAAAGAAGGGACAAGAAGCCACACGUCAUCUACUAUGCAUCCCGGACUUUGAAUGAUGCACAAUUAAAUUAUUCCACCACUGAAAAAGAACUUCUUGCUGUUGUAUUUGCUUUAGAUAAGUUUCGUUCAUAUCUACUUGGAACUAAAGUUAUUGUUUACACUGAUCAUGCAGCUUUGAAGUAUUUGCUCACAAAGAAGGAGGCCAAGCCAAGGCUUAUUCGUUGGAUGCUACUUCUCCAAGAGUUUAACGUGGAAAUCCGGGACAAGAAAGGAAGUGAAAACGUGGUGGCUGACCAAUUGAGCCGAAUGGUGCAUGAAGAAGAUGCCAAUGCCGUGCCCAUCCCAGAGACAUUCCCAGAUGAGUAGUUGCUAUCCAUUAAGGUAAGCGAGCCAUGGUAUGUCGAUCUAGUUAAUUAUUUGGUCACUAAGCAUGUCCCAAGCACCCUAAAUAAGCACCAACGUGAUAAACUCAAGAAGGAUGCACGAUUUUAUGUUUGGGAUGACCCUUAUUUGUGGAAACAUUGCCUGACCAGAUUCUACGUAGGUGUGUGCAUGAUUCCGAGUUUCAUUUGAUUUUAACUUUCUGUCACAUGUAUGCAUGUGAGGGUCAUUUUAGCACACAACGCACAGCACAUAAGGUUUUAGAAUGUGGAUUUUAUUGGCCUACAAUUUUUAGAGAUGCUAGAACCUUUUGUAUAACCUGUGAUCGUUGUCAAAGAAUGGGAAAUAUAACAUCAAAAGACCAAAUGCCGUAACAUCCUAUAUAUUCCGUUGAGAUUUUUGAUGUUUGGGGUAUAGAUUUCAUGGGUCCAUUUCCUUCCUCCCAUGGUUUUCUUUAUAUAUUACUUGUUGUGGAUUAUGCUUUGAAAUGGGUGGAAGCAAAAGCCACCCAUACUAAUGAUUCUAAAGUGGUUGCAGAUUUUAUUAGAACUAACAUAUUUGCAAGGUUUGGAAUGCCCAGAGUGCUCAUUAGUGAUGGAGGAUCCCAUUUUUGUAAUCGAACCAUUGAGGCGUUGCUCAAGAAGUACACACGCAUAAGGUUUCCACACCUUAUCAUCCUCAAACAAGUGGGCAAGCCGAGGUUUCAAAUAGGGAAAUCAGGCAAAUUUUAGAGAAGACAGUGGGACCAACUCGAAAAGAUUGGAGCUUGCGCUUAAAUGAUGCAUUGUGGGCAUAUAGAACGGCCUACAAAACACCAAUUGGGAUGUCCCUAUUUCGGCUCAUCUAUGGGAAACCAUGUCAUCUUCCGGUUGAGUUAGAGCAUCGUGCACAUUGGGCCGUCAAGACAUUCAAUAUGGACAUUGAUGCCCCUAGGAUCCAUAGGAAAUUGCAAUUAAAUGAGCUUGAGGAGAUUAGGAAUGAAGCUUAUGAGAACGCUUUCAUUUACAAGGAGAAAGCAAAGGCCACCCAUGACAUGAUGAUUCGUGGAAAGACAUUCUCUAUAGGGCAGAAAGUGUUACUCUUCAAUUCCCAUCUUCGGUUAUUUCCGGGUAAGUUGCGUUCUAAAUGGAUUGGACCUUUUGUUAUUACUAAUGUUUUUCCUCAUGGUGCAGUCCAAAUUCAAAGUUUGAAGACGGGACAUGAAUUCAAGGUCAAUGGACACCGUUUGAGGCCCUACUAUGAGACAUUUGAGGAGCAUACCGUGGAGGACAUACCCCUCCAUGUCGUGGGCCCUAUUCAAGCUUAAACAUAGGUAUCGUUCGGUUGGAAGACGUUAAAGCAAGCACUUCUUGGGAGGCAACCCAUGUGUUUCAACGCGGGAUUGAAGGGAUUCGAGCUCCAUAACCAGAUUUGCGUUCUUAAACCCUACCCUUUCUUGUUUUUACUUUGCCAUGUUUGUCGUGUUUGUUAGUUGUGUUGAUUGCUUGCAUCUGUGUGAGUCUAUGUUUGAAACAUUGAGGACAAUGUUUGGUUUAAGUGUGGGGGGGGUAAACAAGUGUUUUUAUUGAAAUUUCGUGGGAUUUUAUCACCCAUAACUUCCAAAGUUGUUCCUUGCUGUUUUUAAGUGUUUUUAAGCUGUUUUGGUGCAUUUUAGUGUGUUUUGACAUAUAAAUCCGAAAAUCUCAUAAAAAUUUGAAAAAGUGUUUUGAAAACCCAAAAAGAGUUGUUUUUGUGUGUUUGUUUGUGUCUUAGGGUACCUUUCAACACAAUGAUGAGGAUUUGGUUUUUAAUUGCAUGACUGUUAAAGAAAGUGACAAACAUGGAUGGAAGUUUGAUAUACUCUUUGGUUUAUGCUUGGUUGUAGUUAAAGUUUACGAAUUCACAUGUAGUCACAAAGGAAAAAAUCAGUUUUUGUAACAUGCUUGAAGGAAGGAACUCAAACUAACGCUACAACCUUGAGAGACUUGAGCCUAAACUUUAUUUGGAGAGUUAUUAAUCUGUGAUUUCUUGUUUUCUAAAGUCGUUGCAUGAUCUCAUUAUUCUUUGCUUGGUUGCUACUUAGAAUGCGUUUUAUCACUUUAGUUCCAAAUACUAGAACUCAUACCUGUUUCAUUCAAAACUUGAAAUUGAGUGCAUAACAUAUAGCAAGAUGAAGUUGUUAGUAGUUACCACUAGAGCCAAAAAGCCUUCAUCCCAUGCAUUUGUUUUGUAGGUUUAACCCCUUUGAGCCUUAAUUAGCCUAUUUUCUUUGUUAGCCACAUUAUCCUUACCUAGCCUAGAAUAGGACUAUCCACACCCUUGUUCUUAAAGUAUAGUGGAGCAAGACUUAGAGGGAAUUCCUUUUGAUCAACAUUGUUCCAGAAAACAAGCGUGGGGGAAGAGAUUUUUGUGUAUGUGUGCCAAAGUCUUAAAAGAGGCACGGGUAAAAAAAAAAAAAAAAAAAAAAAAAGAAAAAAAAAGAGAGAAAAAUUCAUCGAAAAUAAAAAAAAAAGUUGUGAAAAGAAUAAAGAAGAGCUAAAAAAUAUGUGAAAAAGAGUUCUAAAGUGUUGUUUGUUGAAGAAAGGGUCCAAAAAGCUUGAAUUUGACCCUAAGUGUUGCAUGAAUUCCCCCUUUGCGUUUAAAAGUUGAUUUCUGCAUUCUAAAGUGAACUCUAUGUUGAUUUCAUUACUUUGCUUACUAUUGCUUUAAGAACUUUUGUUUAUCCUUAACCUUUCAUUGUUAGCCAAUACCCUUAGCCCCGUUACAACCCUUAUACUUCAAUCUUGGAUGUUGUGUGUUUUAAUCUGUGGAGUUUGGGAUUGGUAUGAGCAUAUGGUAUCCCUGGUUCUCGCGUCUAAGUAGUGGCAUUCCAUUCAUGAGAUCAUAUACAUGUUUAUGUUAAUAACUCCAGAAAUUGCUUUCUUUGAUGAUGACAUAUGUGAGUGUUAGCUUUCAUGUUUACAUCAAUCUUCUCACAUAUACCUAGUAUAGGGAGUGUAGUAAGAAAUUCUGUGUGAAAAUAGAGUGUAUAUCCAGUGAGGAAUUGAGGGAAUUCUCUAAGGCGUGUUACUACAUUCAAAAUGUUGUUUUAUGUGAUUAAAUGCGAACUAGUAAGUGAUGACUGUGAUUAAGUAUGCGCUUGAGGGUAGGGAUAACUAAAAUCCAUGUGAGUAGUGAUUUUUAAUGUGUCAUGUUUCAUUGGAAAUCCUUGAGGCAAAUGUUGGAAGGUUUAGGUUAUUUUUUUGUUUUGUUUCCUUUGUUUUGCUCGAGGACUAGCAAAAGCUAAGUAUGGGGGAAUUUGGUAGGAGCAUAUUUAUGCGACUUAGUUAGCUUGUUUUCUUGCACUUUUAUAGUUAGUUUGUGGUUAUUAUAGUGUUUUAAGCUAUUUUCGUGUGUUUGUAGGUCUAAAUGACAAAGUUGGCAAGAAAGUGAAUUUUGGAGCAUUUUGGAGCAGUUUUGGGCACUAAAUGGAUAGCACAUGUAUGGGCCAAGAUGGAUGGACGAAUUUGGAGUUCAAAAGGCUAGGAAUCUGAUAAGAAGAGGAAGAAAUUAAAUUCAAGACAAAGAAGAUAAGGAAUAAGCUCAAAAGAGGAAACAUUAUCCACAACCUUAUCCAACCUUAUCUUAUCUUAUCCUAUCCUAAUCUUAUCAUGCCUUAAUCCUAGUUGCAAAGGGACCUAAAUAUAUAUUUCUAGAACCUAUUUCUAGAAGAUUUCCCUUCUAGAAGUCCCAAAUCAGCCACAAAACACAUUGUUUCUAGAAAUCCUACAAAAGUGGCGCCUAUUUCCCUUCUAGAAUGCUUUUGCCUUGCCUUUCAAGCUAUUCUCUUUUCCCUCCAAUGUGUGCCGCACCCUCAAUCCCUUUUCCUUGGUGGAUUCUAAUUUAUUAGGCCUUAUUCCUUGUGGAUUUGGGUUAUACAAAUCCUUUUCUGAAAUUAAGUGGGCUAGACCUUUUCCUUAGUGGAUUUAACUCCUUGUGCCGCACCCUAGGGCCUUAAUUCUCCUAAUGUGCUGAUUUCUAACCCUAAUCUGAUUUACCCUAGGGUUUUGUGGAGCCUAUAUAUACGUAUUUUCAACACAAAUUCGUCACCACCUUCAUACCACUCAAAAACACCCUUGCCGCAACCCUAACCACCAUUCUACAUCACAAAACACCAUCCUACAUCCAUAUACAUCUUUGCCACACCUUUUGGAGAAGAAGGAGAGCCUUGUCGUGCAUUCCAUUGAUGAAUGAGGGCCUUGUGCGCAAGCCAUCUGCAUCCUUGGGAGUUUUAAGAGUUCUUUCUUCCCUUGUUUCAGUUUCGAUGUUUAUUUUAAUUUGCGUUUCAAUUGCUAUGAACAUGUGGAACUAAACUCUUAUUAGUUAGUGGUGAAUUUGAAGCCAUGGACAUAUGUUAAUAUGAAUUGAUUCCUUUCAGUUAUUGUUUCGUAAAACAUGAAUGCGAUUUACUUAUUUAUUUGAUUGAUAACUUAUUCUUGUGUGUUGAUUAAGGAGGCCUACUUAGUUUGCAUGCUUGAAUCUGAUGCUAAAUUAUAAGGGACUUUGACCUAAUCGUUAGAAACUUAUAAUUACAAGUAGUGGAGAUUGUUAGUCACAAUCGUGUUAAGUAGAUUCUUGGCAAAAGUAUCAUGCAGUUCAUAGUUAUAAUUGUCUUGUCAAUGCUUAUUAUUUCCAUGGAAUUUAAUGAUCUUUGAAUGUAUCUCUAUCAUGAUGUUCGUAUAGGGAGCUUGAGAAGAAUAAUUUGGGUUGUUGCAUGCAUUCAUCCAAUUCAAUGAAUUUAGGGAAAUCUGAUAGUCAAUUUGUGCAUUCACAAUUAAUUUGGGGCAUUGUCGUUCAUGGUUUAAAGAAACAAUACUGGAAAUUGACUUAUGUUGCAUAUGUUCAUGUGUGGAGAAGGAUCCUCUAACUAGCUUUUCACCCUUGAAUUCAUCUUAAUUUCGUUUUAGUUUACUUUGAUUUGCAAUUUGUUUAGCUUUAAUUCAAUUUCGUCAAAAAUCAAACCCCAUUUUCUAUUUUAUGUUAUUAGGUCAGAAUCUGUCCUAAUUAGGUUCUCUAGAGUGUUUUGAGCCAAUAUAGGUUAGAAUUAGUCCAUAAACAUUGUUUGAGUCUUAAUUUAGUCUUAAAAUCGUCCAAUUUCAUCCCUAGAAUCUGUUUUGAGUCUAAUUGUUAGUAUUGUGCUGUUUUGAGUCUUCUAAGUACAUUAUGAGUUAGUUAAGGUACAACCUGUUUUCUUUUAAUCUUUUGAGUCAAAGUAAGUGUUAAUUUCGUCCAAAGUACUUGUUAGGUCUAGAAUUGAGUCAAUUUCAUUUAGUUUGGCAGAUUUGAAUGUUUUAGGUCAGUUCAAAGUCUAGAGAGUCUAUUCUUGUGUUUUAAGUCUAGUUUAGACUUUUAGAGUUUGAUUUGAGUAGAUUAGCAGCCCUAGUUAAUCCCUGGUUUAGAACGAUCCCUACUUACAUCUUUGCUACAAUUGUCAUCAAUAGGGUUUAAUUUGUGUGUCAAGUAAUUUUCACAUCACUUAGGUCGAAUUGCCCAUCAUUUCUAGUGAAUCUUAAAUGAAAGUUCUUUAGGGACUUAGCCGUUGGCAUUCGGGUCGAAACACCUUUGAAAUCCUUUUGUCAGACCCUAUGCAUCGAACCUGAAUGUUUCCGAUUUGAUUACCUUGGCUGACUUAGCAGAAGAAUUUUUGUGUUUGGAACAAAUUUCCUCUUGGGGAUUGCCUAAUCUUAUGCCCCAUUCGGACCUAUUGAACACAUGGUGUCGCAUAAUAUACUUGACUUAAGAUGUUGGUUCGGGAUAGAAGUAGUCGUACUCGAGGUUGGAGUUCAGAGCCACUCUCAGAUGAUUUCUAGAUCACCCUUUCAACUAUUCCCUCGAAUGGCUAGAGCCCAGGUUUGAAUGUUAUAACCCACAACCUUAUCAGUUGCAUAAACUUUUCGGAGGCCAUAUGGUGCAUUGAACUUUCACAUCAGGGCACCAUGUACCAGUGUCCGUAGCCUGCCAAUCCUAACCACACUUAUUAUGGUUCGAGUCUCCCACUGCUAAUUAAACAGUACGAAAUAGGCUAAAAGAGACAUCUAACAGUGUUACUUUGGACAUUUAGACCUGCAAUCAUGCGAAGUUUUUUAUGCUUUAUUCGAGUGAAUGAGGUAUUCCCUACAUCACUGGAAAAAAAAAAGAAAAAAAACAUUGAACAUGCGAUAAACUAACUUCAGAAUCUUUUAUGGUAGAGGAAAUAGGGUUGUUUGAUAAGGGGUUGUGAUUGAAUUCGGGUUAGAUUGCAUGCAUAUCUCCUGGAAGGAGAAUCAAUUGACUAGUGUAGUUCUAAGAAAAUAUGAUAUAAUAUAAGAAUUACAACAGGGAUUAUUGUUUACGAAAAGCCUAUGGUAGGGCAUUAAGGAUAUAAGUUCUUUGUGGAUUUGUCUUCGCGCAAACGGCGGUAUUGCGAUUAAGUCUAGAAUGGACGACCUACAUAUCCUGGGAAAGGAAUCAAACUGCGUAUAAUUCGGAGGGUGUUUGAAAGUGAUCUAGAGAUGUUUGCAGGAAGAGGUUGGGGUCCAUUUUCUUGACGUUGAUCUUUCAGCUUCUCUGCCUCUUCAGUGUUUCGCCCCUUGUAAAUUUUGAUUGGGGCUGGAUAACGAGGCAACUAGUGGUUGGUUGGGUGGACAGUUCCCAUGCUGUGUGAUAGGAUUUUUAUCACCUGCAAAAGUAGGGAUAAAAACAUUUAAAAAUACUUGCAAGAGAGCAAGGUUGUUGUAGUAAGAAUGCUCAAUGCAAGGUCGUUCCUAUAGGGAUUAUUUGAAAUAAUUUAUGUAAAAACCAAAUCUUAAUUAAUUAUUUAAGACAAAAUUUUAGAAAAGGUUGAUUUUAUGAUUAAAAAUAAUAAAAACAAAUUUCGAUUAAAAACAAAGUAAAGAGAUUGGCAAAUAAAAGAACAAAAGAAAACAGUUAUACAAAAUCAAGUUGUAAAAGCACUAGGGUUCCACUGUCACCUUAGCAAUAUACAUAGUUCUUCUAAUUACUUAUGACUUAUACAUGCAUAUUUUGAAGGUUAGGUUUUCCUAAAAUAUGCUCCACUUGGAUGCCCAAUCUAGAACGUAUAUCAAACAUGCAAUCCGUCUAUGGUAUUCAUAUCAAAUCUAAACAUGCAAGAGUCAUUAAGCUUUAUGAAACCCUUUGAAAACCCAUACAACCUUUAAGACAUGGUGAUUAAUAAUUCAAGGACAACACUUCAACCAAAGUUGCAUCAAAUUACUUUUCUAAAUAUCCUAAUGGUGGCUAAGCAUUAAGACAAAUAGAUAGGUUCAAACAUGGUGAUUAAUAAUUCAAAACAUGCAUGUAUAAUAUCAUAAGUAAAUUGAAAAAAAAAACUACAUAUUCUUACUAAGUCUCGUGGCCUCACCCUAAAAAGGAGAAUUAGUUGCACAUAAUCACAAUUAAAUAGCAAAAUAUCAUUAAGAAAAUGAUUGAAAAUACCUUGUAAAAUAAAGCUAAAUCUUCAAAAACUCUCUAAGCCAAGUUCUCCAAAGCAGUGUGUAGUGAACCCUAAUGGUUAACUAGCCUUUAUUUAUACUACUACAAAAUGAAAUCCUUCCUCGAAAAGGUCUUAGAAUAAAACUAGGAAACAAAAUAAAUUAAGAGAAACUAGGAAACAAUCUCCUAGUUAAACAUGGAGAAAUCUGUCAGCAAACUGAUCAGCCACGUUCUAGGUUGAAAACAACUCCAAAAAGGCCCAAGACAACUUAUUUUAAAGAUUAAGAUGUCUUGAAAUUAUCUCCCAAAAGGGCCCGAACCCAAAAAAAAAAAGUCAUUUUGGAUGCCAAAAAGCCCAAAUAAGCCCAAAACGUCACUUUGACAAAUUCGCGCACUAGUCUUUUAUUCCAUUGCCAUAAAAUAAUUGCUUAGUUGAAAAAUUGGAAACUUUGAUGCGAACAAGUUGAAAGACUCACAAAGAUCUUCUAAUUGGAAUCACUCCAAAAUUCAUCAAUUUGAUCACUUUUUGCUCAAGAGAAAGUCGCAUGUCCUACGUUGGAAAUGUAAUUCAAAGUAUCAAAAUUUCACCAAAAUAAUAACCAAAAUAUACUAAAAAUAAGGUAAAAUAUAUCAUAUAAAAUCGACUCAUCAAUGUGAUACCAAUUUCGGCCUAAAAUGGCAUUUUAAAGAGGAAGGCAGUCCAUAACAUGGAAAGUCACCAAAUGGUUGCAUGGUUUUGCCUGGACUGUCAAUUUCAUCGCAUGGUCUACAUUACAACGCCACUAAUAGAGUGGAGGGUAGCUCUCCUCUUGUCGACGUCAUCAGGAUGCCCACUCAUUCAGUCGUACCGCGAAAGAAGACACUGACUAUUGAUCAAUUGUCUAUUAGGACUCGACUAACCAUAACAUUGGAGAUCUACUGUCUGAUGACAAGAGUGUUGUCGCGAGGGGAGUAAGCAACUACCAAAUCUUGGUUGGAAGGCAUCUGGGCAUUAUGAUAGAUAAGUGGUUUGUUGGCCGGAACCGUUGUUAGAGGUUUCCCACGUGCUACCAUUUCAUCAUUUCGCUUCCUCCUAGGCGUCCCUGGUUUCUGCUUAUGCGAUUGAUUCUGGAUAAUAGUCUUUUUUUUUUUCAAGCAUCGAGUAAGAAAAGGUUUCUAGCCCUACAGGGCCUUUUGCGUUGUGUUCCUUGAACAGAUCCUUAAAGUUACGCAUCUGGGUUUAGACUAGCAGUUCUUAUCAGAGCAUAGGCAGGCAUCGGCUGGACAGUCAGCUCUUCGAAGUGGGAUACGAUGUCUAUAAGGUCCUUACUUGUGUCUCUAGUCUGGUGAGUUUCGCUCAUUUUUUAGCCUAUGAACUUCUUCAGAAAUCCUUUACAGAUCCAUAACGAAAUCGUUUUCGUCGAAUAGGGCGAUGGUAUGGUCACCGCGUGAUUGCUCGACAAAAUUUUCCAUUAAGGUAAUGUGAUUUGGUCGAGAGAAAUAUGAGUUCACUUUCAAUGAAAGCAUUAAUUAUUAAAACCAAAUUCAUGCACCACAGUGAGUAAUGGAGAUGCACAAAUCCAAGUAACUUGUAAAAGAGCAAACAACCGUGAGCAAGCCUAAGACCUGGGGCGAGGGUGAGGGGUGUGCCAACUAAAGGCUCUCCAGCGGUUUAUUUAGUAAGCAAGUAUACGACUGAAGCAACGGUCGCGGGCUAACCGUACACUUGUUAAACAAUCCAAUGGAAUUUCCAAAAUUAAGGAAGCCUCACAGGGAGGAAAAUGAUUAGAAAUUAAAUCAUUGUUCCAAAGAUUCUUACGUGGAGAAAUUAACGACGAAACAAACUUACUGAUAGAUUUUCCAAUACUAACUUGCCAACAUGAACCUUAUUCAAGAACCACUUUAGCUGCCAAUAUAACAUCCCAACAAGCAGAUGCGCACAAGCCUAAAGUAGAUUCCCUUAAGGAGUUAUGGGGGAAGUACUUAGUCUUCAAUAGCCUAGCUACAAGGGAGUAGGAUUCUCUCGCUUCCUAUUUUCAUCCCCUUUUCCCCCCUCCUUUCUCACUUUGCUUUUUGUCUUUUUGCCCUUAUAAAAUAUCAAUAUAAGAUGUUGAUGGGGCUCAAUCGUAAUGGUUCAAGUAGGAGGGGAGGGAAGAGGAAAGAGAUUAGGAGGGAAAAGAAACUAACACACCUCGAUCCGGAAUGUCCACCUGGACUUCUAAUCGAGCUGUGCUAGCCGACACCUAGGGGCUGACGAAGCCAUAAAGUGUAGUGAUGUGCAAAAUGUGAAUAAAUUUAAACCUAAAAGUGCCUAAUUAUAAUAGUGUGCUAUUGAGCAGGAAUGAACCCAUUUCACAUGUGAUGUCAGAGCAAUGUAAAGUACAGUAAAGUAGGAUGAGAAUUAUACCAUCGAAGGUAAUCUCUAAUACCAAGAUUUGCCAAGAAUCCUCGUCAACACGAAAGCUCUACACUAAAACCUGGGGGAAAAAAAAGGGUGAGUGGGCCUAAAAACAAAGCUUUGUAAAAAUCUUUUCACAAACAUAAUAACCCUUUGCCGUAAAACAAGUAUAGUUUCCAAAAUAUACAUACUACGUAUAGUAAGAAAAUACUUACUGUAGCCUGCAAUAUCUCAAGAUUCAAUAAAGCACAAUAGCAAUCUAAGACAGGAUUGACACCUACAAUGGAUCCAAAGUGAGCGUACGGUACGAUAUGCACAUACACAUGAAAGACUGGCCCUACCUCGGAUGAGUACUAACACCGGUGCAGCAAACGAUGAGCAAAUAACAUAAAUGUAGCCAUGCCACAAUGAUUUGAUAAUUCUAGUCAACAUAAUAUUAUUCAUAGCUGUAAACUUAAUUAAGGCAUCCCGUAAGAUUUAUAAUGAUUUCCUAAUUUUCACCGUUACUAGAUGUAUAUAUCGAAACUAAAUAGGUAUAUAGGUGUGUAUAUAUUAUAUAUAUAUAUAAGAAAAGACCCAUUCACAUAUCAUGUCGUUGAGUCAAACCCGCCUCGUAGCAUCGAGAGUCCUUGCGAUGCGUUUCACCUAGAAACGAAAUCAUUUAUGUAAAUACGUAACGUACUAACGUACAAACGCGUUUUCGUACAAAGUACUACUAAUAAGAAACUAUUUUAAAACGGUCGAAUUUCAGAAAACGGACGGCGGAUUCGGGUUCGGCAUGUCGAGAAACCUAAGAAGGGAUUUCAGAUUCCUCCACGCACCGCCAUAUGCACCACUCGCAGUAGCUCCUUCACGUGCGCCCACAAGCUUGCGAGUACAAACGUACUCACCUUCUUCACAAUGACCUGCGUUUUGCAGGUUAAACCACCAACUUCCAGAGCUCUAAAAAAGCUCAAAUCUCAACCAAAAUUGAUGAUUCAAAAACCUAAGUGAAGUAGGAAAUGCAAGGAAUAGACCUAUACCGGAGUUGGCCGAAAAAAUUCUCUAAAAAUGGCUUACCGGCCACGGUUCCAAGCUUCCAAAAUUUCUGGGGAAAAUUUCCCCAAGGUGUAACUGCACCAAGACACAUUCUCAAGGUUUUGAGCAGAACCAGAACAUCACUAAGGUUUAAUGGAAGGAAAAACAUAACUUACCUAAUUCAGAAAACUGAGAAAUCUUGUCGGAGUUCCAUGAAAGAGAUGAUGAAUAGUGGCAAAGUUCUUAUGCAAUGUCGGGCUCCACGUCUGGGUUGAUGCUCACUAUCUAAGCUUACAAAGAUAGGAAAGAACAAGGAAUGGUGCUGGUCCGAUGGUCUAACACGCGCGGAGUAGUCAAGUGAUGGUAGUUUGGUGUUACUAUGCAUAGCGAGUGCAUAGAGUUUUGGAUGAGAGAGUCUUAGAAAGUUUGAGAUGGGAGACAAGUUGUGGCCAUCGGCGAUGGUAGCUCCUUGAAAAGGGAUCUCGCCGGAGUGGUCGUGUUUUGCCGGUCUCUGUAACACAGAGGAAUAAGGGAGAAAUGCGAGAGAGAAAGGGAGAGAAAGUCUUAGUGAGAGAGAGAGAGGGAGAAUUUGAAAAUAAGAGAAAUAAUGGGAGAGAGAGAGAGACCGAGAUCUCUGAAGGGUGAAGAUACGGGAUAGGGUAGGAGUAGGGUGUGGGGUGUGGGGCCUAUGUGCCUAUAAUAAACUCACGUCAAAAUACAUAUAUAAUAACGUAAAGUUAAAAUAAUUGUACUGAAAUUUAAACUGUACAUAGAAAGUUCUUUUUUUUUUUUACACCUACGCACAAUCGUUCCGUCACGUACUCCAAAGGUAAGUGUGUAGUAUCCUUAGGUCAAGCCCAAGCAAUGAAUAAAUAACUAAAAAUGCUAACGUAAAAGGUCCUACUUGUCCACUUGAUUAACGAACCCAACAAAUAAAUUAUUGAUAUUAUAGUCUGUAGCCCGCAAUAACGACAACUCACUGUUGUCACGAUAAGCAAGCAACAAAUUCCCAAUGAUGCAAUAUUACCAUCUUGCCCCUCAUUGGGAAAUACAUACAAAUCGUCUUAUUAGCGCCUCGACCGCGCUCUCGUACCACCCUCUCGGGUGACAACGCAAUUAGCACACAAUUUCCUAAAUUGUAAUCUCGAUUAUUCAAAGACAUAUUCAUAAUACUCCUAUGUCAAUCAUGUUCUAUGCAUAAAAUCUCCAUUCACAUUUCAAAUGGUGUCAUACUCAAAUCAAAAGUGUAACCGCAAUUACACACAACUCUAACAAAGAUAAGUGUCAAUCAUAACCAUGCUGAAACUAUAAAACAUACAAAAGCAAAAUAUUCUCUAAGAUCCGGGUAGUUCAUUCAAACUAGCCAUUAGUCUAAGGGUGAAAUGUGGUGUUAGACAAAGGCUUAGUAUACAUGGCCUUCAAGAAGACUUCCCAAGACUUGGAAGUAAAAUGUGCAUCACAGUGAGACACAUUAGUGACAUGCACACCAUGUAGCCAAACAAUGUAGUUCACAAAUACCUUAGUGAGCAGUUUCAUUGUGAAUUUCCCUCGGGUUUAGCGAAAAACUAUGUCGAGUAGGAUAAAAGAACAUUCAAGAAUUUGAGGUUCAAAAUUGGUUCAUCAAAUCUAGAAUACAAGAUAACUGGAUUGAACAUAUAACAUCUUGUUAUAACAGUAGCUUCAGGAAUAUUCAAUCACCAACGGUAAGGAUUCGUUCAGUAGAGUAUUUAGUGGGUGAUUGAGGAAUUGAUGGUCACAACUAGAAUUUCAAAGUCCGAGCGAUUCACCUAAAUGGUAUGUCUGCUUCAAAAAUAAUAUGAAGUGUAGUAGGGUAAACACGUGCCUAAAGUUGUCUGGAAUGUCUUCUAGCACAAAAGGUGAAUAUGGAAUUGCAAUCAACAUAGAUGCUGAUUGAAACGCCAGAAAAAUAUGAUAAAUUCGAGUAUGAGUAAAUUUACCAAAUGGUUUAAAAUGUAGUCUUCCCAGAGCCAACGAAAUGUGAGUUAACUUGUCAAGCCGGUUGAUAAUCGCCAAAACAUCAUCAUAAUAUUCACAUUGUACAAAAUACCUCGUAUCGAGAGUUUAUGGUGAUAUUUCCCAUCUCUAUUUGCAUACAGAUGGUGAUUAUAACCACUCAAAUGAUUUCUUGAUGAUUUGUAAGUAACGUCUAACCAAUACCCAUGAAUUCCAACUAAAACAGAAUAGGACCAGCUGAAAGUAUUUCAAGGGUAGAUAAUGUCUUUUUCUACGGUAAGCAGUAAUUACGUUUGCACAACCGGGGUGAUACACGAUAGUGCAAUCAUAGAUGUUGGUUUGGUUUGUUCCUUCCACUACCAUUGCCAGAAAUUUAGUUUAUUUCCAAUGCGGAUGUAUUUGAGAAGUCUAAGAUUAAUAAAGGUCCUAAACACGUUUCUCCACCAAGAAGUGUCAUUCGGUUUUCAAAUGAAGAUGAUAACCGUUAACUUUAAGUCAUAAGUAAGAUGGUUCGUUUCCUACGAUCCCAAACGCGGGGGAACACGGGGGAACAAAUGUGGUACUCUAUUAUGUUGCAUCUACACAACCAAAACAUCCAAAGAAAACAUCAUCUUGGAUCUCCAAAAUUAUUGAUGUCAUCGAAAUGUACGAACAAUGGUAGGAAAUAGACAACACUUCAGUUGUCACAACUUUAAUUGUAUUUCAUGUCUCAGCUAAACUUAUUUUCCCCCGGCCACGUGGAAAGGAAAAUUACCACCGCUGAAAGUCACUAACCACAUGCCGAUAAAAUCAACAACGCCAAGGAUAUCACAACUUCACAACUAUUUGUGGAAUAUGAAAUUUUCGACAUUUGCAACCUUUUGGAAAUUGACAAGAAUGUCAUUUGCUGAGAUCACAUCUCCCAAAAAGUACCAACUAAACAAAGGUAAUAUUUGAGGAAUUUUAUAUAAAGCUAAAUGUUAGUGUAAGGAGAAUUUAAUCUCGUUGCUGAGAUAAGUGAGAAAGUUAUCAGUAAGACCACUACUAAUUCGACAAGCUACAGAAGAAAACUCGAGUUCCAAAAGUUGGUCGGUAGACCAUCGAUUCGAAGUAUGGAUUAACAGUUUUAAUCGUCACCCGAUGGAGUUGUUAAAAUUUAGGUACGAUCCUAAGGUUUAGUCUUUCGCCAUCUCGAACAGGUUUGGGAUUCCCUAGAUAAAGUGUUUGGUUUGAUAAAUUCCUAAUCAGUAAGCCUUUGUAACUAAGUUCUCUCAAUGACUUAGGAAUUGAUCCAAAAGACUCAAGGAAAUUGGUGUAGUACAAGAAAGUGGAUUGAUGGUGUGCUUCACUUCACCAUUUGGUGAUAUCCCAGAUAAAUAUUUUAGAAAUGACGACAGAUGUAUACAUCCUCGAAACAUACCAUACUACUUUAUUUCUAUACACCACGUACUAAAAGGUCUUCACAAUUUUCUCAAUGCUCAUUUCGCUGUUACAGUGGGAAAAUAAUUCAUGCCUUAAUUCUAAUAUUUGUUUGUGGAAGUGAUCAGAAAAGUGACUGGUCGAAGAGGUUUUAGUUACCUAAAUGGGUAAUAUGGUUAACAUAACCAUGAGUUUAUGGUCCUCCUACAAAGCUUGCCCUUAAGUUUCCAUGAUUUUAAUUUCUUCAGCUUAGAUAGCCUCUGUUACUCAGCCGUGCCGCUAAUUAACACACUUAUGAUAUUUUAAUAUUGUUCGUUACCCUGAAAUUGUAAACCAGCAUUCUGACAUAAGGGUAGGAUACUAGCAUAUAUGCCCGGUAUCAGAAAUCAUACUGCCUGAAUACUGGUUGAUAGUUCCUGGAUAUCAGAUAAUAUCGUCAAUUAUCAGCCCCACCAUAGGCUAAUUAUAGAUUAGAGCUCGCUUAAGUGGAUGGUUUCAAAUGGAUGGUAAGAAAUUGGUCAUUUGAGGUGGUUUCAUUAAUUCUAAGGAAAAUACUUACUAUUUCGGGGAUUUCUACUUACCAUAGGUAUAACAACUCGUACGUCUGUGCCUAUACUCAUCAAAUUGAAGAAUACAAUGUCGAAAGGAAAUCUAAGACUAGUGUUGGUUGGAGUGUCACUAAUGACAUUUUUGGAAAUUUUGACGAAAGUACAACUUCGUAGGAAUUCCGAUAAAUGGUAUACUAAUGGAUACUGCCAAGGAAUCAAAACUAUUAUUGGAUCCUAACUCGAAAGGAUUGAUAAUGAUAACAAGAUAAAUGUAAUGGAUUUGAUUGGUAAAUCUUUGGUGGCACACAAUUAUCAAUACAUUAGCCCUGUUUUGGGGCUUUCCACUUAUACCAAAACGGGAUUUUCCUUGGUAGGCGAUUUCUUCAUUUAAUGUCUAAAAGUGUUCGCCAAAAUGAUGUUCUAGAAUGUCGAUAAGUCGUCCAAGUCAUUCAAAACUUAGAAAAAGUUAACACAUUUUUCGUGCUCGACACGAUUGACACGUCCCGACCCCAAUAUUCUCUGAAUACCCGGAUAGGCACGUGCUGGCCAACACUUGAGGGUGACGAAAGCCAUUUAUUGAUUACAAGAGUAAUGAUUAGGAGGAACAUAAGCAUAUCGGGGUCGGGACAUGUCAAAUUUGGUAUCAGAACAUGGUUAGGGUUCUUUCCACCAAUUUGGUAAAUUUCAGUCUUUCUAAAUCUUGUUGUCUUUGUCAGAAUCAUGGCUAAUCCUGGUAGGAAUGUGCCUCGACGACCUCGUUCUUCUAUAAUGGGGGGAAUCCAGCAGUUUACCAUUGCAUUAAUGAAUGCUUUUCCGAGUCAUAAGCUGAAUCGGACGUAUUUAGAAAUUGCUAGAAGUCAUGGGGUUACUAAGUUGAAAACUAUGGGGAAUUGUGAGGAGACUGAGCAGUGGUUAGAGAAAAUGGAUGAUACUUUAGAGGCGAUGAAGUGUCCUCUAAAUGAGUGGGCAAAUACUGCAGGUUUCUUUAUUUAGGGUAAUGCUAGGAGUUGGUGGAAAUCAACAAAGGAAUCUCGUCCACCUGGUUCUCGGAUGACAUGGGCUACCUUUAGAAAACGUUUUAUUACUUACUUCCUAAGCCCCAGCUACAGAUUGAGGAAGAGGCAGGAAUAUUUAGAGUUCCGACAUGGUGACCUCAGCAUCACAAAAUUUGAAAGUACUUUCAGGCGUUUGGCUAGGCAUCAUGAUGAGACUUAUGAUAAUCCACAAGCACAGAUGGAUCAGGCGAUAAUUGCACUGAACCAGGAGUACCGUACAUUGGUAACUGCUCAGAGAACCAGAACUUAUGAGGAAGUAAUCAAGAUAAGUCUGAAUAUAGAACAGUCUAAGUGGCAUACGGAGAUGCAUGAUCAACCUCAGACUUGGAUCCAGUCCCAGAGAUAGAAUAAACAGCGGAAUCAGAAUCAAAUGAGUCAGAAUUUUCGAUCACGGAUUACCAAAGAAUCAGUGGGUCCCUCCAAUUAUGUAGGUCCCAGACAUUCUUUUUCCUUUAAAUGACCAGGUUGGGAUUCAGGGUCGUCCAGUGAAGGCUCAGGCAACGAGUCGGUGAGAUGAUCUUUCGAUCAUUUCACUCCAAGUUAUAUGGUAUGUAAUCAGUGUGGGUUACAUCAUCGAAUAAGUUGUGGAAUAACUGUUGUAGUUUGUCACAGGUGCGGUGGUAUCGGGUAUUUUAUUCAUGAUUGUCCUUCAGCACCACCGCUUAGUGAUUUUACCUCUGGCUCAAGCUACAGUGGAUAUCACCCAGUUCAGAAUUUUAGCGCCCGACAGAGCUAUGAUGGCGGUGGCAGUAGUAGUCGGAGUUAUGGUAGCAGUACUAAUUAGAACUACAGGGGUAACAAAGGUCUGCAGUUGGGUGGCAAAGGUAGCCAGAGUUUUAGAGGGAGUGACAACAGGAGUGCUCAGUUUUCGACCCAGUAGCAGGCUGGAACAUAUUCUGGUAACAGUAAUCAGGGGAACAGAGCAGGACGUGGUUCCAGAAGUCGUGACGGUCGGAACAAUAAUGUGGGGUAUCAGGUUCAUAGACGUAUGAACGUCAUGACUCAGCAUGGGGCUGAUCAGGAUCCUCGAGUUAUCACCGGUAAGUUACCUGUCUGUAAUACUUGGGCUAGAGUUUUAAUUGAUCCGGGUGCUACACAGUCUUUUGUUUCUUCAUCUUUUGCUCGGGUUAUACCUUCUCAACCUCAGCCACUAGGUUUUGAUAUGUUGAUUCAAAUGCCAAGUGGUGAAUUGUUUUGUGCUCAAUGGCAAUAUCAAAAUUGUCAAGUUAUUGUGGAAGGGGAAAACUUAGAGAUUGAUUUAAUUCCUUUCAAAUUGGCAGAGUUUGUGUCAUUCUGGGAAUGGAUUGGCUAUCUAAGCACCAAGCGAAUGUUGCAUGUUGCGAGAAAAUCGUGACGUUCAAUUGACUAGGACUUCCAGCAAUUACAUUUAUGGGUGAGCGACGUGUCCUCCCCAAUAGUUUUAUUUCUGCCAUUCGAGCAACUAGGUUGCUGAAUAAGGGUUGUGUAGGGUUUUCAGCCCACGUAGUUGUGAAGGAUGAACCUUCUUUACGUCCAGAAAAGGUGCCAGUUGUUAGGAAUUUCAUCGAUGUGUUUCUUGAUGAUUUACCGGGGUUGCCACCUAUGAGGGAAAUUGAGUUUACUAUCGAUUUACUCCCAAGUACAAAUCCUAUUUCCUUGGCACUUUAUCGAAUAGCACCAACGGAGUUGAGGGAAUUGAAGAUCCAACUUCAGGAAUUGGUAGACAAAGGUUACAUCCAGUCGAGUAUAUCCUCGUGGGGAGCUUCUGUUCAUUUUGUUAGAAAGAAUGAUGGAUCAAUGAGACUCUGUAUCGAUUAUAGGCAACUGAAUCAGGUGACGGUGAAGAAUCAUUACCCUCUGCCUCGGAUCGAUGAUUUGUUUGAUCAAUUGAAAGGUGCUCAAAUAUUUUCAAAAUUGAUCUUCGAUCAGGUUGCCAUCAAUUGAGGAUUUACGAGGAUGAUGUCCUGAAAACUACUUUCCGUACGAGGUAUGGGCAUUAUGAAUUUCGUGUCAUGCCUUUCGGAUUGACAAAUGCACCUGCAACAUUCAUGGAUCUGAUAAACAGAGUCUUUAGACCGUAUCUGGAUCAGUUUGUGAUUGUGUUCAUUGAUGAGAUUUUAAUUUAUUCUAGAAGUGUGAAUAAGCACAAGAAGCAUUUGAGGCUAAUGCUGGAAUGACUGAGGGACAACCAGCUUUAUACCAAGUUCAGUAAGUGCUAGUUUUGGUUAACUCAGGUUGGUUUUCUUGGACACAUAGUUUCUGCUGAAGGAAUCAGUAUGGAUCCCUAAAAGGUGUCAGCAAUGUCUAACUAGGAACAACCGAAGAGUGUCACUUAAAUAAGAAGUUUUCUGGGUUUGGCAGGGUAUUAUCAAAGAUUUAUUUAGAAUGUUUCUGCAAUUGCUCUGCCUCUUACUAAAUUGACUCGUAAAGGUGUUCAGUUUGUGUGGGAUGAAAAUUGUGAACAAAGUUUUCAGGAGCUUAAGCGACGCCUUACUCAGGCCCCUAUUCUCGCUUUUCCAUGAUGUUUCUCUAUCAGGUUUUGGGUAUGUACUGAUGCAACAUGGAAAAGUUAUAGCCUAUGCUUCCAGACACUCAAAACCCAUGAAAGAAAUUAUCCCACUCAUGAUUUGGAGUUAGGAGCUGUGAUUUUCGCUUUGAAGAUUUGGAGGAACUACUUAUAUGGAGAGAAAUAUCGUAUUUUUACGGAUCAUAAGAGUCUUAAGUAUGUGUUCACCAAGAAUAAGUUGAAUUUGAGACGGAUAAGGUGGAUGGAGCUUAUCAAUGAUUAUGACUGUUUGAUUGAGUACCAUCAUGGGCAUGCUAAUGCCGUGGCUAAUGCUCUUAGUCGGAAACAUCACGAGCAGCUUGCAUCACUUCAAGCUGUACACAUUCUGUUACUAUUUUCUUUUCGGGAAACUGGUAUUAAUUUGGAACCUGAUGAGCAACUUGGCUAGCACAUUUUCAGGUUAGACCUAUCUUUGUAAACAUGGUCAUAGAAGCUCAGGAACUUGAUCCAGAAUACGCCGAAUUAAAGGAACAAGUGUUAAAAGGGAAUAAUGAUAAAUUCAUCAUCCGUAAAGACGGAGCGUUAUUGAAAGGAACUGUUUGUUCGUGCCUAAAGAUAAUGAAGCUGUUAAGAAGGAAAUUCUUGAUGAGGCUCAUACUUCAGCUUAUGCUAUGCAUCCAUGAAGUACUAAAUUGUAUCGCACCAUUUAUCCUUUCUAUUACUGGGAAGGAAUGAAGCGAGAUGUAGCAGAGUAUGUGAGCAGAUGUUUAAUUUGUCAACAGGUUAAAGCAGACAGACAGAGACCUGAGGGACUGAUGCAGAAUCUUUCGAUACCAGUUUGGAACUGGGAGGAUAUCACUAUGGACUUUGUGUAUGGGCUACCUAGAACACCGGCAAUGUAUGAUGGUAUCUGGGUAAUUUUCGUUGAUAAUAUUGUUCGUCUACAUGGUGUAACCGUCUCCAUUGUGUCAGACAGAGAUCCCAAAUUUACUUCCAGGUUUUGGAAAGCCUUAAUGCCGCUAGGGGUACUCAGUUACUAUUCAGCACUGCUUAUCAUCCACAAACUGAUGGUCAGUCCGAGCGGACGAUUCACACUUUAGAGGACAUGUUAAGAGUGUCUGUAUUACAGUGGAAAGGCAGCUGGGAUAACUAUUUGUUGUUGGUGGAGUUUGCUUACAAUAAUAGUUAUCACUCGAGCAUUGGUAUGGCGCCUUUUGAAGUACUUUACGGGAAGGCAUAUGGGACGCCAUUAUGUUGGACAGAGGCAGGAGAAAGGUCAUUGGUAGGACCAGAGAUUGUGGAUACCACCAACACUAACAUCCUAGUGAUUAAGGUAAAUUUGAAAGCAGCACAAGACCGACAGAAAAGCAUUGCAGACAAACACUCCAAAGAUCGUGAGUUUACAAUGGGUGACUUUUUAUUCUUGAAAUUGUCUCCCUAGAAGGGUGUUGUUCGUUUUGGUAAGUGAGGAAAGCUAAGUCCUCGAUACGUCAGUCCCAAUCAAAUUAUUAAGAGAAUUGGUGCAGUUACUUAUAGGUUGGAGCUACCACCGGAGUUGUCACUGAUCCAUAACGUUUUCCAUGUUUCCAUGCUUCUGAAAUAUGUACCAGAUCCCUCUUAUAUCAUCCAGAUAGAGCCAUUGGAAGUAAAUCCUGAUGCUAGUUAUGUAGAAGAACCAAUGGCUAUCCUUGACAGACAGGAUAAAGUGUUGCAGAACAAAGUUAUUCCUUUGGUAAAGGUACUGUGGAGGAACCAUGAAGUUGAAAAAGCUACUUGGGAAACAGAGGAAUCAAUGAGGAACCAAUAUCCCUUUCCUUUUGUGUAAAUUCGCAAUUUCAAGGACGAAAUUUCUGUAAGGGGGUAGAUUGUUACAACCACCCCCAUAUUUCCUUGUUAUUUCUAUGUUCCCCUAGAACAUUUUUAAAUUUAUCAAUUUAAUCCUUUAUUCUCUUUUAAUCUUAGCCAUUGAUCUAGAUUCUCUAUUAUUCCUAAACUGCCAUGUGGUAGCUCUUUGACUCUCUUCUCUUCCCUCUCUUCCCGAAACAUUUUCUAAUCUCAGACAUCUCUCUCUCUCUUUCACGGAUCUCUCUUCUCUCCCUUCACUCUCUGCACCAUGACCUGCCAAGCAUCCUGCAUGCAACUCUAUUUAGACCAUAUUCAUCAUCAUCUCCCUUGCACCGUGUCUCUCCCUCUCCGUCGCAGUGAGGUUGAGGAACUCAGAGAAGGGACCUCCGACGGAUUUCUCCAUUUCUUUCUACUAGGUAAGUUCAAUUACCUUUUUAAUUUACCAUUUUGGUUUCUGGACAUUGUGUGAUGAAAACCAUGUGGUUUUUCCAAGGUUUUGUGGACGGGAACAGCACGGGGGAAAUUCAUCCAUAUUUUUCGACGAACCCGUGACUUUCGAGGUUUCUUUCUGAGCUCUCAUAGCCGUUCACGGCAAAACUAGGGUAUGGAAAUUACUCCACUCUCUUUCCUCUUCAUUUUAGUACUUGUUUUGAGUAAUGGUUUAAUUGUUCGCCGUCGACCGGAGCAUUUUCCUUUCCGGUGUUCUUCCCCGAUUUGCACCCGAGCACACCCAAAGCCACCAGGCCAUCCGGCCUUCUCGAACAUCACGGGCCUUAGCCCAGUCCUAAAACUAGCCCAUUUUUCCCUUUUAAUUUAUUGGCAUGCGGGCCAUGCCCUGCUUGGGCCGUGAGUGUGUGUAGAGUGUGUGUGUGUGUGUGUGUGUAUGUGUGAUGUGGGUCAUGCCCUGCAUGGCCCAUGUGUGGUGUGUGUGAUAUGCAGUGCGUGUGUGUGUUGUGUGUGUGUGUGUAUACCGUGAGUGUGUGUGCAUGUCGUGCAUGCUUAUGCAUGUUGUGCAUGUGUGUAUGUUGUGUGGUGUGUGUGUGUGUUGUGCACGUUUGGGUGUGUAUGUAUGUGUUGUGCACGUGUGUUUAUGUGGGCUGGUGCGUGUGUGUGUAAGUGUGAUUUGGGUUAAGCCCAAACCAUCCUUCUUCACCCUAAACCCUUUUAACCCAAAAACCUUAGGAUCCUAAAACCCAUUAGACCUUAACCCAUUCAACCCAAAUCCUUUAUUUAAUUUAGUUCAUGUCCAAAUCCUUUAGAAAAUCCUUUUGUUAUUUAUUUCAUUUUUUUGUGCUUAGGUGAAGUUGCUAGUGAGGGAAUUCGUAAUCCUUAUCCGCACAACUCUACUGCUAAGGAGUAUCUGUGAGUGGACCCCUUCUAAAAUUAUAUGAAUUUAUGGUUUAAUUGCAUAAAUGAAUAGCAAGCCUUACGAAUUAUUAACUGAAUUUAUGUUAAGCAGAUUUAUGAAAUAUGUUAUUUAUCGUCUCGUUUUUUGUGAGGAAUUAAUUGUUGGCCUAUAUUGAGCUAUAUUUUAAAAUAUCGUAUUUUCUAGAAAAUAUAUAUAUAAAAUAAAAAACAAAUAAAAAAAUAAAAAAAACAUGAACUGGUAGACUAUCUAAUGGAUGACGAUAGGAUGGUAGAACAUGUUUUAGAAACCGCUCUUUAUAGUAUAGACGAUGGAUGACUUUAUACUGUGAAGUGGUUAUUUAAGAAAGACGUAACUAUUUGUGAGUACCUAGUGGACACUAUGCCGCCUAGGGCGAGGAUCUGGUGUUGGCAGAUAGGCCAGGUGAAAUAAUCCCUAGCUACGGGCUGAGGGACACGGAGCAGGCAUUGGGCCGAAAGUUGGUAAUCUCUGGCUAUGGGCACAGAGACCACAGUGCUAGCAUAGGGCCGGGAAAUAUAUAUUUAUUCAGUGAUCUUACUAGCAGUACAUUAUUCUAAAAGACGAUUUAUGAGACAUUUGAUAUUUUGUGUUUCACGAUAUGACUUUUGAGAUAUUUUUGGCAUGCUAGGAUUUUUAUUAAAUCCAUAACUUAUUAUGCUAGUAGUUUUCUUUAUAUAUAAACUGUGGGGGUUAGUAUCUUAAUAACUGUUUUAUUAUUGUUGUAUAUAUAUGAACUUGGUUCACUCACCUUUGUUUUGCGCAUUCAGGUCUUUGAAACGAGGACUACGACACAAUAUACGAGGCAUUCCCCUACCAGUAGCAAUCUAUCACUCACUUGUGUGAUAUCUUGUAAUGAUCCUUCCUUUUUGUGAUCUUGUUUUAGAUUGUGUUCUGUGCACUCUAGACACUUCCUUAAACUUUGUUUAUUACUCUUGGAUUCUAAUGAAUAUUCAUGCUUAUGUUCCUCCUAAUCAUUACUCUUGUAAUCAAUAAAUGGCUUUCGUCACCCUCAGGUGUUAGCCAGCACGUACCUAUUCGGGUAUUUAGAGAAUAUCGGGGUCGGGACGUGUCAGCGGUGGCAAUAUUCAAGAAUUAUGCUCAGGAACCAAGAAUGCUUACAUCACGCGUGAGAUGAACACAAUACUGCCCAAACUUAUGCUCUGAUACCAAACUAACACACCCCGACCCAGAAUGUCCACCUGGACUCCUAAUUGAGUUGUGUUGGCCGAUACCUUGGCGGUGACGAAACCAUAAAGUGUAGUGAUGUGGAAAAUGUGAAUAAAUUUAAACCUAAAAGUGUCUAAGUAUAAGAGUGGCUAGUGAGUGAGAAUGAACUCAUUUCACACGUGAUGUUAAAGUAUAAGUAAAGUACAGUAAAGUAGGAUGAGAAUUAUACCAUCAAGGGUAAUCUAUAAUACCAAGAUUUGCCAAUAAUUCUCGUCGACACGGAAGCUCAGCACUAAAACCUGGAAAGGCAAAAAACAAGGGUGAGUGGGCCUAAAAACAAAGCUUUGUAAAAACCUUUUCAAAAACAUAAUAACCCCCAGCUGUAAAACAAGUACAGUUUUCAAAACAUACAUACUACGUAAAGUAAGAAAUACUUACUAUAGGCUGCAAUAUCUCAAGAUUCAAUACGGCACAAUAUUUCGUAAGUAAACGCAUGACGUCCGUAAUCAACAUAAUCUCGCAUAAGCAACCAUAUCAUGUCAAGUGCUCAUCAACACAUGUUGACACACGAGUUCAUGCAGAGGUAUUCUGACAUGAACAGGACUAGGUGUAACAAUCAUAUAUGCUCUAGUACUACAAUCACGUGAAGAUUGACGCUAUUUUCAGCAUAUACAAGCCAUAAUUGCCUAUAGCAAUCUAAGCCAGGACUGGCACUUACAAUGGAUCCAAAGUGAGUGUACGGUGCGAUGUGCACAUACACGUGAAAAACUGGCCCUGGCCCGUGCAAGUACUAACACCAGUGCAGCAAACGAUAAGCAGAUAACAUAAAUCCUGUCACAGUGAUUCGAUCAUUCUAGUCAACAUAAUAUUAUUCAUAGCAAUAAACUUAAUUAAGGCAUCCCGUAAGAUUUAUAAUGAUUUCCUAAUUUCACUGUUACGUCAUCUCCUAUAAAUAUUAAUUUAAUUACGGCAGUCAUAGAGAAAAGCAAGAUUGUGCAACAAAUGCCACCCUUGCUCAGCAAGAAGAGCAAGAUUGAAGUCAUAAAGCAAUCGAAAACCCAACCUCUUCAAAUUUAGGCCAAUACGUAGACCCUCAUGAGAAGAGAAAAUAAAUUUUUUGUUUCAAUACAAGUAUCGAUUUCCGUUUUAGACAUUAUAAACAAUGAAAAUCUCUUCUACGGAACUUUUACAAACACCUAUUAGGAGCAAGUAGUGGAUUGUCCUUAUAGAUAUUACCUUCCUCUUUAGCCUAUUUCGUUUCAGAUUCAAGCUCCUCCCCAUUCGCGUAGUUUAGAUGAAUCUAAAUCAUAUUUGUAACCCAACUAAUUCCUCUCAAAGCCUUAUGAAAUUGGGGGGCUUUAAAAAAAAGGUUCUUUGCAUUUCGAUUCCUCUUCAUCUUUAUUUGUAGUAUGGCUGUCUUUCUCCAAAGUAUCUCAUUUUGUAUAUUCUAAUUGGGUUUUUAUCACGUAUGGUCUUUGAGAUUGAUCAAACUCAUCAUUUUGGUCUCUCACUUUCAAAAUCAAUCAAUGUCGUCCCUAACAUUCACUACCACGCAUCAAUUUGGUCAUUCCAUUUAGGUUUUGUCAACUAUUAUGUUAGUUUGUAUGUGGGACCCACAAACCCAAUAAAAUUGAGACACGUAGAUUGCACAAAAUAAGGGUUUUUAUCGCAAAUAGUACCUGACAUUGAUCCAACUCUUCAUUUUGGUCCCUGAGUUUCAAAAUUUGAUAAAUUUGAUCCUUGUCUUUCACUACUGCACAUAUAUUUAGUCCUUUCCUUACAGUUUCGUCAAUAUUUUUUGUUAUUGUGAUGAUAUAGUCCCUCUAAUCCAAUCAUAUGGCGCAACGUGGAUUAACUAUAAGAAACUAGUUUUUUAAGAGUAAACCAACUUAUGAGUAUUCCGCGCUGGCAUUUCUCUUGCUCCCACAAUCCCAUUUGGAAAAAAAUUCAAUCUAAAUUCGAUAAAAUUGAAUCCAAAUGUAAUUCGAAUUUGAUAAGAUUAUAACCAACUAGAGAGAAUGAGAAAUGAGUUCAAGGAGGCCAAGUGCUUUAGGUGUCAUGGUGCCUUCCUUUUCUUUUUGAGCAUACCCAAAUGAAGAGGAUGAUGUCUUUUAUUUGUCUUUUAGUUUUGGUUUUUAGUUCAUUAUUUUACUUUUAGUUUUAAAUCUUAAAAAAAAUAGUUUCCUAUAGUUAAUCCACAUGAUGUCAUAUGAUUGGAUUAGUGGGAUCACAUCAAAACACUAGCAAAACAUAUUGACAAAACUUUAACGGAGUGACUAAAUUUAUGUGCAGUAGUAAAAGUCAAGGACCAAAUUUAUCAAUAUUUGAAACUCAAGGACCACUUGCGAUAAAAACCCUUAUUUUGUGUAAUCCACGUGUCACCAUAUUAUUGGGUUUGUGGAUUCCAUAUACAAACUAACAGAAUAGUUGACGAAAUCUAAAUGGAAAGACCAAAUUGAUGUGCGGUAGUGAGUAUCAAGGACGACAUUGAUUGACUUUGAAAGUAAGAGAUCAAAAUGAUGAGUUUAAUCAAUCUCAAUGACCAUUUGUGAUAAAAAAAAAAAAACUCAUUCUAAUUUAAUAUUUGUAAGGUUGGUGCUUGUAUUGUAUUCUUGGGAGUGCAAACAACGGUUUCCAAUUGGUUGGCCUUGAAUUCGUGACUUCUGGUUUGGUAUUGCUAUGCUUUUAAAAAAAAAAAAUUGCUUCUGCUGUGCUGUGAGAAUAAGCAGCUGUGAAAUAAAGCAGCAGAGUGUUUGGUAAACUUUUUUGUGAAAGUGCUUUUGGAAAAAAAAAAAAAAAAAAAAAAAAAAAAAGCAGUAUUAUAGUGUUUGGUAAACUUUUAUGUAAAACAGCUGUGACUGUGAAAAAUAGCCAAAAAGGGUAUAAUACUGGAUGUGCCAUUAAUUUAAUUUUUUUAACAAAUAAAGGUGAAUUACUAAAUAUAUUUUAUUUUUAAAAGAAAAAUAUUUAUAAACUUUAUCUUAAAUAUUAAUUAGUAUGACAAAUUACUUCAAUUGAAAUAUUUUACACUGUAUAGCUAGGAUUCAUUAGUACAAUAUUGUUAAUGUACUUGAAAGUAGUAUAAUUAGAUGCAUUCAUCAAACUUGCCGCUAUUCUAUUUCUUAAUACUUUUAUCUAAUGUGAUCCUUCAACUUGAUAAUUUUAAUAUUCUUCAUCAUCAUCAUCAUUACUAUCACUCUCUUCACAAAAGUCUCUGGGGUCAUCAAAAUGACGAUCACGUUUAGAAUACCUCCGAAUCCAUGGGUUUGAUAAUAUCUAUUGCCAUCAUAUGAUAUCUAACAUAUAGCCAAAAUAUCUACUAACAAUCUCACCAGAAUGUUGAAAUCUCUCUUGCGCUAAUUUAUUUUUUCACACCAUGUCCCAACAUAUACAAGAACAUUCCUAAUAUUUCAGUUGCAUUCAUUCUCCUUGAACCUUUCAAUCCAUAAUUAGUUUGCAAGUCAUUGGAUAAUCUAUAAAAGACAUCUUUGUUCAUUCUAAACAUUCUAUAGCAUCACACAUUAUUUCCUUGUAGUAUUUCCAUCAACCAAAUAUUACUUGUAUGGGAAGAAUUCAUACACGGAGUUUUGUGGACAUAUUUUAAAUAAUAUGUUUCAACAGCUCUCGCUACAACGCAUAUAAUUACACCAUCCUCCAAAUCCUCAACAUCAUCAUCAAACAAUCAAAAUAAAGAACAAAUCUUGAACAUAAUUCAAAACAAAAUUUUAAAAAGAACCGAGUAUAUAUGUGGUGCCUCAAAACUGGGAGCUCGGAACCCCAGAGAGACCCCUUUAUCUAUCCUAAACUCAUCUUACAAUGCCAGAAUCUCACCAAAUGCCAAAGUAGAUAUCAAAGUGGCGCUGGAAGUUCUUUCCUUCAAGUCCCUGAAUGAGUAGCAGACCCUUGAUGUCACCGUUGUUGGGAGCAGUUUGCAAUUCGAAUCACGAGUGUCUGCUGCCCUUGUUUGGUCUGAUGGAAAUCAUACCGUUAGAAGUCCGAUUGUAGUAUACACAGUGAAUUUGCUUAUGGAUAUGGACAUGUCAACCCUACAAAAGCUCUAAAUCCCGGGCUAGCAUUUGACGCUUAUAAAGAAGAUUGACAUAAAGUUCAUAUGCUAAGCUAUAAUUAGGCAGAGUUUAUACUGAGAUUGCUAAUAAAAUCAACUAAUUCACCAAAAUUGCUAUAUAAUCACUUACAGUAUCAUUAAUUUUAAACUGUGCAAUAAAUACAUUCAUCAUUUCUUGCAUAUACUUCCAACAUAUACCAGACACUCUUAUACCAGACAAUUCUUUUGCUUAACCAAAGAAACAUAAUUACAAAAUACGGAAGUAGAUGGUGUUCAAAACUUCAACCAGCUAAAGGGCAGCAGAAAUUAUGAUUUACGACAGCAGUUCAGUAUUCGAAGAUUCGGGACUCGAGAAAGGAAUUGCAUAGGCUUGUUUAAACUUCACGGAACAGUUCUGACUCAAUAAUUUGCGAUAAAUACAAUCAGAAAAUUCUAAAAUUUAGAAGUCAGAAAAAACUGGAUCUUUCUGCUAUAGCAAUUAGCUGACUCCUCAUUCAAAAAGAUACUGAAUUGCAGAUACAAAAUAUAUCGAGCAACGGUUCCUAUUUCAACUUUUCAAGAGCAUACAAUUUCUAGGCAGGAUCAAGCUGCUAAGCAAGAUACAUACAGGACUUGUGUGCUCGUUUGAAGCAAAAGGUGAAUUGUUUCUGGGUUAUACCAAAAUUCAUAAUUAUAACAUCCAACAAAUCCAUUUGAAGAUGCUUUCAGUUUCAAAACAAGCGAAGAAAACCAUGCUAAUAGACUCGGUUCGAGCGGCUUGAACGACAAGCUUCGUUGCAGGCAGAGAAGUAAUCAAUUUUUCUUACUUCUCUCUCAAUUUUUCUUCUUUCCUCCACAAAACCCUAAUUUUUCCCCAAUUUAUUUUUUCACUCUGCUAUCCCUAAAUUUAACAAUCCAAACAAAUAAAUAACGAAAUUUUAGACAAGAGAAGCUUACCAGAGGAAGGACGUCGAGCCGGAGAACGUGACCUGGAGAACGAGAGAGAUCGCUGGGAGGAAGGAAGUUUCAGGUUGGCGGCUGCUCGGAGUGAAAAUAAGCACCUUCUCAGCUCCCAAAACGGAAACCUUCAGAAGUAGCUCACGCUUCCAACUCUCUCUGUUUCACGUGAAACCCAGAAGCCAGAUCCGCUUCCUUCAAUCUCUGGAUUCUAGGAUUUUUGCGGCGGUGGAGGAUUUGCAGCUUAAAGUGAAGACGGGAGGGAGAGAAGUGAGACGCGAGGAGUAGCAUCGCCAUUUGAAAACUUUCUUUAAACGUUACUGUUCAUCCGCGUUGCUGCGAUAAAAAGCCGGUUUUUGAAAGCAGCAAAUAGGUGCUUCCCAUUUCCAGCUGUUUCUCACAGCAAUUUUAGAAAUAAGUGCUUUCUUAUUGAGUUACCAAACACAAAUAUGAACUCAACUUUUUUUCAUCUCAGCUUUUAAAAAAAGUUAAGCAGUACCAAAGUAGGGCUUUGUAUAAAAGAACACUGUUUGGUGGAGAGCUUAAUUAGACAAAUUAAGUAACCAUUUUAGUUCGAAGUGUGGGAAAAGUAUAGUGCUAUGACUCUUCUUUUAAAAUUAACAGCUGGUGUGCUGCUGCCAAUGUUUUCAUGCCAUGAAAUCAGCUCUAGUAUUUGAAGGUUUGUUCGUAGUUGAUAAAUAUUUGUCAAAUACUCGUAACGUUUUGUAAAACAGCUUUUCGUUUUAUAGAUAAAAAUAAAUAAAUGUAAAUUAGUAUGAUGUUUUUAAAGAAUUAACUCAGGUAAAAAACACAAAUUACAGUAAUUACAUCUUGUUUGGUAUUGGGCCUUUAAAUAAUUUCAAUUUUUGUGAUUCCUUCUUUUGUUUUUUUUUUUUUUUAAAUGACAUUACUUAUCCUUCUACUUACAUUGUAUUCCUUGUAGAACAAAGUGACUAACACGACGUACCACUACAGACACAAAGCUUACACAACCACUGCCUUACCACAACGUUGUUACCACCACUACCACCACAACCACAACCGCCAUUGCCACCACUACAACCAUUGCUACCUCUUCACCUAAACCACUACCCUACCACCAUAUCCCUACCAUUGUCGCUACCAUCACCACCCGCCCACCACCAUCAUCACCACUACCCUCACCACCAUUAUCGUUGUCACCACCCCCACCACCAUGUCCAUUUUUUUUCAUUAUAUAUAAUUAUAUCAAUUUUACAUUAAAAUUUACCAAAGGCUUUUACAUUGGUUUUCAUACUCACAUCACUCUUAAAAGUACAAUUUAUCAAACUCUUAUCUGCUUUAUUUUACACAUGAUUUUUUUUUAAGCACAACAGAAGCAAUUUUUUUUAAAUAACAGUAAUCCCAAAUUGGCUCAUAGCCCGCGUCAGUUUGUUCUAGUAUAACCCUUCUAGGAUUUAGGUACCUACAAAGAAUAUAAUAAUUGCAUGAGCCUAAUCCGAUGAACCGACAAUUUUAAUCCUAUUUCUAGUUUAAACACUCGCACUGUAAUAUUAAAACUCAUGAAGUAAUCACAUCAAAUUUUCAAAAAAAAUGCACAAACUUUUGGUGAAGUCAUCUUGUUAGAUUAGAUACAAUAAAAAGAACACGUAGUGUAAGAACUUGAGUAUGAUCUGGAUUGUUAAGUCAUCUCUAACCAAGGGUUAGGUCAGACAUCUCGUGGGCCCCACGAAAUCUGAAAGGGCCAAAGGGCCGUUGGAAUUUUUUUUAAUGCUAUCAGUUUUGAUGUCGAUUAUAACUGACAGAAAUAAAAGAAAUAGUAUCGGUUAUAACCGACACAAAUAGCAUGGAAAAUUUUGAAUAUAACGGCUAGCCGUUUUUUUUUUUUUUUUUUUGACAAAAUUUUUUAAAAUUCUAUUUUUUUUCUUAUAACUUCCAAAGUCAUUAUACAAUAUUAAAUUAAAUUAAGUAACAUGAAACAACAUUAAAUAACAUUAAAUUUAAGUUGUAGUUUUUAAAUAAUAAAUUAUGUUUUGCCCUAUAGCCCUUUGACCCUCGGUUGGAGACGAUUUUUUGUGACAGGGCUAAAACGAGCCUUAUGGCCCUUUGGCCUUCGGUUGGAGAUGGAAACAAAUAUGGUCAUGUACUGUUCAUUAAAAUAUUAAUUUCUUAGAGGGCCAGAGGGCUAAAACGAGCCCUCUGGCCAGCUCUCAGUUGGAGAUGGCCUUAUAAACCGACUGUGGUUCAAAUAAAUGCAGCAAGUCUUGUAGAAAAAAGGUUCUGGUUUUGUUCCAGUUCAUUUAGGAUUAGAAAAUGGGUUUUAAUCAUGUGUUGCAAUUUGCACUCACUAUUUUUUUUUUUUAACAAAUGAUAUUAUCUACAAUAUGAGGGUACAGAAGUAGACUAAGCCUCACAAUAUGCUAGUAAUAGUGUAGAUCAAAUUCACCUUUAACGAGGAUCGAACCUUAGAUCUCUCACUUACAAAUGAAAAGAAAUAUCACAAACCGUAGUACUAAGUGAUCACUAUUAGACAAGCAUUUUUUGUUCGAUUUCUACUUGGAUUCUAAUAGGAGAGUAAAUGCGUAUAGUAAAAAUAUGAUGGUUUCGAAUUACUUGUUAAUUUUAAUAACCGAACCCAAUUGUAUAUGUAUACAUUCGGUUCGGUUCACGGGUUAAGUGAUAAACCGGGACGAACCCACCCUAAUAAAUAGUGAGCCUGAGUCCUACAACUAAGUUGAUGCCGCUAAGACCUGACCUAAGAGACCUGCUGGAGCUAACAAGAAUUGAGGAGCUUCCCAUGUUGUUGGAUAAGGCGGCAUAUGAUAUUAGGCCAAAGUCUUUUUCUUGUUUUUUUUUUUGGAAACAGUCUUUUCUUGUUUUGUAUAGCAUUUGGAAGACCAAAGGAAAUUUCCUGACCAAACCAAAUGAUGCCCAUUUCAAAGCAGAAACUGCACAACACAAAUGAAAAUCACAUUGACUUGACUUUUUAAUCGAAAAUGGGGAGACAUGAUUCGUACUAGAGUGCAAAGGCAGGAGUCGAGCAUGUUGCUCUAACCAAUUUGGCUAUGCCCAAGUACACUACCAUAUAGUUGUUUUAGUUUAGGCAGCAAUAAAUGUACAUCUGAAUUUGAACUCUGAAGCAACUAUUCACAUCAGAAAUUAAGAGCAACAAAUUAAACAAAGACUAAAAGGAAGACGUACGUUCCACAAACGUAAUGCAUCCUAUAAAAAUUAGUUCGGAUAAAUUAAACUCAAAUCUUCUGCUAAAUAAAUUUAUACCGUCAAACAUUGCAGCAUUUGAAUUAGCAAUCAGAAGAAGGCACGGCUGCCAUAGAACACCCGCGAUCCGUCCUUUUUUUUAUCAACUUCUAAACUCUUGUUGCUAUGGUUUGGAAUCACUUCGCUGCGGUCUUCACAUUCUGCUUUAUCAAGAUCCAUCGGGAGCUUCAUCUUCGCCAAAGACUCGGUGAAUUGCUGCAUGCUUCUCAUGUACAUGUCCACUAUUUGUUGCUGCAUUGCAGAUUGCUCCGCCUCCAUGUUUAUAUUCCCAAGUGGAGCAGAAAAUACUUGACCAAAUUGACCAGAUCCAACUUUCUGUUCCUUGUUGCUCUCCUCUUCCUUGCCUGACAAGUUAGACUCCUUUUCGUCUCUGCCUUCUCUGCCCUUUCUUGAGGUUGGGGUGUCUGGACAAGCAGCGGAACCUUGAUUAGCUGCUCCGGCGGUGACAGAAGCAUUGAGAGAAUUCGACGAUUCACCAGCCACAAGAUUCUUCUUGUCGAUUGAAUCAGCGGAGUUUCGAUCAUCGCUCAAGCUAGUGGUGGUACAACUUAAGAAGCCGGAGUUCUGGAUGCUCCCAUUGGGAGAAACAGGGUCACCCUGAAUCCCCUCACAUGAACUUACAGUCAUUUCAUAGUCAGGAUCAGCAGCAGGCUGAGGAGAUGCACCGAGAUGAAGAAACGAUCCAAGACCUUCGGGACCAGGUCUCCAAGCACAGUCACGCCUUGCCAAACUAAAAUACUCGGUCACCAUUUGUUGAUUCUUACUCGCCACAUCAAUGUCUGGGAAUUCCAUCCUCGAAUACUCAACCGGGUCUAACGCAACUUGAGAUAUUUUUCGAUCAAGCAAUACAACUUCGGAGGUUAUGGAAGAGUUGGCGGAUGAUUCCGACAACGAACUAGUGGAGGGUUUAACAGGCAAAGAAGUAUGGAGAGAAAGAGUUAGUUUGACAGUUCCAGCAGGGGAAUGGAAGAGAUCAGUGGAAGAGAGACUAUAAUCCUGAGUGACCUUUCCCUUCCCAGUCACUUGAGAAAUUGGGACCAAAGUGAAUCCCAACAGCUGGUCUUCCAUGUAGUUUCUUGCCCUGCUCAGCAUCCAAAUCUCGCAUUUGAGGACUGCAUCCAGUUGACCAAUUUUGAUCCUCAAGCUUUCGUUGAAUUCGGGGUUCUUGCCACCUCCAUUGAUGACCCUAGUGGUGAGCGUCUCGUCUGGAUUGUACGUAAGAGAGAAUUUGGCGUACACAUCUUGGUUUUCAUAGAUGCAUAUGUUGUGAAUGUUCCUAGCAUGAUGAGCAUAGAUUUCAAGAAUCCCUGAAAACUGAUCGGAAACGCUAUUUUCAUCGGCUAUUGUGUUUGAAUUCAGGUUGUACCGGAAUCCGGCUGUUGGAUUGAAUGAUUCCAUAGGAAUUUAGAUGCACUUGGAUGUUCUAACAGUUUUUUCUGUUUGGUAAGCAAGAAAGCCACAAGAAAAAAACGGAUACAGAGUUAGAUAAGGGAUCAAUCUUUAGAUUCAAGCAAAGAAAUUUCACAAAAAAAGGAAGGUUGUGCAGGAGAGGGAGAGAGAGAGAGAGAGAGAGAGAGAGUUACAGUGGAAAGAAAAGAAUUUUUGGAGGGUUGCUUAGUGGUGGGUGAUGAUGGUAGGUGGGGUGGGAAUGGAGAGAAGAAAGGGAAUGAAGAAAACAAAGGGAAUGGAAAGAGAAAAAUUGAUGAUGGAAAUAUUUGCCAACUUUUAUUUUCGGAUGGGUUGGAUUGGGUUGGGGAGGAGAAACUUUUCAUAGGAUCCGGUAUUCAAGCAGAUAUAUCACGUGUUAUAAAAUAAAUGUAGAUGAUUAUUAUCAGCAUUUCAAAAAUCUUAUUCUAUACUUCAAACUUUCUAUAUUAAAAAAGAAAAAUAUACUUGUGAAAAGUGUAAAAUGAGAUUUUUGAAAUACCAAUAACACUUCCCUAAAUGUAAUACUACUAAAAAAAAAAUAUAUAUAUAUAUAUAUAUUGCUUACAUUAAGAUACAAGAAGAUGAAGUACCGUUUGAAUACCUAGCAGUUGGAAAAAUGUGUCGCUGGGGAGGUGGGUGAAGGAUAGGGAUUUGUUGGAGUUGCUUUGCUUUGACAUUACAGCUUCCACUUGUAAAGUCUCUAAUUUGCUCCACUGAGGUAAUUGCGGGGCCCCACAUGGCCCCACUCUUCAUUAUCAAUCUUCCCCCAUUUCUCUCCACACUGAGAGAAUCUGUCGGUCACCUAUGUUAGUAGACCAAAACUCUCUCUCCCUCUACUCUCUACCAAGAAAUCUGAAAUGUCUUAAGAAUCCCAUAUCAUGGAGAUAAUGGCGUUUUACAAAUUGAAAAUGACUCAAAAUAAUGGAUAUGGCUGGUAUGAAGCAAAGAGUAGGAUAUGGCUGAUAUGAAGCAAAGAGUACUCUCUGUAAUUCACUUAUGUUUCUUUUGGUCUUUAGGAUUGAAUUGAAAUGGUUUGGAAAAUAUAUUGAAAUUAAAAGUGAAAAUUUUGUGUCAACUUGACAGUAGAAGAAGUGAGGAUUAGAAGGGACAAGAACCCCGUUCUAGUAUCUCUCUAAAUGAAAAAUCAUUCGCCUUUGUCUUUAAAAUCUUUCGAAUUCAAUAGGUUAUCAAUUUUAUUGUAAUCUAAUACUAGAGACCAAACGAAGCUUAAUACAUUUGCCGUUGUCUUCAAAGUAUUUCGAAUUUAAUAGGUUAUCCACCUUAUUCUAAUACAAUCCUAGGGACCAAACGAGACUUAUUAUUAAAGUCAUAACAUAAAUGAAAAGGUAAAUUACAUUUUACCAUUCAAGUUUGGGUGCAAUUGCAACCUCAUACAAUAUCUUUAAAACAUUUUAAUCUCAUACGUUACUUAUCAUUUCAUUGCAAUUUCAUACAUUCGUUAAUCAAACUGUCAUGCAAAUACAAGGCCCACAUGUUUGACGUGGCAAAUAAAAAUAUUAAAUAUUAAAAAACAAUUAAAGAAAAAACUAAACUAAAACAAAGUGGGCCUCAACCACCUUCUUCUCCAGGGACCUUAACACAUAGAUAGAGGAGAGAGAUCGCAUCCACUUACUUUCAUUGCGAUUUUAGCGGGGCAGCGAGGUUGGGCCCCCCUUUCUAUUUGGUUCGAGCCGUCGUGACAAACACAUAUCAAAAACACUAAGGCAAACUAAUGAAAAGGGUUUGAAAACUUUGAGUUUUAACCAAAAUGACAAUAAUGUGUUGUAAGUGAAUAGUACCAGGAGUGACUUUUUAGAGUAAAAUUGUCCUUAACAUUAAAAGCGAACAAUACCAGGAGUGUUUCGUUAAGACUCCCAAAACACUAAUCUUGAAACAAUAAACAACCUUGAACCCAUAUAUCAGAAACAACUUAAAGAACCCAGAAAAGACUAUCACUAGAAAGAUUACUUUGUGCCUUUAGAGCAUCUCCACUAGAUAAUGGAGGGUAAUGGCAAUUGGAAAUUUGGAAGGCAAGGGCAAUAAAAUUGCCCAUACUUUUCACUCUAAACAAUAAUUGCCUUUAUACAAGUCCACCAGUUUGGGAGGAGGAAGGGCAAUGGCAAGAGUGAUUGUUGUUCACAAAUAUAUUAUUUUUAAUUUUUAAUGAAUGUGGGCAUUACAAUAAACAUAAUUAUAGUCUAAUUCCAAUAAAUAAUUUCAAAUACAACAAAAAGUCAUCGCAUUACAACAAACAUAAUUAAUUUUAAACUAGGGUAUAAAAUCAGUGUGGCUCAAUCCAUCUUCCCUUGGAGUGUAUGGAACUUCCUCAUCUUCUAGGGAAAACCUUUUUCUCAUGACACAAAUUUUUUUACUUCUCCAAAAACGUUUUGAAUUAGGAGAUUCACUGUCGAGUAGGCCUAGCAAACGGGUCGUGUCUGUUGUGUUCGUGUCGUUUUUGUAUAACACAUGUUAUCUUAACGGGUCGUGUCGUGUCACACCUGUUAUCUUAACGGGUCAUUAACAGGUCGGGUCACUUUACACCCGUUAUGACCUGUUAAGAAAAAAAAUAUUCUUAAAUUGCACAUACCACACAUUGCCACAUAAAUAUUACUUCAAAACAUUAAAACACAUUUGUCGUUUAAGUACUACAUCUACACUCGAAAAUAAGAGCCUAAUAAAAAACCAUUCAUACACUACUAGUCUAUUACAAAAUAUUAAAUGUGCAAGGAUAUGCAAAAUGAAAGAGUUUUUGUUUUCAAGGUUGUGAAGCCUUUCUCAAAAGUUUAAACCUUAUCAAUGGAACUCAAAGCUUGCAUGUUAUUUCUUCUACAAAAUCCUCAAUUUUUAUCGAUCAUCAUAAGGAAAUUGUAUUGGAAUUUUGGCUUGAUCUAUUGCCUUCAAGAGUUAUGUCGAUGAUGUUUUCAGUAAGGUUUUCCACAUCAGAACUCUCUUCCGCAUAAACUAAUUACAGAAAAACCAGACAUUAAAAAUCAUUCAAAUUAUGAGAAGUUUACCAAAAUAAUUAUGAAAAGAAAUAAAACAAUAGUACUAUACCAUAUAAAAAUAUAUUACCUCAUUUUCCAAAUAGCCAAUCUCGUGUGCACAACAAAGCUUGAACUGUUUCUGGUAACAAUGAACGGAGGAGGAUGCCAGAGAGAUGCGAAUUAAGAAGACAGCACGGGAGUAAGUCUGGACUGAAGAGAUCAGAGUGAAUAAGAGAGAAGAGAACAAUAGCCUUCAACCUAAUUUUUUAAAUUAUUUAAUUUAAUAUAUAUAUAUAUAUAUAAUUAUUAUAGUUUUUAGGGGUAUAAAAUUGUUAAAUUAAUAUAUAAUUAUUAUAGUAUUUUUUAGGGUUAUAAAUUAUUAAAUUAAUAUUUUGCUUAUCGUGUGUCAUGUUACCCACGUGUAUACCCAAACAAGCCCGUUAUCUUAACAGGUGCUUAACGGGUUACCCGAUAACGACCCGAUUUGUUAUCGUGUCGAUCCGAACACCUGUUAAUUUCAUGUUGUGUUGGAUUAUCGAGUCGUGUUAGGAAUUGUCAGGCCUAUAGUCGAGGCGUCAAGACAUGAUCUAAACCUUGUCCUUUUGCCUUGCCGAUUCAACUCUCUUUCUCCGCCUUUGCUUCAUCUCUAGCCUUGACUAGCUUAUAUGUUAACCUGUCUCGUUCCAUAUUCAAUGCAUGUUGGCGAGCCAAUUCAUCAACGAUUUUUGAAUAAUCAUUAUUCGAAAAACUUCCACUUGCAGCUUUUUUCUUAGCAGCCUUCUUACGAAUAAGCCUCAUUGUUUCUUCAGUUUCUGUGACCGAUUCAAUAGGGGUCGUAAUGGUGUCUCCAAUGACAACUCUUCAGUAGUUCAUUCGUGCAAUGGAGUCUCACUUAACUGAACCUGUGGACCAAUAGGCAGAACUUUGUAUUUUGGAGUUUGAUUCACAAUGUUCCAACAUUUGUGCCUUAUGAAUGAUUACUUGUUAUCAAGAUUGAAUCACGUUUGAGCUUGUAGUUGCUAAAAAAAGUGUGGGACAGCAUAAAGAUUUAAUAAUAAAAGUACCUAAAAAAACAUAUUAAUUACAUUUUUACGAACAAUAAAUAAUAUUACAUCAGCUAGAUUAGUGCCACUUUGAUAAAUUUCUUCUGCUUUUGCAAGGACUUUUUACCAAGCUUUCAAAUCUUUAUGCAGAUGUCUGUAUUUACUCGACAUAGAUUGCUCACUCCGAGAUGUGCCUUGAAUCAGCUCGAUAAAUUGUGCAUAAAUCUUAUGUCGCAUGUGUUACAUUUUCAUCUCCUGGUGCAAAGAAAGGGUGCCUACCCUUGCAACAAUUGGUAAGGUAGUUGCCAUGGUGCCUCUACCCUACCUUUGCAUCAAUUGCCAUCACUUUUUACAACUGCUGGAGCAGUUUUUAAUGGGUUAAGGGGGCAAUUAAACCUAAUUGCAAAGGCAAUUCCUAGCUGGUGGAGUUGCUCCAGAAGCCCAUUUCUUUGAUAGACUAAUGCAUUCUUGUAUGCCUGGCAAACGGGUCGUGUUUGCUGUAUUUCGUGUAACACAUGUUAUCUUAACGGAUCAUGUCGUAUCACACCCGUUACCGUUAUCUUAAUGGAUUCUUAACAGGUCGGGUCACUUUACCCAACAGGUAAAAUGACCUGACCCGUUAUAACCUGUUAAGAUUUUUUUUUUCUUAAAAUUGCACAUACCACAUUACCACAUAAAUAUUACUUCAAAACAAUAAAAACACAUUUGUCGUUAAGUACUACAUCUACACUCCAAAAUAAUUGCCUAAUAAAAAAGCACCAAUACACUAAUAGUCUACUAUAAAAUAUCAUAUGCGCAAGGAUAUGCAAAAUAAAGGAGUUUUUCUUUUCAAGGUUAUGAAGCCUUUCCCAAAAGUUAAAACCUUGUCAAUGAAACGCAAAGCUUGCAUGUUAUUCCGUUUACAAAAUCCUUCAAUUCUCAUCAAUCAUCAUGGAAAAAUUGUAUUAGAACCUUGGCUUGAUCUAUUGCCUUUACGAGUUAUGUUGAUUAUGUGUUUUCAGUAUGGUUUUCCACACUAGAACUCUCUUCCACAUAACCUAAGUAUAAAAAAACCAAACAUUAUAAAUCAUUCAAAUUAUGAGAAGUUUACCAAAAUAAUUGUGAAAAGAAAUAAAACAAUAGUACUAUAACAUAUUAAAAUAUAUUACCUUAUUUUCCAAAUUUUCUAAAUUUAGUUUAAUAUAUAUAUAUAUAUAUUAUAGAAUUUUUAGGGGUAUAAAAUUAUUAAAUUAACAUUUUGCUUAUCGUGUAUCGUGUUACUCACGUGUAUAUCCGGACCAACCCGUUAUCUUAAUAGGUGUUUAUCGUGUUACAGAUAAUGACCUGAUUUGUUAUCGUGUUGACCCAAUAACCUGUUAAUUUUAUAUCGUUUCGUGUCGAGUUAAUGAAUUGUGUCAAAAAUUACUAGGUCUACCUUCGUGGCUUUAAUACUCAACAAAUCAAAUGACAUUGCUUCGUACCAUGGUAUUAAAUAUCGAUAAUAUCGGCGAUAUUUCGCCGAUAUUAUCGUUUUUCUGAGGUACCGAUAUUUUCCCACAUAUCCGUAUCAUUAUCGUCAAAAUAUCGCGAUAUUAUCGAUAAUAUCGCGAUAUUUUCGAUAUUAUCGAAAAAAUCGUCGUGGAUCCGUCAUCGUCGUCCCCCCAGCUGCCCAGAUCUCUCUGCAAUCCAUGCUCAAACCCAAGAUCUGCGCCUCAACGACGCCGAUUCCCCUGUUGUUGCCGAUUCCCCUGCCGUUGUCGAAGUCACAACUCGUGGUCUGUCCCCACGGCGAAGCAGGCGUGGUCUUGGGUUGAAGCAGACGUGGAACAGAGACGGAGGCGAGCGCGGCGCCGGCGGGGCAGGCUCCGUGAGGAGGAGGAGAAUGGGUGCCGAUGUUCGCUUCUCGCUAGCGUCGUGGUGGUGAGGGUGUGGGACAAAGCCGUCGUCGAAGCGGGUGGGGUGGAGGUGGACGGGGCGGAUCUGGCUAAUCUCGGUGACGAUGGUGACGAAGCCGGAGGAGGAAGAGGAGGAGGGGAGGCGGCGGAGGGAGAAGGAGUAGGAGGAAACGAAGAGGGUUUUGCAGGGCCUUGAUGCGGUGGCGGAGAUUGCGAAGAGGGAGAGGAGGGCGAUGAGGAGGAGGGAUCGUUGACUCGUUGACGCCAUGGAUUACUAGCACAAAGGAAGACGGGGAGCCUCUCGUUCUCUCUGUCUUCUCUUCUUACGCUUUUCAAUUGGCACUUUAGGGAUUUAACCAAGUUUCAGGCCCCAAAUUUUUUACUCCAUUCUGAUUUUAAAGAUUAUAAUAGAUUUAAAAAUUUAUGAAUUUUGAUGAAGUUUAAUAAUUUUUAAAACUUUUAUGUAAAAUUUUAAGUGAAUUCCCUCAAAUUUUCAGGAAGCGAUUUGAGAAUGUUUAAAAUAUUAUGUGAAAUAUUUCUAAUUUUUUCGAGUUUCCCAACUUUUUAAAAAUCUCUUCGAAUCAAUUUCUAAAUGAAUACAUUUGGAAUGUAUGAAUUUCUUAAAAAUCAUGAUCGAAUACCCCUUAAACUUUAAAGAAUCACUUAAAAUCCUUAUUAAAUGCCCUUAGAUUUUUAAAGAGAAUUAAAAUGUUUAUAAGCCCCAAUUGGAUGUACCGCUUAAUUUAACUAAUUGACACAACACAACAAACCAGUUAAGAUUACAAAUUAACACAAAAAGACGACUUGAUGCGAUGUCAUAUCUAAAAAACUUGCCGCAAUAAGCCCCAAUUGGUGUGUUUAAAUUUCUUUCAUUAAUUACUACAUAUUUUCUACACUCACAAUGUUUGUCAGCUCGCUAUAUAAUCAACUUAAAUCAAUUAAAUCCAUCAUGCAAUGCAUUUCCUUCCAAUUUUUUGUGAUAAACUAAUAGAUAAUUGACUAAAUAAACAUCCUGCAAAGUUUCAAUAAAAAUUUCCAAGUUUUUCUUACAAUUUCCGUGGUUUCCAUGUAAUUUUUAUCGAUAUCGAUAUUAUCCCGAUAUUUCCAUCGAUAUUUCCGUGUUUUCGGACUACCGAUAUUUCCGAUAUUACCGAUAUUUUCUUCCUUGCUUCGUACCUUAAAGAUUCAACAUAUCAACUGAAUUGGCUUGUGCCCACAACAACGCACUAAUUGAUUUGCACAUUUUAAAGAAGAAAACUUUAAUGAAAAAUUUUCGGUACUGUUCAAUUUAAUGAAAAACCAUAUUUUUACACUAAAAAGUCAAUCCUGAUACUGUUCACUUUACAUUUUAUUUUGUCCUUAUCAUUAAACCUCAAAGUUUUCAAGCUAUUUUCAUUAGUUUUCUAUUUAAAAAAUUAUAGCAUGCAAUUCUUCAAACAAUUCAGAAAAAAUGUAACUAAAAAAAUAACCUUCACAAAAAAUCUUAAAGCUCAGCAUUUUGGCAAAACACUAGGAGUGCAUACAGUUCUGAACUUUCCUCCAUAUAGAACAGAACACCGAUCAAUAACCGAACUCAGAGAGCUAAGCAUUUCGUUACAAACUUGGAUUGUACGAAGGUUCCGAAUUUGGGGAUUGAAUUUCGGGAAAGUAGAAGACGAUAGAAACUAAAGAAAAGCAAACAGAAAAAGAGACCACUAGAAUCCAUAUAGCGAGCUCGCCGACCUCUUGGAACUUUGCAUCGAAUUCUCUGCAGCGAAAUGCGGAGGGAGCUGAAGAGGCCAGCGCAAUAUGCCCAACCUCACCCACUUCUCAUUUACAACUCCCCCAUCUCGUGGAAUUCCAUUGUCGGACCUCGAUUUGCACCCUGUUCUUGAUUCUGCGAUCGACAGCACCGACGAGGUCGAUCUCCACCUCAAUGUAGGCCUUCCAUGAUUUUGGUCAGAUGUGAAAUCGGGGUGGUAAACAGAUACCGAUGCGAGCAGACGAUUUGAUAUGUGUCUCGGGGUCGGAGAGCUUCGAGAGGGGGAUGAGGAUUCUUUGCUUGAGCUUCACCAUGGCCAGUUGGGUUGAGAGGUAAGAAGAAGCGGUAGAAGAAGUGGAAGAAGAUUUUUUUUCACUUUUCUUUUUUACUUUUUUAACUAAAUUCUAUUUUUAAUAUUUAUUUAUUUGUAUUUGCCAUAUCAUCAACAUAUGUGGGCUUUAUAUUUGCGACGUCAUUACCCAACAGUUAAAUUGACUAAUACAUGUAUAAAAUUGUAAUGAAAUAAAAAAAAUAUAUGAGAUUAAAAUAUUUUAAAGACAUAUGAGGUUGCAAUUCGACUCAACCUUGACGGGUUAAAUGUAAGUUGCCCUAAAUAAAAUAAAUAAAAAAACCAACAGCACAAUGACAUAACAUGAGUUACAAAGGAAAUACAAGCCUAGGAAACACCAGUAUGCAACAAGGAAAAACCACAUGAGCCAAGGAAGCCUGAACUCAGGAAUUUGAGGAAAUUACAAAUAAAUACCAAUUAAGAAACAUAAAUAAAUAAAUACUUCAAGUAGUAAUGAAUAAACGCUCACUUAGUACAACUGUCUAAUGAUAUUUCUCUUUCACUUGUAAAUGAGAGAUCUUAGGUUCAAUUCUGACUAAAAGCGAAUUUGAACCACAUUAUUGCUAGCUCUUUGUAAGGCUUAGCCUGCCCAUCCUUUUUUAUGCACUGCUUUACCUUGAAAGGAAAAUUUGCUUUGCUCCUCAGGGCACUAGGCACUCCCGUGGUUCGCGAGAAGGAAAAGUGAUGAAUUCCCUUACCCAUUUAGUGUGAAUAAUAUCGUUAAUUCAAAAAUAAAAAACUAAUAAACUAGCCGAGUUUAAACCAAUCUUUGAAUUAUCUCAAGCUACGUACGAGCUUUCUAAGCAGAUUUAAAAGUUUGACAGCUUUUAAUAACGAGCCUAAUAUUUUGUUUAAGCUUUGGCUCAUUUUCCUACUAACCAAUCUUAAAUGGAUAAAAAAUGAAUUGGACACUACAAGGAUGACAUUGAUCCAAUUUCCGCUUAAAAAACUAAAAUUCAAAGAAAUAUCAAUUUCAGGGGCCACUUGUAAUACAAACCCAAGAGGGCUUUAAUUGACACACCCCGAUCCAGGAUGUCCACUAGGACUCCAAAUUGAGCUGUGCUGGCCAACACCUGGAGGGUGACGAAGCCAUAAAGUAUGAUGAUGUGGAAAAAAGUGAAUAAAUUUAAACUUAAGAGUGCCUAAAUACCAAAAUGCGCUGGUGAGCGGGAAUGAAAUCACUUCACACGUGAUGUUAGAGCAUAAGCAAGUACAGUAGAGUGAAUUAAGAAUUGUACCCUCAAAAUAUUCUCCAAUACUAAGAAUCGCCAUAAAUCUUCGACGAUAAGAAAGUUCAGUUGAUAAAACCUGAAGGGUGAAAACAAAAAUAAGGGUGAGUGGCCCUGGAAUUAAAAUUUUAAUAGAAACCAUAUAAAACAUUAUAACCCCUCGCUGCAACACUUGUAUAGUUUCCCAAAAAAUCAUAAAUAUACCAACACAACAUCUCAUCAGGAAUAUCAAUAAUCAUGUGAUUAAUAACCCAUACAAGCACGCAAGUCUGAGUCACCUAUGGUGACCUGUAUGACUGUACCCAUAUCUCAUCAAUCAAUGUUAACUCAUAAGUCGGAGUCACCUAUAGUGACCUGUACGACUUAUCCAUAUCUCAUCACAUAUGCUAGCUCAUCACAUAUUGCAUCACAUAUGCUAGCUCAUAAGUUGGAGUCAUCUCUAGUGAACUGUAUGACUUAUCCAUAGCUCAAUAAGUAUACCUGCACACGAGUCGGAACCACAUAAAGUGGUCUGUACGACAGAACUGGGUGUAAAUAAAUAAGCUCAAUUGCUACGUUCACGUGAAGACUGUGCGAAUAAUCGCGGGUCACCUACGAGUCAAAACCACAUAUAGUGGUCUGUACGACAGAACUGUGUACCUACCUUGGAUCCAAGGUGAGCGUAAGGUGCGAGAGGUGAACAUCACGUGAAGGAUUAUGCCUUGGCCACAGGCGGGAGCACUAACACCGAGGUGCAGGUUUAUUAGCUCUAACUGUAUCUAUUGUAACAUAUACGAUUCAUGGGCAACCUAUAAGAUAGUGUCGGAGUUGCCUAUCAUUGCAACCUAUACGACAAGGUCAGAGUUGCCUAAACAUACAUGUAGUCAUGCCAUAACCCCAUCAUUUCAACUAAUACCAUAAACUCACCUGAACUUAACUGGGUGUCCUGCGUUCACCUUUGCACUUCAAAGCGUUCGUAAUAAUUGUGUGCAGGUAAUAUACAUAUAGAUAAACCAUGAUGAAAUCUAAUAUUCAACCACGUUAUAGCAUUUCCAAUUAUAUACAUACAUAUAUAUAUAUAUAUAAUGUGGCAUAAAAAUGCAUAGGCUGUAACGCCCUACUCCCGAAUUAUUUAUUUUCGGAAAUAAUUAUCGGUGAUAAGCCCAACUAGACACUAGUUUAAUUAAUUAUCAUUACUUACGCUACCUUACUUCAAAUUCUUGAUUCUUCACACAUUAAUUUAUGACCAACAUUUAACCACCAAAUCAUAAGGUUAAAUCUCAUAUUUUCCACCAAUGUCUCUCACACUGCUUAAUUCCCUAAACAAGGCUAUUGUCUCAAUUAUUGUAUGGAUGUAUCUAACGUCUCGUUAGACUGCCUACGUACCCUAAACAGGGAUCAAGCUGUUCGUAGUUCACAUUAGUCCUCCUAAGCAUUCACAGAAAUUAUAUGAAAUAUUCAAUUUACAAAUGUUUGUGGAGAUGUAAAUCUUAUAUAUAUACACACACACGAUAGAAGGGAAAAGACCUACUCACCUUAGGUUCUCGCUACGACUCCUCGCACGAAUAUCGAGACAUCACGAACUAUCGUCACCUGUGACCAAUUAUCAAAUCAUGUCUCAAAGUUCCUAUCGAUAGAGUACAUAAUUUACAUAAAACAUAUCCUUAAGGACCUUCAAGAAUAAUUUGAGACCUAUUGACAAAGAGUCAACCGUCGAUCAAAGAUCGACAGUUGGGUCCACAACCCUGCAAAACUCGAUCCAGAAGAUCCGAAUCACAUAUUUCCAAUCCGUAACUUCUCAUAAUACAAAAUAUGCUUCUAGAACAACAUACUUAAGUUUCAUUACGAUCCAACGGUUGGAUCUCCGCUAAUUUCCAAAACUGAUUAGCGGUUAAAGUUUUAUUUUAUUCGGGAAGAUCCAUAUGUCGGAUUCCAAAUCCAUAAGUUCCUACAUUCUUCAAAUAUUACGUACUAAUUUAACAAUGUUUGGUGACGAUCCAAACCCUAAACCCUAAACCCUAAAUUCUCUACAAUACGUUAAUAGGUAUUUAUGUGAAUCGACGAUCCAACGGUUGGAUCGUCGAUUCACAUAAAUACCUAUUAACGUAUUAUAGAGAAUUUAGGUUCCAACAAUCAACCUACAUCAUUCAAAUAUCAAAAAUGAAUUCAAGACAUUUAACAUAGUCUAAAAAUAGCAUUGGCGGCCCCCUGGCCAAGCGCCACCGUGGGUGGCGGUCGGCCGCCGCGAUUCGCCGGAAAAACUAUCUCAAAAAAUUACCAAAAUUUACAUGAAUGAAGAUCUCAACGAGUAGGGCAGCUUUCAUACAUGUGACCAAGGCCAAUUUGGCCUGGAAAAUCCCCAAUUUAGCUAAAAUCCGUCAGAACCCUAAGUGUGGGUGUGCUUCGAUUCUUCCUCCUCGAUGAUCCGCCGCCUCUACAACUGAUUAAGCUUUGUUCCAUACCUCAAGGGAAGUCUAAUGGUGGUAGUAAUUGAUUCAAAUAGUUUCAUAUUUAGGGGAAUUCGAACAAGGAGGGUCGCGGCACCCACAGUACAAUCUUCAUGAAAUCUUAACCAAGUCAUGUCUAUUUUGGCUAGAGUGGAACAAUGUGAUGUUGGUAUGAUGUUUAGUGGUGAUGGGAGGUUGUAACUCGCCGAAGAUUUGGAGAAAAACCAUCGGAAAAACACACGGGCGUUUGGGUUUUAAAACGGGUCACACGGGUUAGAAACGGGUCAAGGGGAAGUAGAUCAUGGUUAGGUGCCUCUCACCUUCCUCAUUUCCCUCCCUGAUCUAUCCCUAAUUUGUCCUCCCAUCUUCCUCCUUUCUGAUAAGGCAACAACCCUCUCAUCUUCUCUCCUCAGAUUAGGCAGCUCCGCCCAAUCUCCUCAUCUCUCCCUUUUUCCACCGGCCACACACGCACAUAUAUCAUAAAAAUCAUUUAGUAAUAAUAAUAAAAAAAAUAUAAUGUAAGAUAAUUAAAAUAAUGAUUCAUUCCAAAUACUUUCGAGUUCGUAAUUCCACGAAACUUUAAUCGUAACCUCAAUUUCACUUUUACUUGUGCAUACGCGUCCGUAAGAUUGAGCUCUAUCCAAAUAUGUCAAGGAAUAUGACAAAAUAUACGAGAAUCACAUGCGUCCUAAAAAAUUACGCUUUGCCCUUAGGGUAUUCCCGUAAUUUCACGUAAUAAAAUUAUAAAACAAAUUAUACUUUUUUAGGGACGGGCUAUGACAUUAAUGAAACGGGCUUGAACUAAAUUUAAUUUAACCAAAAAUCACUCUAAACUAUUAUUUAAGGAAAAUGACUUAAAUUUUAGGGGGGUGUAUUCAAUUGAGAUUCUGAGAGAGUUUCAAAGAAUUAAUAAUUCUAGGGGUAUUCAAUUAGGAAUUUAAAAGACUUCAUAAAACUUUAGGUGUAUUCAAUUGAGAAUUAUAAACACUUUUUAAAGUCUCUAGAAAUAUAGAUGUAUUCAAUUGAGAUUUCUAGAGACUUUUUAAAAAUUCCUAUAAAUCUAGGUGUAUUCAAUUGUGAUUUGUUUCAAAGUCUCUAAAAAUUUAGGUGUAUUGGAAAACAAAUUGAAUUUGAAGGAAUUUGUGAAUUGGUGGAUUUUGGAGGAUUUCAAGGUGAGACCUAUAAAUAUAUACCAAAGAGCUUGGGAAAUCUCACCUCACCCCUAGAAAUUUUGAGCGACUUUGUGUACUGCUCUCCUCUCCAGAGACUACGACACCUUCUGCUCCAAAAACAAAGUAGCUUGAAGGUAAAACUUUUCACCAUGCACAUGUUUUCUUCGGAUUUUUCUUGUUUGGAUAUUGUAAUCUUGUUCUAGGGUUAGGGUUUUCUAGUCUAGGGUUUAUCAGGAUUUGAAACCCUAUUGUUGAAUAUGCGUGUGGGUUUAUGGUUUGGUGUUUUGUUGAAAUAUUUUCUACUUUUGAUUGUCAAAAAGAUCAACUGGAAUCCACAAAGAUGGUUUUAGGGUCCAUAGAAAUUUUGAAUUUUGAAUGGAAACUUGUUGUUGGAUAUCGAAUUGAUGUUUUCUUUUAAUUUGAUGUCAAAAUUGGCGUCAAAGAGUGACACACCCCGAUUGAGAUCAAGGCAUGAUGGCCAUCACGUGAGUGACGUAGCCAUGUGCACAGUGCGCAAGCAAUAAAGAUAAGAAUUAUACGAAUAAUUAAAAAUCGAAAUACUAGAGUUCACUACUAAACAGGAAGUGAUAGGAGUUAGUUACAAUAGUAAACACUCAUAAUCAGAGCAUAUUAAGUCUAGGUGCAUUCCAGUAGGACAAGUACUAAUUAUACAGUACCAGGAAUGUCCUACUAUUAUUUAGAUAAGUCAGAAUCGCCGACGUCCUCAAGCCACCAACAGCAAGCUUACUUAAAACUUGGAGGGGCGCAAAAUAGAAACCGUGAGUGGGAAAAAACAAAUGUUUUACAAAAUCAUUUUCUUUAUCAACAUAUCUAACCCCUCGCUGUAAAACAUGUAUAAUUUUUCCCAGAAUCAGAAUAUAAGCAUAUACAUAAUAUAUAAAUAUAUAUAUGAAAUCAUAUCAAUUCAAUUCAUGCUUCACAUAAUCAUAUUCAAAUAUAUGCUAUGCUAAUAUAUAACAGAGUAAGCAAUUCAGGUAAGAAUAAAUUCAUAGAAUAUGAUAUGUUAGCCGAAACCCAUGUGGUAGUCUGUACGGCUGAAUUCAUAGUUCAAAGUCAAUCUAGCCGGAGUCACUACAAUGACCUAUACGACAAUAUACUGCACAUAAGUUGGAACCCCUAAAAAGGUCUAUACGACAAGAUUGGGUGUAAUAUAGUUAUGCUCAAUUUUACUCUCUCAUAAUAGUCGGAUGAUAAAUCGCUAGUCACCUACGAGUCGGAACCAUAAAUAAGGUAUGUACGACAAGACUGUACACUUAAUUUGGAUCCAGUAUGAGCAUAUAGUGCGGGAGGUGACAUAAAUAAACAGGCAUGUACUUUAUAUCUCUGGUUAAACCACAAUCACCCUAGGUGCAGUUUUAUGAGCUCAACAUCAAUCAAUCACUCACAUAUUACAUCAUCGAUGAUUCACAUAGCCAAACAUAACUUAACUGAACUUACAUGUGCCUCCACAGCACCACAUUUAUAUAUAUAUAUAUAUAUAUAUGCAACCAUGAAAUGCAUAUUCAGAAUAUAAAAGCAUUUGGCAUAUUAUUUCGAAGCAUACUUUCCUUAAAAAUGCAUUUCUGGGAAAUAUAUCAAGUAUAUAAAUAUAUACAGAAAACAAAAGCCCACUCACUGGUAUGUCAACGAGUCGUAACCCUCGAGUCGCCAGUGGAUACGCUCGUCAUCGGGAUAAGUCUCACCUAUAUGCGAAUUAACUAUAAAAAUGUUAUUUUAAAGCACAUAGACAAAACUAGCUACUAACUUCUCAUACAUUGCUCAAAAUGGGUAUAUGAAUAUACCAUAGUGACCUACACAACCUCAGGAUCAUCCCCAAAUUUUUAGAUAAAUUUUUUGAGCUCCCACACGUCGGCAAGCCCAUGGUAUAACGCGCCCCCACACGCGGCCAAACUUGAUGGAUUCCCUAACCACCGUUAGGGAAUAUUCCGUUAAAACUGACUGAUAGCGUCAGCAUAUUGUGUCCAAACUGACGGAAUAUGCCGUCAUCUUCUUCGGCGAGUUGCCGGUCGCUAAAAAACUGGGUAAAACUUUAAAACGUCUAUUCUCGCUCAUUUCUUAACCAUUUUUCAUGAAAUUUAUACCAAUAGAAAGCUGAAGAUGAGUAGAACAACAUUAUACCUGUUUAAAGCUCCAAAAAUCAAGAAAUCUCGCUAGAGAAAUUCGAGGAAACCAGCCAACUUCGAAACUAGCUAUCCCGACGUCUAAAUUUUUCCAACGAAGCACUCCGAGCCUCCUUAGAACCUCCUAAAGCUUUCUAUGGUCUUGAAAUUCAAUAAAAAUCAACAUUUUAUGUGAGCAUGAAUAGUACCUCAAAUCGGGGUUAUGGUUUCGACGUGAAAACGAUGGAGUUCUUACCUGGAACGUGUACCCCAAGACUCGUAUGGUCCUCACGAACACAAUGGUGGUCUUAGAAUCCUUAAUCCGUCACGAUUCAAAGGGUUUUGGGUUUGAGUCCGUACAGGAGGGAAGAGAGAGAGAGUCUGAGAGAUAGAGAGAGGACACGGGAGGGAAGAGAGAGAAAGUUAUGGGUGUGUGUGUGGUCUAAAGUCACGAAUCACAACUAAUAAUUUUCUUACUUCCAAUUGGGUCCAAAAUAAUAGGGACUUAACACAUUGGUCCUCAGCCACACAUAGCCCCACGAUGUCACAAACGCUCAAGGGUAAAUCUGUCUUUUCACAACCACGAUAAAUAAUUUUCAGGACGGUCAGUGACAAUCUCCCUGCCUUAUAAAAUUUCAUCCUCGAAAUUACAUACAACCAAUACAUCCAUUAAUAAUCAUAAAACAAGCAUGGAUACAUCUCUCUCAUCCGAUCUUCUGUCUCCCAAGUAGCUUCUUCCAUUGAAUGAUUUCUCCAUAAUACAUUCACUAAAAGCACAGUCUUGUUCCUUAGUUCCUUAUCCUUCCAAUCCAAAAGAAUCACUGGUUCCUCAUCAUAAGUCAAAUCGGGAUUAAUUUCCAAAGGUUGAGGAGGAAUCACAUGUGAAGGAUCUGAAACAUAAUGUCGAAGCAUCGAAACAUGAAAUACAUUAUGCACCUUAGACAACUCUGGAGGCAACUCAAGCUGGUAAGCAACCUCACCGACUCGCUCGGUGAUCAUAUAUGGUCCAAUGUACCUAAGACUCAACUUUCCUUUCUUUCCAAAUCGUACAACACCUUUCCAAUGUGAUAGCUUCAGAAAUACCCAAUUGCCUACAUCGUACUGCCGAUCAGUGGCAUGCUUGUCUGCUAAGCUCUUUUGUCGAUCUUGGGCGGCUUUCAGGUUAUACUUAAUUACCUGAACAUUUUGAGUAGUCACAUCCACAAUCUUAGGGCCCACUAAAACUCUUUCGCCAACCUAUGACCAACAUAGAGGCGUACGACAAGAUUUCCCAUAAAGUGCCUCAAAUGGUGCCAUACCAAUACUCGAAUGAUAACUGUUGUUGUAGGCAAACUCCAUCAAAUCCAAACAAUCAUGCUAACUAUCUCCAAACUGCAGCACUGAAGAUCUCAACAUAUCCUCUAAUGUCUGAAUGGUUCUAUCAGAUUGUCCAUCUGUCUGAGGGUGAUAUGCCGUACUAUAAAGCAAUCUCAUACCAAGAGCUUCUUGAAAUGCUAUCCAGAACUUGGAAGUAAAUCUGGGAUCCCGAUCUGAGAUAAUAUUAACUGGCACACCAUGAUACUUCACAAUCUGCAAUAUAAAUAACUUAGCUAAUCAGCUUAACGAAUACUUCUCCCUCACUGGAAUAAAAUGUGCUGACUUCGUAAGCCGAUCAACUACCACCCAAAUGCCGUCAUAACCAUUCUGUGUACGAGGGAGCUUGUACACAAAAUCGAUAGUAAUAUUUUCCAUUUCCACUGUGGAAUGGGAAGUGGCUGCAUCAACCCAAACGGCUUCUUCCUUUCCGCUUUAACCUUUGGCAAAUGGCACACCUACUCACAUAUUCGGCAAUUUCCCUUUUCAUACCUGGCCAAUAAUAAAAUGGUCUAAUGGUAUGAUACAUCUUAGUGCCUCCUGGAUGCAUCGCAUAUGCUGAAAUAUGUGCUUUGUCCAAAAUUUCUUUCUUUAAUUCUGCAUUAUUCGGCACAUACAUUCUGUUUUCCUGCAUAAGCAUACCAUCAGAUUCUCGAAUCCCGAAAUUUCUUUUUGCCUUAAUUUCUUGCUUGAAUUAUUUCAUGGGUCUCUUCAUCAAUCAUCUGAGCCUCAAGUACACGGUCAAAUAAAAUUAGCCUAACCUGAAAAUUAGCAAGCAAGGCUUCUUCUCGAUCUUCCACUCCUAGCUUCACUCCAGUGGACCUCAAAUCUGUUAGAAGAAGGACAUGACAAUCAUAAAUGGCAUUGAGUCUGGCUGGAGUCUUCCUACUAAGUGCAUCCGCCACUGCAUUUGCACAACCAGGAUGAUACUCAAUCGUGCAGUCAUAAUCACUAAGCAACUCAAUCCAUCUCCGCUGCCGAAGAUUAAGAUCUCUAUGAGUAAACAGGUACUGAAGACUCUUAUGAUCUGUGAAGAUCUUACAUUUCUUGCCAUAAAGAUAAUGCCUCCAAAUCUUCAAAGCAAAGAUGAUAGCCGCUAACUCUAAGUCAUGUGUAGGAUAAUUCUUCUCAUGAGCUUUCAACUGUCUCGAGGCAUAAGGAAUUACCCUACCAUGUUGCAUCAAUACACAACCCAAACCUUUCAAAGAAGCAUCACUAUAAACCUCAUAAUUACCGCUAUCAUCUGGAAGUGCUAGAACAGGAGCAUGAAUGAGAUAGUACUUCAACUGCUGGAAACUUUGCUCACAUUUAUUAUCCCAUUCAAACUUAACAUCCUUUUAAGUUAACCUCAUCAAUGGCAAAUCAAUCACUGAAAAAUCCUUAACAAACCAUCUAUAAUAGCCUACUAAGCCAAGAAAACUCCGUACCUCAGUGACGGUUCGAGGUUGCUCCCAAUUUUCUACAACUACUACUUUUUGAGAAUCCACUUGAAUGCCUUGAGCAGAAAUGACAUGUCCCAAAAAUGCCACUUGAUUCAACCAAAAUUCACAUUUGCCAAACUUAGCAUAGUUGGUGUUCCCUCAAACUGCUUAACACCAACUUCAGAUGUCUAGCAUGCUCAGCCUUAGACUUAGAGUAUACCAGAAUAUCGUCAAUGAAGACAAUAACAAACCUAUCCAAAUAUGGCUGAAAUACUCGAUUCAUCAAAUCCAUAAAAGUUGCUGGUGCAUUAGUUAACCCGAAUGGCAUCACAAGAAACUCAUAAUGACCAUAUCGAGUCCUAAAUGUGGUUUUAGGGACAUCUUCAUUUUUAAUCUUCAACUGAUAGUAUCCCGACCUCAAGUCAAUCUUAGAAAAUACGUAGGCACCUCUGAGUUGAUAAAAUAAAUCGUCUAUACGAGGCAAUGGAUAACAGUUCUUAAUGGUUACCCGAUUCAAUUGCCUGUAAUCAAUGCACAGCCUCAAAGUUCCAUCUUUCUUCCUCACAAAUAAAACUGGAGCUCCCCAAGGUGAAGUACUCGGUUGAAUAAAAUCUUUAUCCAUUAACUCUUGCAACUGGACUUUCAAUUCCCUUAAUUCAGCAGGAGCCAUUCUAGAAGGAGUUAAGGAUAUGAGAUUCGUACCUAGAAGCAGAUCAAUACAAACUCCACCUCUCUAUCUGGCGGCAAUCCAGGCAACUCCUCAGGGAAUACAUCCGGAAAAUAUCUGACCACCCGAACAUCCUCCACACUACUAGGAACAUCAUCAUUCAACACCACAUGAGCCAAAUAUCCUUGACAACCUUUCGAAAACAAUCUCUUUGCUUUCAUGGCUAAAAUAAUACCAUGCCUCACCCCACUAAGCUCUCCUACACAUGUAACUUCAAGUAAUCCAGGACAAUGAAACGUGACUGUCUUUCCAUAACAAUCUAUCUUGGCACGAUUAUAGUGCAACCAAUCAGUGCCCAAAAUCACAUCAAAAUCCAUAAUAUCCAACGACAUAAGCUUAGUCGGCAUAAUAAUAUCCUCUACUAUCACUGGACAUCCUAGGUAUAUCCGAUCCUCAAAAUAUAUAUCCUCUAUAGGCAUAGAAAACUCUAAAUUAUAUCCUAGAGGUGUAUGAUAGGGUUGCGUCACUUGAGCAAAUGUAUGAGAAAUAACAGAAUGUGUAGCACCACAAUCAAUCAAUAAUCUAGCAAAAUGACCAAGAAUAUUUAACGUACCCAUGAUUAGAUCUGGAUUAUUCUGGGCAUCUUGCAGUGACAUGUUGUGGAUACGUGUCUGGUUUUGCUGUCGUCCACCGCGACCUCUGUUGGCAUGAACACCACGUCCCUGCCUCUGCUAACCCGAUUGCCUUGAAGAUCCUGCACUACUAGCAGCAAUCUCUCCCUGCUGGGGUUGUCCCCUUUGGUACCACUGAGAUCCUCCGGCUGAAUGUAGCUGAUACGACAUAGAUCAUCCCUGAUACUGAGGGUACCCACUCUGGUACUGAGGAUCCUGAGAAUACUGCUGCUGCCCUUAGGUGUAGGGAAUGGCGUCGCCCUAAUAGUGGUAGGCACCUCAUCGUCCAGUCUGAGUAUAACCACCAGAUCCUGAAGCGUGCUGGGUAGGUGCAGAUGGUGGGAAGGAAGGCUGCUGGUGUCUCUACUGACUCUGAGGGCAUUGAGCAGCCCUAUGACCCAUCUGACCACAAGUGAAGCAACCAUUGCUGCCUCUCCUACACUCCCCAAAAUGCCGAUUAUUACACCUACGGUAUAAGGGAGCACCAGAUCCACCGAACCACCAAAAUCUCUGCCUCUGGAAUCUAAGGCCUCCAGUGAAUCUACCACCUCUCCUCUGCAUAUUAGUACUCAAUCUUCCGCUAGAAGAGCUGGAAUUGCCACCACUCCUCUUAAAGUUUUAGGUCUUGCGGGGUCCCUGAAAUGCUUGCCAUUUUCCUUUAUCGUCUUGUCUCUGGCCCCCAUUCUUUCCUUCCUCAUCUUCACUUUCACUAGGUAUGUUCUCUGAGGCCUCAAUCUUAAGUAGAAUCUCAUAAAACUCCUGGUAAGAGGCACAGUGAGUCGAUGUCGCUAUGGAACGCCAUUUUUUCUUAUUACCCAAACUGAAACAACGAAGCAUCUCUACCAGAUUAGCAGCAACCUCCGGAUCAUAUCUCGACAGAUCAGUAAACAUCCUGUAAUACUCAUUAGUGGACAUCUUUCCUUGCCUCAGAUAAGUAAACUCAUGUUUCUUACUAUUGAUAUACGCAAGAGGAAUAAACCUUUUCCGAAACAGCUCAUUAAGCACUCCCCAAUCCACAAUCUCUGUUGGGGUCAACUGGUAAGACUCUUGUUUCCACCAGGAUGCAGGCUGUUCUCCCAAAAAUUAGAUAGUCAUCUCGACCCACUUAUCAGAAGAAAGACUCCCCUGACUCUACAUCACCUGAAAGGUCUUCUCCACAUGAUUCAGCCAUUUUUCUGAUACCAAACUGACACACCCCGAUCGAGAUCAAGGCAUGUUGGCCGUCACGUAAGAGUGACGUAGCCAUGUGCACAGCGCAAGCAAUAAAGAUAAGAAUUAUACGAAUAAUUAAAAACCGAAAUACUAGAGUUCACUACUAAACAGGAAGUGAUAGGAGUUAGUUACAAUAGUAAACACUCCUAAUCAGAGCAUAUUAAGUCUAGGUGCAGUCCAGUAGGACAAGUAUUAAUUAUACAGUACCAGGAAUGUCCUACUAUUAUUUAGAUAAGUCAGAAUCGCCGACGUCCUCAAGCCACCAAAAGCAAGCUUACUUAAAACCUGAAGGGGCGCAAAACAGAAAACGUGAGUGGGCAAAAAAAAAUGUUUUACAAAAUCUUUUUCUUUAUCAACAUAUCUAACCCCUCGCUGUAAAACAUGUAUAAUUUUUCCCAGAAUCAGAAAAUAAGCAUAUACAUAAUAUAUAAAUAUAUAUAUGAAAUCAUAUCAAUUCAAUUCAUGCUUCACAUAAUCAUAUUCAAAUAUAUGCCAUGCUAAUAUAUAACAGAGUGAGCAAUUCAGGUAAGAAUAAAUUCAUAGAAUAUGAUAUGUUAGCCGGAACCCCUGUGGUAGUCUGUAUGACUGAAUUCAUAGCUCAAAGUCAAUCUAGCCGGAGUCACUACAAUGACCUAUACGGCAAUAUACUGCACAUAAGUUGGAACCCCUAAAGUACAACAAGAUUGGGUGUAAUAUAGUUAUGCUCAAUUUUACUCUUUCAUAAUAGCCGGGCGAUAAAUCGCUAGUCACCUACGAGUCGGAACCAUAAAUAAGGUCUGUACGACAAGGCUGUGCACUUAAUUUGGAUCCAAUAUGAGCAUAUAGUGCGGGAGGUGACAUAAAUAAACAGGCAUGUACUUUAUAUCUCUAGCUAAACCAUAAUCACCCUAGGUGUAGUUUUAUGAGCUCCACAUCAAUCAAUCACAUAUUACAUCAUCGAUGAUUCACAUAGCCAAACAUAACUUACCUGAACUUACAUGUGCCUCCACAACAUCACAUUUAUAUAUAUAUAUAUAUAUAUAUAUAUAUAUAUAUAUAUAUAUAUAUAUAUAUAUAUAUAUAUAUAUACAACCAUGAAAUGCAUAUUCAGAAUAUAAAAGCAUUUGGCAUUUUAUUUCGAAGCAUACUUUCCUUAAAAAUGCAUUUCUGGGAAAUAUACCAAGUAUAUAUAUAAUCUAGCAAAACGCGUCCCCACGCGCGGCCAAACCUGACGGAUUCCCUAACCACCGUUAGGGAAUAUUCCGUUAAAACCUAACAGAUUCUGUUAAAACUGACUGACGGCGUCAGCAUAUUCCGUCCAAACUAACGGAAUAUGCAGUCAUCUUCUUCGGCGAGUUGCCGGUCGCCAGAAAACUGGGUAACACUUUAAAAUGUCUAUUCUCGCUCAUUUCUUAACCAUUUUUCAUGAAAUUUAUACCAAUAGAAAGCUGGAGAUGAUUAGAACAACGUUAUACCUGUUUAAAGCUCCAAAAAUCAAGAAAUCUCGCCGGAGAAAUUCGAGGAAACCGGCCAACUUCGAAACUAGCUAUCCCGACGUCUAAAUCUUUCCAACGAAGCACUCCGAGCCUCCUUAGAACCUCCUAAAGCUUCCUAUGGUCUUGAAAUUCCAUAAAAAUCAACAUUUUACGUGAGCAUGAAUAGUACCUCAAAUCGGGUUUAUGGUUUCGACGUGAAAACGAUGGAGUUCUUACCUGGAACGUGUACCCCAAGACUCGUAUGGUCCUCACGAACACAAUGGUGGUCUUAGAAUCCUCGAUCCGUCACGAUGGAAAGGGUUUUGGGUUUGAGUCCGUACAUGUGGGAAGAGAGAGAGUCUGAGAGAUAGAGAGAGGACACAAGAGGGAAGAGAGAGAAGGUUAUGGGUGUGUGUGUGGUCCAAAGUCACCAAUCACAACUAAUAAUUUUCUUACUUCUAAUUGGGUCCAAAAUAAUAGGGACUUAACACAUUGGUCGUCAACCACACAUAGCCCCACAAUGUCACAAACGCUCAAGGGUAAAUCUGUCUUUUCACAACCACGAUAAAUAAUUCUCGGGACGGGCUAUGACAAAGAGGUUUUUCGUGCUUUAUGGUUUGGUGUGGGUUUAUGGUCUAGGGUUUAUCAGGAUAUUGAAUUUAUGUUUUCUUUUAUUUGUUUAACAAGUUUACAUGAAUAUGUCCAUGACCUGCUGUGCUUGAAGUAGCCAGGGCAUUUCACAGUGGUGUUCCACGACCAAAUGUGCUAUGUGUUUUGUUGAAAUAUUUUCUUAAGAAGUCUUUUAAAAACUUGACCUAAUUUUUUUGUUUCCGUUUGCAAGGAAAUGUGAUCUAACUGUGGGGUUCAUUAUGUGUUUGGUUAUCAUGCUUUUAGCAUCCGUUGAUUUUAUGUCAAAUAAGGGUGAGAUUUUAGCAUUCGGUCAAAAUGUCAAUGUAACUAGGGUGAGGCUUGACUGGUCUGUUGUUCAAUUUCUUUUGUUCAAUUUUUCCUCUUUGCAAUCCUAUGCAUGUAGUUCAGUCUUUAUUGUGUGCAAUCCUAUGCAUGUAGUUUCUCAUAACAUAUUGGUAAGUGGACUUUGCAAGGCCAAAAGAGUUUCAAAAGCCAAAUCUCUUUUGGAUGAGAUGGUGAUGAAGGGUCUUGUUCCCUCAGUUGUAACCUACAAUCUGUUGAUAGAUGGAUGGUGUAAAAUAGUUAUGUUGAUAAAGUGAUACUUUGCCUCUCCAGGAUGUUUAGUGAAGACAGAGAACCAAAUGUGAUUACCUACACAACAUUAAUAGACCGGUUGCUCAAUGCUGGAAGGGUCGAUGAUGCUGUUGUGCUUUGGAACAAUAUAUUUUGAUGCGUAUUCAUGUGCUGUGAUUGAAUUUUUUGCCUUCUGGGACAACGCAAUUUUACCAAUCAAUUUGGUUUUUCUUGAAAUUAAAUAAUCACUGUGAUUUCAUGGGAAUUCAAACAAAUCUCUUGAAAUUCAUGAAUAAACUCUUUGAAAUUCUCUAAGCCCAUGCAAAGAGUUCUCUCACAAUUCAUGUGAAUUCUAUGAAACUUUAACUCAAAAUCCCUAGAAAGUGAUUUUUUUUUUCUCUCAAAUUCUCUCAAAUUCCAUGGAAUUAGAUUCUCUGAAACUCUCUCAAAAUUCCAAUUGAAUACCCACCCUUAAUAAAAAGGACUUCAACUUUAAUGAAAAAAAUAAAAGUUUAAUAUAAUAAAUGGUUCUUAAAAUUUACCCUCACCAUCAAGAUGAUCCCUAAAAUUGAAAAUCAAUCGAUGUAGUUCCUAAAAAUAACUGUCGUAAAUCAAUGUGGUCCUUCUGUUACAAUUCUGUCAAAAUUUCAGUUAAGUGCUGAUGUGGCACAUAAAUAGGCCCCACAAGAUUUAUUAGUUUUUAUCACAAAUAGUCCCUGAAAUUGACUCACACCAUCAAGAUGGUCCCUGAAAUUGAUCCAAACCAUCAAGAUGGUCCCUAAAAUUGAAAAUCGAUGAAUGUAGUCCUUGAAAAUAGGUGUCGCAAAUCAAUAUGAUCAUUCCGUUAUAAUUUUGUAAAAAAAAAAAAAAAUUGUUAUGUGCUGAUGUGGGUUUAAUAAUUAAUUAAAAAAGUUGUCUAAAUGCCUUUUUACACAAUAGAAUUUUUUUUCUUAUAGUAGGACCUACUCCAAAGAGGGAUCCCUUUCAUAAAUUCUCAAAAGCACAAGGCUUAACCAAGGCCUAAGAGGUUUGGAAAUAGUUUUCAAUCAACAAUAGACGCAUCUCGGUUACAACCUCAUUAUCUCAAGGCAAACCUCGUCAUUCUUUGAGUCACCAAACCACCAAGGAAGUCCCGAACAACCUUUCUAAGAUUAAGGUUGUGAGAAUGUUGAUCGCCUAAAUGUUAAUGGUGAUGUCCCAGAAGUCAUUGCCAAUCAGCCAAACUAUCACCAAAGGUGAUCUCGAUCUAGGUUCAAUUCGGUAAAAGGUGUCAAAGUGUAUAAAGAUGGGUGUAUUAAGAAUUUUUUUAGAUGUUAGACAACGAAGGAGGUAGAGGAAUGUGGAUUGGGAUCAAAUGUGAUUGCAUGACUGAGUUUUUGGGUUCACAACUCCUUAUAAACUAUUAAAUUAUUAAACCUAUUUGUAAUUUUUUUUAUAAUUUAAUUAGACUUGUGUGAUCCAUUUAUGUGUCACAUCAGCACAUAACAAAAUUUUUGACAUAUUAUGACAAAUGACUACAUUGAUUUGAGCUCUUGUAGGACUACAUUGAUCAAUUUUCAAUUUCAGAUAUCAUUUUGAUGUCGCGAGUCAAUUUCAAUGACCAUUUGUGAGAAAAAAAAAUGACAUAUGAGACUCAUUUAUGUAUCACUUCAGCACUUAAUAUAAUUUUUAACAUAAUUGUGACGGAAAGACUACAUGGAUUUGCAACACCUAUUUUCAUGGACUACAUUUAUUGAUUUUCAAUUUCAAGGACUAUCUUGAUGGUGAUGAUCAAUUUCAGAGACCAUUUGUGAUAAAAACCAUAUAAUAAAAAAUAAAAUAAAAUAAGUAAUAGAAAACUAACGUGUAGGAUCUCGUGCAUCCAUUACACACACACUCUCAUCCCUCCCGCACUAUUUAUGAAACUGACUAUUUUUAAAACUGAUUGUUUCUAAAACUGAACAUCGGUAUUCCAUUAUUUCUUAAAUUAAAUACUGCAUAUUUCUGAAAACUGAACCCGAGUACUAUCACCUAUUUCUUAAACUGAGCAUUGAUAUUAUCACUAUUUCUUAAACAGAACAUUGACUAUUUCUGAAAUUAAACAUGGGUAAUACACUAUUUAUAAAUUAAACACGGAUGAUUCUAAAAUCUCAUAUGUUCUUAGCACUGACACUUCCUCUAUUUGAUUGUCCAUGAAAGACAAUAAAAGUCCUCAUUAUCAACUUCAUCUUUAUAUUGUACAUGUGCAGAACUUGCUCUCCACAACUGCGUAAACUUAAACGGCCGACACUUGUAUUUCGACUAACUGAAUCAUUCAUGUAAGAAGAAGACCAUUAAAUUUUUAGUCAUAUAUUGACGUCGUAUGCAUAUAUAAUUAUAUUUUGUCAAGGUUGCAUGAUCAAAUGGCGGCCACUUUUUUUAAUUUCCCAUCUGGAGCUGACUAAGCCUUUGAGAGUGCGUUUAUUGCACCGAACUGUCUCGAACUGGACUAGUUACAAGGACUAAGCUAGAUUGGCUUAGACCAGACUAAGCUGGACUGAUUUAGUAAAACGUUUGGUAAAGUGUCAGACUAAAAAAAAUAUGAUUCUAAUAUUAUAUUAUUUAAUCUAUAUCGAUAAUAUUUUAUUAUUAAUUUAAUCUAUACUACUAAUAUUUAUUAUUAGUUUAUCAUUUUUCGUUUUCUAGAAUCAUCUUCUAGACUUCCUCUAUCCAAACCUAUCAUCUUUUACUCCGCCCACUUCCUCUAUCUAAACCUCCCAAAUACCCCACAGAACUAUAUUCGAAAUUUCUAAUAAAUCAAACCCUUGAAUCAAAACCCAAAAUCCUAGAACCCUCAAAUCAUAACCCAAAACCUUGAAGAAAAAAAUCAAAUCCUUCACUCAGAAAACUCUAUUCGCCAUGGCCGUCGCCUGUCAACCUCUCCACCUUUGUCUUCCAGCGAGGGCCCAUGCGGAUCAAAGGUGAAUCAAAGGAUGGUGAGACAGUGGUGAUGAUUCUGGGGUCUUGUUCAAAUGAGAUGACGACGAGAGAUUGGGUUUUCCGGUUGAGGUUUGGGGCGAUGAGAGAGUGGUGGUGGUCUGGUGGCGAUCUCGCCAAAGUUGGUGAGUGUAACCAAUGGUAACUCUCGGUGUUCGUGAGAACAAAGAGUAGAUAAAGGACGCGAUGCGAAGGAAAGGAAAGGAAGGUCUUAGCAAUCCCAUGGGUAUUGGGGUGUCUCGCUAAGAUCUCCUAGCGAAGGAGUUUAUCCGUGCGAGUCCCCUUUAGUCCCAUUAAACAUAAUCCCGGUACUAAACAAACAGAGGACUAGACUAAUAAUAGUUAGUCCAGACUAGUCCAGUAAUGCUUAGUAAGGGCAAACAAAUACCAUAGAAUUCUUUUGACUGUGGAGGGCCUACAUAAACUCAUAUUUUAUUAAAUUAUUAAAGAGAAGAAUGCAGAGUCUGCACAUGCAUUCACAUAUUAUAUACAAUUGUGGGCGCAUUGGACGCGCUUUCUUUGAUUUUUUUUUUUCUUCUUUCUCGUGUCCUUAUUAUUUAAUAAAAUUAUUAAAUAAUUUUAUUAUUAAAAUGUAAAAUUUUGAAGCCUUUUUCAAUAGCUUUCCCGCAUAUAAAAGAAUAUAAAACGAAUGCAAACAAGCCGAAUGAGAAGGGAUGUGAUAUCCACACCCUUUUUUACUUCUCCCACACCUUUUUAGUUUUCUGCCGUCGGAUCGAAUGAAUUAAAGAAGAUCAACGGACAGAAAUUAACAAGGGUGUGUGAGAAGUAAAUAGGGGUGUGUGGAUAGCACACCCCGAUGAGAAUAUACAUAUCUGAAUUCUUGUUUUCUUUAAUCUUUUUUUCUUUUUCUUUUUUUUUUCUUUUUUAUUUUUCCCUAUUUUAUUCCCUUUGAUGGUACAUUAUUUAACAUGGUAGACCGAAAAAACAGUCUUUAACGCAAAAGAAAAAGGUCAGGGGAAUACUGUACAUUGAGAUGGCGAUGGGGUGGUUAAUGAUCUGCCAUAUAAUGCAAUUGCAUUAGACUGAAUUACUUCCGACCCAACCUCGCCAAAUGCUGCUGAUGUUUCUCUGCAGCUGCCUUAUCAGCCGCUUCCCGUUUGAGUGCCCGCUUUGCCCGUCUCCCGGUUUUAUCCACUGCAGCCUCUUUCUUCCUAGGCUCACCAGACGAACUAGCACCCGGGUCCUGUAUGUUUGAUCUGCGUACAGGCCUUGCUUCUUGACGCCCACCCCUCACGUAUCCAUUAUCUCCCCAUCUUCGAUUACCAAUCCGGAUAACCGAUGAACUACUGAAGUAAGCGUCAUCUAGAUCAUCAUCCUCUUCAUCCUCAUAGGGAUAGCAAUAAUAAUCCUCAUGGCCUUCAUACACAUCUUCACGCUCCUCCACAACUAACGGCUCAAACCAUUUGGCUCUAAGGAGUAGGCAGACACUCUCCUCGAACAUGUAAUCUUGUAUGCUGUCAGAGCAUGAAAAUGUGAAGGGUAGUGUAACUAAGACAAGAGAUGCUUUCUUUUCUUAGGCAAGUCAAAAACAGCUUCCUACUGGGAGGUUCUCUCGUAAGUCAUAACCAAGUUUCUCCCUAUCUAAAUAUGCACAUAAAGGGAAACAAGAGGACUUUAGAUACCUGCCAUCAAGGGAACGAUGGACAUUCAGGAAUUCAAAUGGAUGUUUACACUGAGGGCAGGUGGGUUUUUGGCUGUAUGUCACCCAACGAAGAAUACAGGUUGCGCUGCACAUUAGGAAAAUGAAAAAUUAUGAAUCCGACAGCCCAAAGACUUGAUAAAACAUAAAUAGAGUCUGUGAAGCUUUCAUCCUAUUUUAUUCUUCAUGCGACUGUACAUAGUACGAGAAAAGACUAAUCGUUUGACUAAAGCCUGCGUUCCAAAAGGUUCAGAGUAGCGAUAAAUCUAGUGUUCUGAGUUCUCAAAGGUCAACAAGCACAUAAAAGUUUACAUGUGGAGGUGGAUAUAGAUAGCAAGAGAAAUGGAUACAACAACAACAACAACAAAGCCUUUUCCCACUAAGUGGGGUCGGCUAUAUAGCAAGAGAAAUGGAUAUAGAAACAAAAUAAGGAACACAGAAAUGUAUGAAGCAAAUAAAUACCAGAUUAUUAUCCUAGUUCUGAAUAAGAAAAACUUAUAAAACAGGGUAAUGUGAGAUAUUCAGAUUACUAUACUCAGGACCGGGGAAAAAAGGAAAGCGAUGAAAGAACACAGAUGACAUAAAUCAAAAGAUUGACUGCUCAUACGAGCACUCAUUCUCAAUAUCAUUCAAGACUACAACCUAAAAAGCACCUCCACCAUAGCUCAUAAACAACAUCAAGACUGGAAACCACAAGAGCAUAUAGAGCGUAUCUCACUAACAUACAAACAUGCAAAAACAGAAAACUAAGCACCCGUUUGAUUAAAGUUCUUGCAGUAAAAGAGAAAUGUUGGAUAUAAGUCAACAAUAUGUGAUAAUUUAUAUAUGCUAAUAAAUAAUAAAUGCAAUAGAAACUAACAAAAUAUAAACUAGAAUAUGAAUUAUAAAACAGACAACUUGAAGAUCGAGGUUUGCGUACCGCAACGUCCUUGAAACAGAAAUUUCGUCCCUACUCUGUGCUUGUAGUUCUACGGACGUCUGCUUCACCAGGAUUCAACGAUCAAGUUAAAAUUCCAGCACCGGAAAAUUUAACUUCUGGCGAAUUUAGUGUGGUUCUCUCAGUAAGAAGGUUUAUGAAUGUAGAAGAUGAAGUUUAUUAUUUCUGUGUUCUAAAUGCUAUGCAGAUGUAUGUAUAUAUAGUAGAUAGAUGCAUGUUUGCAACAGGUAUGAGAAUGGGGUGUGACUGUUGGGAGACAUCUCUUCAGAAGGGUGCUUUGCUCUGUGUUCAGAAAGAACUCUCAGACUUCAUCUGAAAGGAUGAGUCUUUUCAUAAAAAAAUAAUUAAUUAAUUAAAUUCGAAUUUAAUUAAAAAAUAAUUAAGUAAAUCCGAAAAAUAAUUAAUUAAAUAUUAAUUACCAAUUAAUUAUUACACCCCAAAGCCCAACCCCAAGGGUGAGCCCAAUUUUAGUCUCCAGGCCUCCAAUCACUUUCUUUAAAGGACAAAACCUUAUAAAGUGAUAAAAUCUUUUGGGAAUGGCCAAUGUGGGACAAGGAAAUUUCUACUCAAACUACUCAAAUUUCCAACAAGAAAUGCAAACUUUAUGGUUCUGAAGUGCAGAUUAAACCAGAGUUCCGGUGUUCAAAGGGUGGUUAACACAAGAGAAUGAUACGAAGAAAUCAAAUUAACUCAAGCAUCAACUGGCAUGGAAAAGACUCAUCUCAAAGUGCAAUGCCAAAGUAAAUGAGGUUUAUCUAGCUACUCCAAAACAAUUGACAAACAAAUAUAAAACAGUUCAUAAUUACCGUUCAACGAAAAAACUUUCACAAAAAAUUUUGCAAUAAAAGGAUAAUGCAUGCAUUAUGAUACUUAAGCGCAGAUAGAAACAAAGUCCAAGUGUUAAAAGUGUGGUAAAUGUAGAGAAUAUGAUAUGAAGCAAACAAAUUGCUUUGCAUUAAGUGGCUUGGGACAAAUUUAGUAAACACAAGCAACCUGAUAAGUAAAAGUUAGAGCAUGGUCUCAAAAUGUGAUACAGAAUCUAUGGAAUUUAUCUAGUUAAACAUAAAGAAAAUGACCAAAUGUGUCAAGACAACAAUAAAAUCCACUCAGAACAUGAGAAUGAGCCGCUAAUAUUCUAUGGGAAAUUCAUCUUCAUUAAUAAAAUCAAUAAAUCAUCAACAGAUGUGAAAAUUUCAAACAUAAAUUUUUAUCUUGAAUGUCUUUAAAGGUCGUACCCAGUGCUCAAGGCUCCCGCUUUACGCAGGGUCUGGGAGAGGUGAAUGUCGGCUAGCCUUACCCCCAUUUAUGGAGAGGCUGCUCCCAAGUCUCGAACACGAGACCUACCGCUCAUGGGCGAAGGCACUUGCCAUCGCACCAAGUGCGACCUCUUAUCUUGAAUGUCUUUACAGCAUUUAAAACUAAGUCAUGCAUAUGUCAAUGGUAGAAGUAAAUAUACAUCCACUAAUUUCAACGUCUUUCCAUUUCUGGUCAAAACAUCUAAAAAACUUAUUUCAUCAGUUCAUAAAUCUCAUGCUUACCAACCUCUUAUCAAUACAUCACUAUGAUCUAAUAUUUCAAUAAUUAUACAAAAAAAGAGCUAUACAUGUAUACCAAUCAGUUUUUAACUAAAGGAAACCUUUUAUGUUCCCGUCUUCUGUCCUUUUACAUGUUAACCUACAAACUUGUAUUGGCAAGCACCUUAAACACAUUGCUUUUAGCCUUGCCCUACAGUACAGCAGGUGCUAAUUGAUUUCGUUGUGUUUUCUCAGAUCACAAGUGCUCCAGGAAAGCACCUUUACCAAUAUUACUCACAAAACUCUUGAAGACCAUGAACUAUCAUACCACUAGAGACUACAAAUUAUUGUAUGAAAUGUUUAUGGUAAUCACUGAACUGUGAAAUGCCAGAAGCCUGGCAUGCCCAGCCUACCCCAUACAAAAACAAACCCAAGUAGCCCUUUUAAGAAAACUGAAUCAAGGGAUACACAUAUCGUGAACGAGGCUAUUGAGUUAUAAUCACCAAAGAUGUACAACGCCAAAACCAAAUGAUUAAACGACUAAAGCAGCAUUACAAAUACAGAAAACAGUUCCAGCGUCAAAUGCAUAAAUCAGAACUACGGUACAAAGAACAACAUAGCAAAGCAAUACUUCAAAAUUCCGGAAAAGCGGAAGCGUAAAUAGAAAGAUAAAGAGACUGAUAAGACAAACCAGUAGGCAUGCUCGCAACCUUUUACCAGAGCGGUGUCUUGAAGCACAAUCUCAUCCAAGCAUACUGCACAAACUCCAUCAUGAUUCCCACAUUUCUUUUCAACAUUUUCCUCUUUGCUCUGCAUUUCCCCCUGAAAUUUUUGAAAUCCCCAAAUUUAACAAACAAAAAAAAAAACCCAAAAUUCCAAACAAGCUGGAAACAUUGCCAAAGCUUUCCAAUCAGAUAUUCCAUUUCAAAAAUAUUAACAUUUGGCAACCUAGAAAAUGCAUGAAAACAUACAAGUACAGAAAUUCCAAUUCGACCCCAACAAAAUUUGCAUUGACCAGUUUCAGAUUCUAGGUGACCAGCAUCAGGGUUACGAUAAAAAUAAAUCGAUCGGAAAAUGAAGUUAGAUCUGGCCAGAAGAAGUACCUGAUCGUGAUGAUGUUGCAGGGUGGAUAAAUCGGUAAGAUCAUCGGUGAGUAGCUGAUCAUGACCGUCCAUGUUGAUGACUGAAGUCAUGGUGAUUAGAAUUGAUGAAUAGUUGUUCUGGUGAUCUAGCUUAAUUUCUAUGCUGCCUGAAAAAAUGAAGAAAUUGUAUAUAUACAGAUGUAUAUAUGAUAUUAAGUAGACGCUGGAGAAUUAUUCUGAUUCUUCUAUCCUACAUGGUAUAUACUACUACAGGGAAGAGGUUAGAGAGAGAGAGGGAGAGAGAGAUAGAGAGAGAGAGGGAGGCCCUCUUUUGGGGAUGAAAAGCCCUAGGAACAACAAGACGAGAGGGAGAAGGUUGUGGAUGGCAUAAAGAGAUAUUGGGAACCCAAAAGAAAUUGGGUCGGAUUAAGAUUGACACGUUCCCGUCUAGUCAUUAUUCACGCGGGCAUUAAUUGUUGUUUAAAUAGAAAGCUUAACAUAGUUAUAAAACUAUCUUGAAAUUAUCAUUUAGGUAUUAGACUGGGAUAAAAGAAAAAUUGAUAUGUCAAAGGUUGAAAACUAAAAAAUUCAGGAUAAUAAAUUGAGAUUUACUUAAUUUUUAAUUUUUUUAAUAUUUAACUUUUAACUUUUUAAUUUUUUUCAUGUCCACGUGGCGCUAGAUUGAGACAUGAUACCUAAUAAUCGUCCACAUGGAGGUCACAUUAUCGAUUAAUAAAGGUUCUAGUAAAAAAACUCAACGGAUGUCCCUAGAUUAUAACUUGAGGUUCCAGACUGGGACAAAAAUAAUUUGUUGUAUAAAAUGUUGAAAAUAAAGAAAUUUUGGAAUAUUAAAUUGAGGAUAAUCCAAAAUAAAUAACAAUAAAAAUAAAACACAAAAAAUAAAAAAUCAAUGUUCUAAUGUUUUAGGAGCGUGGACAUCUGGUGAAAGUUAGGCCAUCUCCAAUUGACCUAAUCAAAGGGCCAUAUGGCUAAAAAUAGGUUGGAAUGACACGAAAACUCUCCAACUAAGGGCUAGGCCAAAGGGCUUGUGGGCCCCAUCGGGCCAAAAUCCCAAAUCAGGCCAAUGGGCUGGCCAUUUCCAGUCAGCCAGCCUUCUAGCGUCAGAAUGUCAAGCUUGACUUUGUGGCAGGUGCAACAAUACCACACUUUCUUCGUUAUUAUGGCAAGUGGCACUCAAAAUAUAUCCGAAAAUCUUAUUUUAAUAUGGUAGUUUAAUUUAAUCAACCAUAUUAAUUCAAUUAAAAUAAUAAAUUAUUGAGGAGAUUAUGUUUGGCCUAUGGCCCUUUGGCCCUCUCGGUUGGAGAUAGAUUUUUUUAUCAAGGGGCUAUGUUUGACCUAUAACCCUUUGGCCCCUUUGAUUGGAAAUGGUAUAAAAUAUGGUAUGUCACUGUUCAUUAAAAUAUAAUUUCUUGCAGGUUUAUAGGGCUAAACAUGGCCCUUUGGCCAUCAUUCGGUUGAAGAUGGCCUUAGCUAACUGAUGGGCUUGUGAUCAAAUGUGGGAGUGUAUUAUUUUUACAUGUUUUUCCUUUCGUUUAUACUUUUCAACUUUUUCUUUAAACCUUAUCGUUUAUGUUUUCGAUCAUUCUUCUCAUCAUGCAAUGUAUCAUCGAAAUAUAAAAUAAGAAAUGUAUGAUCGAAAUUGUUUAUUCCUCAUAAAAUAAGAAAUUAAAAUGAUAAAACGAAAAAAAAAAUUUAAAAUAAAAAAAAAGUUGCUAGCAUUCUUUUAAUUUGUGAAAGCGUAGCUACCAAAAAUAUAUUCCAAAUUGAUUUAGGAACAAAAUAUUCACAACAUGUAAAGUUAGCCGUCUAAAUUUGACUAGUUGUUAUAGAUCAAUUCACAAUUGCAUUCCUUUAUUUAACUAUAUAUUUUAGGGAACUUUCAUGAAAAUGGCAUAGGUAAAGUUUAUUUUAACCAAAAACUAUGCUAUAACUUUAUUUAAUGAAAAAGACUUAAAUUUUAAUGAAAAACUCUUAAGUUUUAAUAAAAAUAACAAAAGAACUUAAACUUUAAUGAAAAAAGACAUAAUUUUAAUAUUCAAAAAAAUUAAAAAAAAAAAAAACAAACGCGUUGGACCCGCACCUCCUCACACAUACUGUUUAUGAAACUUAACGGUACUACACUGUUUAUAUAAAUUUACUAAACUGUUUAUGAAACUUAUUACCCUGUUCAUGAAAUGUACUACACUAUUUGAAACUUACUACACUAUUUAUGAAACUCACUACACUGUUUAUGAAACUUAACGUACUACAUUGUUUAUAAAACCUUGAGAAGAUUAUGUCUUUAGUAAUUAUAUUUAAAAAUUUGUUUUCAAUUACCAAAUUAAAAUUCCCUACAUACCUACAAUAAUUAAAUGUAGCUCCCCAUCCAAUUUCUUUAGCUUGGGUGUUAUCUUGGAGAAAUUUUUCCUUAUGCCUGUAACACAAGUGGUACACCACGUGUUAUUAUGUAAGUAGUGGGAAAUUUUAUUUUUUAUGUUAUUUAUUUUUAACACAAGAAUCUCACCAUUUGUAUAGAAACACAUGGUGUACCACCCCUUGUUCCGGAUACAUUGAAAAAUCUCUCGUCAUCUUAACUACUAUUAGAAAACAACACCACCAAAAUAAAACUAGGAAAUAUAAUUCAAUUUGAAGUAUUUCUCUUAUUCUAAGCAAAAUAAAUAUAUAAAAAAAUAAAAAAUAUCUCUCAAUGAUAGCUGACAACGGGGAGAAAAAAAAAGUGGAAAAGGGGGAGGGAGUGGAGUGGGGUGGGGUGGGGUGGGGUGGGGGAUACCCGCGAUCAGCGCAUGUGGUGUUUUUUUAUGUUUUUUUUAAUUUUUGUCUUUAUCAUUAAAUAAAGUUAGUAGAUGGUUUUGAAUUAAAAUGUAAAGAUUUGAAGCUCAUUUGAUUAGUUUUCCUUAUAUUUUACCCUUGACUAUAAUACAGAACUAGCAGAGAGCACACACUUUGUGUGUGUAAACAAUUUCUCUUCAUAAGUGCAUGUUUUGUUUAAUAUUACAUAAUUACUGUUUUGUCCUCCUUAUGUAAAUAUUGUGUAUCAAAAGUGAGGGUAAAAUUCGAAAAAUAAGUAUAAAAAGAGGGUAAAAUAAGAAAAAUAAGGAUAUGAUUGUCAUUUUGUCAAAAGAUACAAAAUUACUAUUUUGCUCUUCUCAUGUCAACAUUGUGUAUUCAAAAGUGAGGAUAAAUUUGAAAAAAAAUGGGAAAAAAAUUUGACAAGGGCUCUUCUCAUAAUAGAAUAGAAUAGAUUAAAUAAUAAAGAUAUAACUGGUAAAGAACCUAACGUUAGUAGAGGACAUGUACUGCAAUUUUGGAAUCUCCUUCGAUUGUCAAACAAAAGUAACUCAUGGGUCAGCGCCCAAUGUAAAAGCCUAUCCAAAGUACAUUUCGCUUAGGUAGAGCGAUAAUUUUAGUAGAUUAAAUAGUUAGUUAUAAAAUUUAAAAGCAUAGCUACUAUAGGACUAAAUUUUACAAUGGGUUAACCAUAUUAAUUUGAUUCAAAUUCACUUUUGAUGAGAAUUGCACAUAAAACCUCUCAAUUACAAACGAGGAAUAACAUAACCAUAUAAGUGCUAAGUGGUAUUGGCCAACAUUGGGCUUUCUCCAAUUACAAUUAGAAUUCCCUCAGGAAGGAAAACUGAAUUAGAAUUCCUACUUUGGGCUUUCUUCGAAGAUUUAAAACAACCAAGCAUCCCACAUUGGGCUUUCUACCAAGCAUCUCAAUUGGACAAAUCCCAAGCUACUAACUCACCAAAUGGACCAAUCGACUCUGUGUGCAAUUUUGAGGUUUAAUUACAUCCCUAGGUACUAAAGAAGCCCAACAAUCUAGUAAGUACCUAUAUUUUCUACCAAUUUUUUUUUUUUUUAAUACUCAUUGAUAAAAGUAUGAUUUCUAAGAUACUUGGUUGAGAAAAAGAAGAGGGGGGAGGGGGAUGUGUGUUUCCAUCACUUGCUUCCCUCAAAUCUUGUCCCAUCACUCUCACACAUAACUGUAAUGCAAGGGUGGCACUCAUACAUUCACACAUGAAUGAGGGCUCACUACCUAUAAACUUAGACAGGGACCAUCCUUGUUAGCUACAAACUUUUUAAACGGCUUAUACCAUCUCCAAAAGAGACGGAAGAAAAUGAAUUGAAAUUUUGAACAUAAAAUAAAAAUUCAUCAUCACUUCUACGUGAUAGAUUUUUCAUUCAAAUCUCGUAAACGAAGAGUUUAAUAUUAAAUUAUUAUUGUUGAUUUGUUAUGUGACUAAAGUGAUCAAACUUGGCUUAGUAUUGAUCCUGACAAUUUAGUAAAACCUAAUUCAAGGAAGAUUAUGAAUAUGUUGUCACGGCCCAGCUGACAAGGCGAAGCUCAACCAGACAUGUUGCCUAAUGUGGCCCAUGGCCUCCCUUAGCAUACGAGGCAGUAGAAGCCUAUAGGAAAAUGACCUAAUCCCUCGGGGACUUUCUUCAUCUGAAACCUGUUAGCGAGCUCUUAACUAUAAGGUUUUCCUUGGUGUAAAAACAAAUGAUCAAAUAUGAUAAAAAAAAAAUUACAAACCGUCUAUUUAUUUGCUACAGUCGAUUGAUUAACUGAUUUUAUUUUUUAUUUUUUACAAAUUUUUUUUUUUACGGAGUGACUUUUUAACCUAUAUUUUUAUAUUUGAGUAUAAAGUGUUAGAAACCUCUCUUGAUUAUGAGUCGGGUUAGUUAUUAAUGAGCUCGAGUCGUACUGUGGAUAGGCCUAUUAGCGUAGGAGUUACUCACAUAAGCUUUUGGUUACCUUUUUCUAUUGUUUCCACAUUGGCUUAGGUUUAGGUGAGUGUAAUGCACCAUGAAUUUAAUUCGUAUUACACUGUUAUUCCAAUGGUGAGAAUUUGAUACGAGUGAGUUUUUAAAUGUUCAAUGUGAGAUCCCUUACUUUUUCAUUUCCUCGAUUUUACGGUUUGUUACCUUUUUUUCUCUCUUGUUAUUUAUUGUAUAUGAUGAGUUCAAACUCAAAAAUAAGAAUCACUCUUAUAUCAUUCAAAUUUUCCAACCCACUAGAACAGUUUGAUUUUUAUAUUAUUAGUAUCACACUCAAUUUUCCGGCCAAUUAUAGUAGGCCUAAGGCCGAUAAGCUGCUGCUAGUUAGGACCAUGAAAAAAAAAACUGAUGUUGAUGCACAAAACCGGAGGUCUUAGAACAACGUAAAUCCGACCGUGAAUCUGCAAAAUAUGUAAAUAACACAAGAUGUAUCGUGGUUCACCCCAAUGUUUGGGCUACGUCCACACUGAUUAUUGUAUUUGAGAAGUGAGGGGAGUGAGGGAGAGAGAUUCAGAGCCUCUGAGGGAGAGAGUGAGACCUCUGAUGGCCUAGGAAUUGGCCUCCCUAAUUGUGAGGGUGAAGAGUCCUUUUAUAGAAUAAGGGAUUCUCACUUAUUACAUAUUUGCCCUUUCCUUUAUUGCAUAAUUACAUUUAAGUCCCCCGAGUAUUUGUACGAGAUUUAAAUACGGAGGCCCAAAGUAUCGUACAAAUAGUAGUCCCCCAAGUCUUCAGUCAAGAGAGUCUUUUGGUUGGAGACUUGAAAUUCAGUCCAUGUGUGGGCCGAAGUAGCUAGAUGUUGUCUUGAACUGAUGCUCGAUAUGAGGCGGUGCUCAAUCUGAAAUGAUGCUCAACUAGAAGUAGCACAUGCUGCGAGGCUGCUCGGCCUGUGGCUUACGUUGCCUUGGUUGGCUCGGCUUGUGGCGUUUGAAGGUGAGGGAGUCCUUUCUAUAGAAUAAGGGCUUGCUCCUCAAUACAUGAACGAUCGGCUAGAAUUGAUGCUCUCUAAUGAUGGUGAGGGAGUCCCUUUUAUAGAAUAAUGGCUCGCUCCUUAAUACAUAAAUAAUGGGCUAGAGUCCCCCAAGUAUUUUUCAUGAGGCUCAGUCGAGGCCCAAUAUAUGGUGUAUAGUGUGGUCCCCCAAGUCUUUGGUCAAUAGAGUAUGUUAGCUGGAGACUUCAACUUGAAUCCAUGUAUGGGCCGAAGUGGCGGUUGUUAGGAUGCGGUAUUUGUAUACCCUGUACUGAAGCUUUAUAGGUGAAGCUUUGCAAGUGAAGCUUUGAAGCUGGAGCUCUGUAAAUGAAGCUUUUGAAGCUAUAGCUUUUGUAAAUGAAAGCUUUUGAAGCUAGAGCUCUAUAAAUUGAGCUUUUGAAGCUAGAGCUUUUGUAAAUAAAGUUUUUGAAGCUAGAGCUCUGUAAAUGAAGCUUUUGAAGCUAGAGCUUUUGUAAAUAAAGCUUUUGAAGCUGGAGCUCUGUAAAUGAAGCUUUUGAAGCUAGAGCUUUUGUAAAUGAAGCUUUUGAAGCUGAUUGACAUGAGUGAUGCUCAUGGAUGUUAACAUGAGUGAUGCUUAUGAAUGUUGAAUGAUGGUUAUGAAUGUUUAUGUAUGAUUGACAUGAAUGAUGCUCAUGAAUGUUUAUGUAUGAUUGACAUGAGUGAUGCUCAUGUAUAAUUUUGAUGUACUGGACGUACUUUUGAUCACCUAGUGGGUGAUAAUAGCGGCAGGUUGCCGAAUAAUUGUGGAGUACUGGGCGUACUUUUGAUCACCUGGUUGGUGGUAAUAGCGGUAGGUUGCCGAAUAAUUGUGGAGUACUGGACGUACUUUUGAUCACCUGGUUGGUGACAUUGUAGCCCAUUAUUUUGGGCUUGCCCUUUUUUUUUUUUACCCUUUGAUGGGGUUUAUACAGAUGUCUUCGAAAGAUAAUAAAAAUAAAUUACAUCAUUCAAAAAUAAAUUCGACCAUCUGCUCAAUGGGUCACACCCAUAAUGCUAUCACCAUCGCAAUUAUGUCUGCUUCUUUUUAUCUUCUUUUGCUUUCUGCUUGCUUUUGCUUUUGUGGGAGUGGUUGAUAUGUCUGAGGGAUAAUGCAUGCUUUUCCUUUUCAUCUGCAGACAUACUCACAUGCAGCCUUUCUUUUUCUUGUUUUUUCUUUUCACUUUCUGCUUUGCUAUUUUCUUUCUCUUUUUUCUGAAAUAUUCUUUAGUAACAUCAUCUUUUUCUUUUUCUAUUAUGUUUCCACUGCCUCUCUGAUUUCUUGAGUAUGGGGUCCUCUGACUUGAGCACGUUCUCACCAUUUUCGUUGUCGGUGGUGUUACCCUGCUCAUUCAAAACUUGACUAGACAGCAACAUAUCUGACUCAAACUCCCAUAGUGGGAAAGCAUUAGAAAGAUAAAAAAAAUACAUGGGGUCGGACACGUAAUGAUGAUAAUAGAAAUGGAGUCCUGUCCAUGCACUCGGGGUGGGACACGUAAUGAUGACAAAGUAAAAUUCUAGCGUAAAAAAAAAAGGAAUCUUAUCUCAGCGGCAAGUCAGUGCAGACAAAAGAGAAAGAGUUUGUGAGGAGCUUGAGGCCGUGCGUUUGGCUGACAGACUAGUUUCCGUUGAAGACGGAUAAGCUGCUGCCGUUACUGGACAUCUUGGCGAAGAAGGUGAAGGGCGUUAGGAGGAUGAGAGAGUUGCUCACCACCAAGUUCCCGCCAAGGACUUUUUCGGUUAAGGUGGCAAUACCGGUGGUCCCCACGGUGAGAGUGGUGAUAACAUUCACAAAGUUCGUUGAGCUUCUGCCAACUGAGCAAUUAUUCACUCAAAUGUCAAGCCCCAGAUAAUUUCUUCAUGAAAGGCGAGGCCAAUAAGAGGAGGAACACAAAUCCAAGCCACAAAAACCAUCCUUCUUUUUGUCGUCGUCGUCGUGGCUGAGGCGGAGCAGUAGCCAGUCAGGGUCUUCCGUGAGCAAGCAAAACCACCACCAACACUGUGCUCCCCCGGCAGUGUCUGCAGCGCAAGACUCUUUUGACCCUUUUGCCAUUCCUAGCUGUUAUACGUGGACGAGCAUCGAGGACAAGUCUUGCAAACUCAGCGGCAAGUCCAUCAUUUUGUCAGCUGCAAAGGUCUUGAGCUGCUCAAGAACGGAGAUAUUGGAAGCGACGAAUUGAACCGCGGCAGCAGAAGCAUCGGAAUAAACAGCCACCUCGCACCUCACUUCUCUUUGAAUUUAGAGCUUUCGGCUCCUAAUGGGCCUCACAGAACCUAGGAAUUGCUAGAGGUCCCGGACGACAUGGUUGCAGACGACGAUGAAGAUCUCGCUAAAGGGUCUUUGCAUAGUGAUUUCCCGCUCCAGCAUGAGCUCUCUCCUCACCUUCGUUUCAAGAGCCCGCCUUCGUGCAAUCAAACCCCGUAAUAAUCUCCUCCCUGAUCCUCUCAUUCUCUAGCUGGUGCUCGAUCAUCUCGUUGUGACGGACCUCAGGUUGUGGAGCGGGUCGGAGACGAUGACAAAGCAAGCGCUGGCGUCUUCGAUGAGCUUGGCUUGCUUGAUGAUGUUAACUUCGAUAAUGGCACCGCUGUGAGGAGAUUUGGAGAUUUGGUUCCUGACUGAAGUUGUACUGCAGCGCGGCCAUGGCUGGUUCAGAGAGAGUUUGCGAGGGUCGGGUGACUGCAGUGAUGACGUAGACCAUGGUUUUUCGUGUCGUUUCCUACAGACGGCGCCAAAUGUUGAUGCACAAAACCGGAGGUCUUGGAAUAACAUAAAUCCGACCGUGAAUCUGCAAGAUAUGUAAAUAACACAAGAUGUAUCGUGGUUCACCCCAAUGUUUGGGCUACGUCCACAUUGAUUAUUGUAUUUCUCUGAGAAGUGAGGGGAGUGAAGGGAGUGAGGGAGAGAGAUUCAGAGCCUCUGAGGGAGAGAGUGAGGCCUCUGAUAGCCUAGGAAUUAGCCUCCCCUAAUUGUGAGGGUGAGGAGUCCUUUUAUAGAAUAAGGGCUUCUCACUUAUUACAUAUUUGCCCCUUCCUUUAUUACAUAAUUACAUUUAAGUCCCCCGAGUAUUUGUACGAGAUCUAAAUACGGAGGCCCUAAGUAUGGUACAAACAACUGUAAUUGCGUUGUUUUCAAUUCUACAUUUUUCUUUCUUUGUUUGAAUUAGGAUACAAGGUUUUUAAAACAUUCUAAUUUAGAACCUAUGGUUAAAUUUUCUUCAUUCUAUCAAAGUUAAGGGUGGGCAUAUUUGGACCCUUUGAUUCAGACCGUAUUACCUGGUUCAAUGUAGAACUAUAUGGUUCUUACUUUUAGUUUUUAAAAUGAUUCGAGUUGAACCGUGCUUGUGUAAAAAUAAGUUCAAAACUGAGUCUAUAUUUUUCAUGUGCAGGUAACUCGUCCUGAAUCGUCCAAAUGUUGUCUUAGCACUUGUUAUUUUAUUAGUGGUCUACAAUGAAGUAUGUGAUCCAUAUUUCCAUAUCUAUUUAACCCUAAGAAGUAAAACAACGACCAAACUUCUUCAUUUAGAACAUUUGUUGGUAUUGGCUUUGUUCUACGUAAUUCUUUCAUAACGAAAAAACAUAGAGAUUAUUUUUUGUGGCAAUUUUGACAUUUGAGCACCUGAAAAAAUAGAGAAGUUGUGAGGACCUAAAUUAUGACAAACGUUUCAGAAUUCAAGGUGAUUAAUGAUCGCGUUCAGAGUUGUGCCACUUAGAGGAGAUGAAUGGUGAAAAGAAAGUAUUUAAUAGUACUCAUGUAGCAAAGGUGCGAGGACAAGCUACCUUCUAAUGUUUGUGUCUUGGAAGUUGAGAUUGCAUCAGUCGCAUUUAGGGGGGAUUUCUUGACGAUAUAGGUAAAAACAAAGUUUUCAAUUUCAAUUCCCAAAUCUUGAAAUCAGAUCGGAUUGGAAGACAAUUUUUAAUUCGAAAUGUUUAGAAUCAAAUAAUCAUGAAAAUUUUAGAAAAUAAUUCGGAUUUCAUAUAUUUUACAACUUUUUGAAUAUUAUCGAACUUUUUCAUCGAUGCAACUUAUUGAAUGCUCUUAUUAUUUGGUUAAUGCUUGUGUAUAAAUUCAUUUAAUUUUAAGGUAUACUAGUAUGCUUCUUCUUUUUAAUAGGCUUAUUAUUUGCAAUGCCCCCCGGAACUCAAAAUUAAUCCCACACCUCUUUCACCCUAAAAUUCAAUUUGUGCUCUACUUUGGCGGUAUUAUGUCAAAAUAGUGCCAAAUGUGACAACCCGUCCUUGAUUUUACGUUUUUAUUAGUUUCAAAAGCAUGAAUUGACGAAAAUGCCCUAGAGGCAAGGACUUUGACUUCCGUUGACCAUCGUCUAGAGAAACGUAUGACUUAUUCUAUUGGCCUUUUUGCGUAGUACUCGAUGGUACGAACUUAUAGGCGAAAGCUGUUUGCGAGUCCGGAUUAUAACGGUAUAGUUACAGACGUUUGAAAUAGGUUACUUACAUUUUAGAUUAAAAAUUAUUUGAACUCCCACCUUGUGGGAAAGAAGCCCAAUCAGUUUCAAGGAAAGAAAAUAGGGACCAAUCAGAUAAAACAAAAGAAAGCCUUCAGCCAAUCAUGAAAAAGGAAAAAAAAAAAAAAAAGAUUUCUCCCCCCAUUCCCGUCGACGCUUCUACCCACGUCAAACCAGUUUCGACCCAGUUCCAAAUCCGGUCAAUUUUCGUCAUUUUUCCGUCAAAUCACCAUCAUCCAACACCUGCAACCUCUCCCUCAAUCUUUCCUCUACCAUUUCCGCCCAAGAUCGAAGGGUUUUAGGUCCCAUUUCGUGUAGAACUCCAUCGGAGCACCGGAGGUGCUUGACGGCGAUUCCUUCAUUCCAGCGAGUUUCACCACCCACCACCACUCCUAAUCAACUCCCCUUGGACCUAGGAACAAGGUCCAACCAGUGAUAGGAGUGUUGGGACAUCGGAGAAGUCGAAUCGACGAACACCCAUUCUAGGGAUUCCGGCGGAAUCGUGGUGAUUUGAGGCUUUUUCUAGCCAAAUUGGACUUGGCCACAGGUAUAAAACUUGAUCUACUCAUUGAGGUCUUCAUUUAUGUGAAAUUUGAUAAUUUUUAGAAAUAGUUGAUUUUUCCAGGCGAGUUGGGGCGGCUGACCGUCGUGUGUGGCGGCGACGUGUGGGUCGAGACCCCACCUGCCCAUCCUAGGCUAAUUUGGAUGCCUUGAUUCCAUAUGUGAAGUCUGAUUAACGAAAUUCCAUUGUUUGGGUACAAUUUCGCUAAGGUCCGCCACUUGGUCAUUAUAUGAAUCGACGAUCUGACCGUUAGAUCGUCACCAAACUUUAGUAGGUUAUUAUUCAUAAUAUUUGAUAACCUUGGAAACUUAUGGAUCAGGAAUCCAAUGUAUGGAUCUUCCCAAAUUGGAUUUGUAAGUUCAUAAAAUAAAACGUUGACCGCCACUUGAAAUUGCAAUUCGCAGAGAUCUAACUGUUGGAUCGUAAUGAAACUUUAGUAUGAUGUUUUAGAAGCAUAAUGUGGAUCUUUGGAAGUAACGGAUUGGAAAUCCUAGGUGUUGAUCUUCCGGAUCGAGUUACAUAGGGUUGUGGACCUACCGUCGAUCUUUGACCGACGGUUGACUUUGGUCAAUGAGUUUCAAAUCAUUUUAGAACGUCCUUAGGGAUGUGUUUUAUGUAAGGUACGUGUCUUAUCAAUAAGAAUUCUGACAUGUGAUUUGAUAAUUGUUCUAGGCGCCGAUCAUUCGUGACGCUUCCAUAUUCGUGCUAGGGAGUUGUUGCGCGGAUCUCAGGUGAGUGAGUCUUUUCCUUUUUAUAGUAUAUAUAUGAUUGAAAGUUUCCACAAAUGCUUUUAAAUUGAUUUAUGCAUUUUAUGCCGUGUCUUAUAUAUAUAUAUAUAUAUGAAUACUAUGAUAUGGUUGAGUUUUAGAUUGCAUCAUGGCAUAUCCACAUGCAUAUUACUUGCAUAUAAUUGUUGUGAAUGCUUUGAAAUACUAAGGUGAACGCGGGACACGCAGGUAAGUCCAGGUAAGGUUAUGUGGUGGAUUGAAAUGGUUGAAUCAAUUUGGCAUGCAUAUGUUCAUAUAAUACUCAUCAUUGCUACACCCCGGUGUUAGUGCUCCUGCUCAAGGCUAGGGCACAACCUUCACGUGUAUGUUCUCUUCCAGUACCGCACGCUCGCCUUGGAUCCAAGUAGGUGCUAGCCUGUUGUACAGACUACAUUUGGCAGUUCUGACUCGUAGGUGACCCGCGCAUAGCGCCAACUUCACGUGAUCGUAGCACUAUAAUGUUUAUUAUUACACCUAGCAUAUUGUACAAGUCAUAUUAGGUGACUCCGACUCGUGUGUUAUCAUAGUCUGAUGAGCGAUAGGUGCAGUCGUACAGGUCACAUUAGGUGACUCCGACUGACAUGCUAGCAUAGAUUACUCAGCACAUGAUCAUAUCUAUAUUACUGUUGAGCUAUUCUGCUGUGGCAUAUUUUUGGACUUACAGUUAGCAUGCAUUUGAUUUUCAUACUUAUACUUAGUAUGAUAUUUUGAAAACUAUACAUGUUUUACGGAAAGGGGUUAUAACAUUUUCAAAAAGGUUUUUAUACAACUUUAUUUCAGGCCCACUCACCCUUGUUUUUCGACCCUCCAGGUUUUAGCUGCUGAACGGUUAUAUCGACGAGGACUCUUAGUGAAUCUCAGUAUUGGUGGCUACUUCUGAGGGUAUAAUCCUUAUCCACUAUAUUGUACUUUACUUAUGCUUUGACAACAAGUGUGAAAUGUGUUCAUUCUCGCUCACUAGUGUACUCUUAUAUUUAGGCACUUUUAGGUUUAAAUUUAUUCACAUUUUCCACAUCACUACACUUUAUGGCUUCAUCACUUUCCAAGUGUCGGCCAGCACAGCUCGAUUCGGAGUCCUAGUGGACAUAUCGGGUUGGGGUGUGUCACCAAAUGUGCUGAGAUAUAAGGUAUUACGGUCAUUUUGGCCUAAUUGACAAUGUUUGACCACCAAAGUUGUCAGAACAUCCAACCAGAAGAUGCCAUGUGGUUCAUUUCUAUGUCUUCAACACCCACGUUGCUAAGGCUUAAAAUUUCCAUGUCUUCAACAGUGAAGUGAUUGGUGUCUAGUCAAAUGCAUGUCGGCCCAGAAUAAAGUAGCCCAUUUCUCCCGGUCAGCUUCAGUUACUUAACACAAUCUGCCUAAGUGCCGCUCCAACCCACUUUGUAUCCCAUCCGAGGUAUUCAUUGUUGUCCCCAAGUCGCCAUGUGGCUUGAAUGAGAUCUAAGUUGACUUUUCUCUAAAAACCCGUGUCAUAAAGAUGUUAGUCUGCCCACGUGCUCUUCGGUCAGCAUUUGAGGUCUAUCUUGGUCGACCAGUAUCUAAGUCAGUGUUCAGGGUGCUCAGUCGUGUAGACUUCGAAAGUUUGGAAUUCUUAUCCAAUGGAAGAUUAGAGAUGAUAGUCUCCCAAAGCUCUCUCCAUUGACACUUCAAAGCUAAACACGAUGAUGAUGUGGCAGAGGUGGAAGAAGAAGACAAGCGAUGUUGAUUUUUUCUUGAAAUUCCAAUAAAUAAAUCUCUUAAUGCCAUUGUCCUCACCAUUACCCUGCCUCCCUGCCAAUUCAAAUAUCAUCUCAAAAUUGAUUCCAGUAGACGUUAUGCACUUUAAGUUAAUUUUCUGUUUUUGUUUAUUGUUGUAGUAUAAGAUUAAAAACAAUCAUGUGAUUCUACUAUCAUGAUUAAACGAAAGACAAGAUUGUAAUGUUGUUUCAGUUCUACGAUCUAUGUAAACAAACUAAUUUAUCAUCACACUACGUUUUAGUUAAGAUAAGGUGGACGCGAGUGAUUGUUGGUUUGGAUUUGGGAUUACAUACAUGGAGAGUAAGUAUUUGUGUUUCUCUUAAUAGAUGAGAACAAGGCUAGUUUCGGUGUGGUAAUCGAAUCAAAAACCUUAUACCAAAAACUGAACCGAUAUUUUUGGUAAAGGAGAAAAAUAACCAAAGCCAAAUUGAUUUUUUCAGUUUACCAAAAAUCAGAAAAAUCGAAAACAAAAAUUUUAUAUUCAUCGAUUCAGUUAAACUGAUUUUUACCGCCCAAAGAUGCUAGCUAUAUCUCCAGAUUCGGCCCCAUUUCCUGUUUGAGGAAGGUGGUGUCCCCCAACCCUUCAAUCAAAAGCCCCAAUUAGAUUUUACAAAUCUCUAAAAUUAACAAAAUAUCACUAGAAAUCCCUAAUCGGCACGAACGCGUAGGCAUGAACGGCUUCUGUUGUGCUGGCGCGAACGAAUGUGUGGUCAACAACGAGAUGAUAAAGGAGUUGGUGGUAUGGAAUGACGCCAUAGAUGAGAAAUAAAGAGAGUUGAAGGGAUAUAGAGAGAGAGAGGGUCGAAGGUGGUGAGGUGUGGCCAAAGAAGUUGCAAACUGAUCGAGAAAGGGGGAGAAAGAGCGUCGAGAGAGGGAAAGAGAAGGUGUUGAGGUCUGGAGAUGAGUGAAGAGUAAAGACCUGCGAGAGAGAGAGAGAGAGUUGAUUAUAAAUGCAGUGUUGAGAUUCAAUCUCAAUGAAAUCCAACGAUUAUUAUAAUCCAUUUAAUAAUAUAUAUAAAAAAAAUAUUUGGUUCGGUCCGGUUUUAACCUACAAACGCUUCAUGAAAACUGAAUACCAUACUGAAACUUUUAGUAAGUUUCAGUUAUCGAAUCGUUUAGGAUUAUCGGGUUCGAUUUUUUGGGUUAGGUUUGGUUUUUUUUGGGUUUUUUUACAACCUUUUAACAACUAAUGUGAUUUUUAUGAUAAUAUGAAUUUGCCUAGAAACUGAGAUUGAGAAAAUGCACGAUUUCUACAUCACCAUUUGAAUGGGUUUGUGCUGGUUAGGAGGAGAGGAAAGUUUUUCUUUGGAGAUGAUUUUUACACAAUCUUUUUGGUUUCUCACACACCUCUUUUUAUGUCCAGCCACUAAAUAACUAUAACUAAAACAACAAACAUGAUUAAACAAGUGGGUGCUUAUGAAACUAAAAAUAGUUUGCAUUAUCAAUUUUCUUUUCAUUAGUGCUACUGGGACCACUCAGAUGAUGUGAUACCCCGUCCUAAAUUUGUCAUAUUCUUAUAUUAUCGAGCGUAUGAGAUUACCAAAUUUCCCUUGUAGCAUGAACAUUGACUUUUGUGGACCGUCUCGACGUAAUACUUGUGACUAAUCUUUUUUAUUUAUUCUUAUCGUACUCAUCGCCAUGAACAUGUAGGCACGAACGAAUUCGAAUUUGGAGUUAUAACGAAGAUUUAUGUUUCAAAACGUCGAACGCUUCUCAUAUAUUUUCAUAUUUCGUCUUUAGUGACCUUGUUUUGUGAGCCACUAGGGCCCACAUGUUUUCUCCCUUCCCCCUUCCUCGUGACCCCCUAUUCUCUCUUCCCUCUAUUAUUUUCUGAAAACCUCUCUCUCUCUUUCAAAAACUCUAUCCUUCACUCUCGGCCCUCUCAUUCCUCUCUCGAAAACCAACCCUCCUAGAGGGUUUUCACUCAAACAACAACACAUAACAACAACCUAGACUACACCACAACCUUCCCUCAUAGUCACUACGAGUUCUUGAACUAAGAAAAUAAAAGAAAACCAUUCAAAAACUCACCCAUGAGUUGCACUGUUCAAGGAACUUCUUCGACAAUUUCUCGCCAUUUCCGACUAAAGAACUCUAAAAAACUCAAGAAAAGUCAUUGUGCAAAUCUGGAAAUUUCCAGGUUGUGGUUGUUUGGCCACCUCUCGGUCCCCACUUGUUUCUGGCGAGUUCCCCAGUUUUCCUGCGGAUGAUUCACCUUUCAGGCCAUUUUCUAGCCAUCUCCGGCAACCAUUGAGCUUCCAAAUAGGUAUAAACUUUUUCUACACUUUCCUAGCUUCGUUUUGAUAUAUUAUGGGUUGAAUUUGGUUAAGAAACGAAGAAGUUACAAAGCUUUGAAAAUUACCUAAACUUCCGGCCAAAAACCCAGUUUCCGAUGAGUUCCGGCGGCUUAGCUCGGCUCGGCUGAGCGUUGACUUCUGGUCGGCGUUGACCAUUGACCUGUCCUAUUGACUUUUGACCGUUGACUUGUUAACGUUCACUUUCGGGUUGACUUUUGAGGGUUUUAGCUGGGACCCCUCAUAGACUAAUUUCGAAGUCCUGAAUCUGAUUUCGACGUUUGUUUUUUCAAAUUCAAUUGUUUGAGUAGAGUUUUAUUUAUUGGUCCCUUUAUGUGCUUAGGUACGUUUGUUAGUGGCGUUUCCGUCCUCCCUAGUUCACAAGGCUCUUCGACUAAGGAGUAUCUGUGAGUUGAUCCCUUCUAUAAUGCAUUAUUUUAUUACUAGAAAUGCAUACAUGAAAAGCAUGCUUUUAUGACUACGUUUUAUGAAACCUUUAUGAGUAAAUUGGAUUUACGCUUUAUGAAUAUCAUGCUUCACUGGAUUUACGUUUAUUGAGAUAUUCACGAAUAUGAUUUAAGAUAUGAUGUUUGAGCUAUUGAGCUCUAUUAAGAUAUAUACAUAUAUUUUGGAAAUAUUAUGUUCAUGUUUUUAUUGUGCUUAUUCAGUGAUUACUCAUACUAUGUGUCUACGGGCGAAUGAUACUCAUAUAUGGCUUCAGUCAAGUGCUGUAGGGGCCUACGUAUGAAUGAUAUCUAUAUAUGGCUUUGGUCGGGUGAUGUAGGGGCCUACGGGCGGGUUUCUGAUACCACUACUAAGCACACUUUAUAUGAUAUAUGUUUUAUGCAAGGUUUUAUGACACACUAGAGUUUUCGGAAAACCUAUUACAUAUUAUGCUAUUGAGUUUUCAUAAACUUUGGGGGUUAGUACGUUGAUGAAUAACCAUUUUAGUAUUACAUAUAUAUAAACUUGGUCCACUCAUGUUUUGUUUUACACCCCUGCAUCACUUAGAAUCGAGGCGUACAAUCCCAGUGUCAAGGCACUCCCACAUCGAUAUCUUUGAGUCCUUUUGGUGUAGGACCCCUUCCUUUGUAAUUUAAUUAGUAGUAUGCUCUGAACAUGUCAUGCAUCAUCAUCAUUAUUUUGUUGGCAGUUGCAUAUUAUUAUAUUAUUUUGUAAUGAUUGUAUUUGAAUAUUACAUUGUAUAGUUAUGCGCAAAAUUUUUAUGUAUGUUUUACAUGUUCUUAGCAUAUACAUUCAUAAAUGGCUUGCGUCACCCUCGGGUGUUGGCCAGCACGUGGCCAUCCCGUUGUCCUUCGGACACGGGAAUCAGAAUGUGUCAGAUGACCUAUUUCCCACAAGCUCAUAUUGAUAGGGAGUGAUUUUGGCACACAUCUUUUCACUUUAUGUAUGCCCCUAUUAAUUCUAUUAUUAGAAUAUCUUUUGUGGAUACAAUGGUUAGAAAUAAUGUACUUGUGCUAGUUGUUAACACUCAUAAUUGAGAGGUCAACAAAAACCAAUACGGUCGGCCCCUUGGUGGGCUUGGAUAAAGACUAUAAGAGAUUGACGACAAGGUUUAAGUGGUUCACCCUUAAAAAUUGGGCUACACCCACUAUAAUGCUCUGUAUAUAUUUGAUAUAGGCUACAAGAUGUGUUGGUUAUAGUGUAAUAUUUCUUUUAUCUUGUGUUGUCUCCCUUAUAUCAUCUACCAAUGGGCCCCAAAAGCCCUGGGUUCUCCAGUCUCCAUUGGUCUAGCAUGAAAAAUCUUAACAUGUAAACUUAACUCACUAAUGACUCCACCUUCAUUUAGUUGACACGUAGAGACAGAGUGACACUUGCUCAAACUAGUUACAAAGGUUCAUGGGCCAACAGUUACCGAGUGCUCUACUCGGUCUUAAGUAAUUGAGGAAACACCAACUUAAGCGCUUGAUCUGACAACCUUUAAGUGCCUUCAUAGGUUUCUGCUCUAGCCAAUGGCCAACAAGUGGCUUGGAGUUGACAUCUGAGUGGGUCCUUCUAUAGGGCUUCGUGCUAUAAAGUUGUAAGUUUGCCAACUCGCCUUAAGCGAUUGGAAAGUACUUUUUGAAUAGGUGCUCGUCAUCUUUGCUGAUACAUGAUCCAUGCUGUUGAGUGAUCAUUUCAUUAUGGUCGGGAUUUCUUUGUUUGAUCCUAUUGGGCUGGUUUUGUAAGCCCAACGACUUGGUCUUCUUUUCUUUCUUUGGACCUCUUCUAAGCCUAUAUUAUUUUAAGUAAAAGGAUCUUGUGUUAACACUAGUGAAAAAUAAUGUCCAUAAUCAUUUAUCAUAUUGUUUUGUUAUAUAUCAUUUUUGUUAUUGGAUUUAUUAUCUAUAGUUUAGUUAUAAUGGGGGUGAAAAAUAUUAAACAAGUGAGUUGACAUCGUAGCACUCUCUUAAUUGGGAAAUUUGGAAAAAUAACCAAAAUUAGAACUUCAUAUAGAAUUAUAGCAACCCUUUUAAAUUUAUGAUAAUUGUAAUAAAAAAAACUAAUAAACCCUUAAUGAUUAAAACUUUUUAUAAAACAAAUGCAAAGAAAUUCAAAGCCUCACCUCAACAACCUGAACAAUUCCAGCCCUCUCAAAAAGCUUAGCCAAUUUUGGUGAGAAGUUUUAAUCAUUAUUAAGCCCUUGGUUAUUUUUCCAUAUGCUCUUAACAGUUAUUCUUCUACAUUUCUCAAAAAUCGCAAUUUGUCAUCUCCUUCCCAUCACAACAAAACCCAAAGGUUGGAGCCUCAUGCACCGAUACAAUUGUUUUUGGAAGACAAUCAUAUCAUUCAUUCAAGGUAACCACUAUGCAGUAAGCUCUCUCCCUUUCUUUCCCUCUUGCAUUUCUCCUUGUUGAAGAUUGAUUUGGAUUUAAGUACACGUUAAAAUCAAAUUGGGUUUUGAUUUGUAACAAGAUUUAUAGAGAAAGGAUUGUGCUUUUUGCAGAUCAACUGUUUAUAGAUUUGAUAUCUUUGCAAUGGUGGGUGUAAUUGCUUUCCUCAUGGUUUAAGAGUAUAUUAGUCUUUUUAUAUCAAUUUUUUUGUUAUAAUUAUAAUAAAAUUAUAAGGGUGACUAUAUUCUAUAUGAAGUCCAAAUUUUAGUUAUUUUUUCAAAUUUCCCCUUUUAAUUAAUAGUUUAGGCACCUAAAAAUUAGACGGAAACUUGAAUGAAAUCAUAAGAAAGUAACCUAAGGCCUCGAAUUGACAGUAGAGUUAAAAUUGAAAAGGCCAAACUUAAAAUACAAGGAGAACCGGAGGAGGAUGCAUACAUACAAUUACAUGGACAAAGGAAUUUGAAGAAAAAAUUAAAAAAAUUAAAAAAUAAAAAGAGGAGCGAGAAGGGGAGGGGAUGACUUUAAGGAGAAUGUAGUGGCCAAAGUUCUCAGAUCUGGAGCGACCGUCCGUGACUAAGCUCUUUAGCUCAUAAUCUACUUUCAUCGUGCCCUGUGUAAAAGAUAGGCCCCCUCGACUAGGAUUAUUUCUAUUUCUCUUUUCAUCAUUUUCCCUUACAUUCUCUUAUUUUAUUUUUUUUGUUAUAAAAAAUUAAUAUAAAAUAUUAACGUGAUUUAAUUGUGAUUAUUUUCUUAUUUUAUCUUUCUCUUACAAUAAAAAAUUAAUAUAAAAUGUUAAUGUGACUUAAUCAUAACUGUUCAAAUAAGAGACGAAGGAAGAGAAAAAAAAUAAAAAAUAAAUAAAUCCUACUCCCUUUCUCUCUACCUCCCUCUCCCUCUCUAGCGUAGGUUCUUAGGCCGCAGCCUUUGCAGUUUGCACUAGAAAAGGCAUUUUCCUAGACUUGUCUUUUUUCAGUUUUCGCAUUCCACAUUUCAAACCCACGCGCACCGUAAACCAAACCAACCACUGACGCGCUAGCCCGACCUCGUAUUCCAAAAUAAUUUACGAGAUACGAUGCAUCGUCACAUGAUCCUUUGGGUCUAUAAAACAAGAGUGCAUAGACAAUAUUUCAACAAUUUUAUUUUAUUGGUGCAAAACGCUACUAGAGAGGUGUAUCUGUGUGAUGUAAGCUUUUACUCCUUCAGUUUAAAAGGGAUUGAGAUGGUACGAGAGUAGGUGUGUGGAGGAAAAAUAGGUGUUGCACUACUAAAGAGACAUACAUGUAACUCUUCAGGCCCUUUAAGAGAAGGAUCGUAAUUUUUUCAAAAAAUGAGAAUUGAUACCUACUUCACAUCGAACUUCAACGACCCGAACCGUAUAUUUUGUGAGUUCAAUUCAUAGAUAAUAUUUACAAAAUUUCAACUCAAUCUGAAACCAUUUACCUAUUUAAUUAUCACGAUUAAAUUUCAAUGUUAAAUGUUAAAAAACAAAAUGUUUAUCAAUUUCUUUAAACUCAAUUAGAUGUCUCAAAUAUUUUUUCGAUUUGAUUAAUAUUUUGCAAGAAUAAUUUAUGAGGUACAACUUGAAAAAUAAACUUCUCAAAUCGUUAAAGUUCAAUGCAAUUCAAGUCCCACAAUUAAUCUCUAUUCUUAUUAAAAAUAGAGAUUUUUUUUCUUUGAAGGCUUUCUGUGAGUCUUUAUUCUCGAAUUUAAAAGGAGGUAAAUGGUAGGAGAGUUGGCGCGUGGUGGAAAAGUAGGUUGGGGUGAGUUGGGAAGCAAAAUAAAGUAAAGGGAAAGAAAAAGGAAGGAGUGGCGGGUGGUUAUGUUUGCAGGCAACCUCGGCAUGUGCGUUCCCUUUACCUAGCUCCCUAGCUAGUCUACAUAUAGCCUAGGCCUAUAGUGGCUAUGCUACUCUAUAAUAUAAUCACAAAUAAAUAGCUCUUACACAUGCUUCCUUUGCUCCCUCUGCUCCCUCAGUCUCCGCGCGUGUAGCUGACACGCACCUAAAUAUGAUUGGAAGAACCACUAACUAAAUUUGAAGAGUUUAAUUUCUGCACACCUUUCUAUCUUUCUGCACAUUUGUUUGAUUUUGAGUCUUAUUUGUUUUUUAUUUGUUCAAUCCAAAUGAUUCUGAUUAGAGUUUAAAAAAAAAAGGGUAUGCAGACGUAAAUAAAGUGUACUGAACUAAUCUCCUUUAGCUUACAUGAAAUGUUAGGCCAUAUUUAACCGAAAGCUUUAGAGGACUAGAAGGUCGAAAAUAGUCUGAAAAUCAUCUUUAACCAAGGGCUAAGCUAAAGGGCUUGUGAGUCCCACAGAAUCUGAAAGGGCCAAAAGGUUGGUAGGAAUUUUUGGCUUGCUAUUGGUUAUAACCGACAUAAAUAAAAGAAAUAGUGUCGGUUAUAACCAAUACAAAUAGCAUGGAAAAUUUGAAUCUAACGGCUAUUUGAUAGAAAUAGUGUCGGUUAUAACCGACACAAAUAUGGAAAAUUUUGAAUAUAACAGCUAGCUGACGUCAGCUAGCUGUUAUUUUUUAUUUUUUAUUUUUUAUUUUUCUUUUACAUUUUUUUUUUUGGCCCUUUUUUUUAAUUCUUAAAAAUUCUAUUUUUUCCCUAUAAAUACCUAAACCGUUCAUUAAAUUUAAGUUCUAAUUUUUUUGGGCCAGUUACCGUUGUAGUUUUUAAAUUUAAGUUGUUGUUGGAUUUGAAUUUAAGUUGUUGUAUUUUGUAUAUUUAAAUAAUAAAUUAUGUUUGGCCCUCGGUUGGAGACGGUUUUUUGUGACAGAGUUAAAACGAGCCAUAUGGCCCUUUGACCCUCGAUUGGAGACGGAGGCAAAUACGACCCUGUACUAUUCAUUAAAAUAUUAAUAUCUUGGAGAGCCAAAAGGCUAAAACGAGCCCUCUGACCAACCCUCGGUUGGAGACGGCCUUAGUGAUUUGGUAACUUGUUUGCUUUGUGUUGUAUCUAAAGCUCAACAUAUAUUGGGUUCAAUUGGCAUACACAUUCAUGUUAAGUACUCGAUUUUUUUUGUGAUUUUAUACUUUUCGUGUGAAAAUUAGCAAAAUAGAACACAAAAAGUGUAAAAUUUUCACAUGGUUGUGCAAAUAAGGUGUGGUUUAAAAAAAAAAACUAAAAUCUAUCAUCUUUUAGGAAUAAGCCGAAAUUGAAGAUAAGAUGAGAGAGAAUCGGUUGAGGUAGUUUGGACAUGUGAAAUGAGGGCCUACAGAUGCUUCGAUUAGAAUAUGCGAUUACGAGACUGACGCUUAGGGCCAAAGGGGGUACGGGAAGACAUAGGAAGACUUCAAAAAAGACUAAGAAAAAAAUUGGACUACUUGGAUCUCAGAAGAAAUGGUACAAACUAAUCGCAAUGACGUUCUAGAAUUCAUAUCGCCGACCCUACUUAGUAGGAUAAAGCUUUGUUGUUGUUGUUGUGUUUUUGUAGUGUAAUCUUAUCAAAAGUCAAAUUCCCAAUAAUCUCAAAUACAUACAUGUUACAGUCCUAAUAGUUUAGGAAUGUGAUUGUGUACAUUCUAGGAAAUUCUUAUGGGAUUCUACUAUAUUUUAUCUUUAGAUAUUAUUCGAUUAGAGUUAUAAUCCUAUUGGGUAAGGAAUUAACCUUCCUUAUUACUAGAAAUAAAGGCACAAUGGGGUGAGAAAACACACAUUAGAAUUCACUCAAUUCUCUCUGUUUUAUGUUGCACCCUCUUUCUCAAUCUCUCUAUAAUUCUUGAGUCAAAUAGGCCUACAAUGACCAUGAUGCAUGGAAACAUUCUUUAUGUGUGUGUGUGUGUGUGUGUGUGUGUGUGGGUGUGUGUGUGUGUGUGUGUGUGUGUGUGUGUGUGUGUG